GAAGUUGUCCUCCAUCUAACGCUAACAUGAUUCGGCUUGUUUUCUUAGGCAUCCUAAUUAAAUGCAUGCAAUCCACCUCUGAAACGUAUGCCAAGACGUAAAACAGCAGGAGGUGCUAAUGAUUACUACUAGUUGCUUGAAAAUCACGUUUGUUAGUUACCACCUGUUAAGAGUAGAAGUCAAGAGAGAUACACCCUGUAGCCCAUCAUCGCAUGCCAACGGUCCACGUCAUUUUUUUCAUCCUCACAGAUUCAGACAACAGGAUGACACCAUUCCUCUUGGUCGCUCGCUGCCACCGCCCAUUGCAUGCCCUGUAGCUCCGGCCUGCCAGUGCCACCCUCUGUCUCCUGCAGCAAUCUUGAUGUCGUCGGUUCCCCACUUUCCCGCGGCAAUCUGAAUUUGCCUGGGCCAUUCUGUUCGGCCCCGGCCGCAGCCAAAAUGCCCUCGGCCCUAGCUAGUGGCACUGCCUCAUCACCGGACACUAGGCCAUCAACCGCUACAUACCGAAAUAUCUACUAGCUACCUCCCUUAGAGCAAGUUUAAUAAUACAGCCUACUUGCUUGGUUGUAAGGUUCCUUACAGCCUUCUCCCAGCCCACCCAUACAAUAGUUAGCUAUUCACUAUUAGUACAUGGCCCACUUAUCUCUCUCAUAAAGUUUUUUUUGGUUAUUGUGUCUAAGCUGGCUGUAAGCUUACAGCCUGCUUCUCCUCUCUCUCCUUCCUUCUCUCCUCCACAUCAGCAUUUAGCCAGUUUACAGCCCACCAUAAUACUUGCUCUUAUUCGCAUCAUGGUCAGAAAUUCAGAAUCGAAGAUCAUAUGUAAUUAACUAGUCAGUGCGCUGCAGAUGCGACUGCACAUAUAUACAUACAACACUGUGGCUGCCGCCUACGUACUUAUACGAGGUACACCACAUACAGUACACAUACGUGUCUAACGUUUUCCAUCGCAGUGCAGUGUGCUGUCCUAUCCCUGAUAGAUUGACACUAGUUCUUGGAUCGAACAAUUGACAGUUAAUUAAGUCGUCGUACCACUGCAACUAGUAAUGUCCGGCAACAGGAAGUGAGUAACACAUGAAAACGGCGCAGUGGGCCCGGUUGUCUCUCUGCAGCACUGCACGUACGUCAUAAAUUUUGACCGAAGUUAUAAAAAAAUACUAACAUCUAUAUCUAUAAUACAAAAUGAGUACCGAUCGAAUUGGCGGAAAGGCCUUUAUCCCUUGGGGCUUGUAUUGGGCUUGGGCCUUGGCACAUAUACUCCAGUGAGCAGCAGCACAGCCGCCGGUUGCUGGAUGGACAAACACGAAUGUAGUCGCCGAGACGCGCGCUCUGUACCGACCGGACACCAACAGGCCCGACGGCGACAGCACCCGAGCGACACAGGCGUACCGCGCUCCUGGGGCCUAGCCGCCUAGCUAUAGCUAGCAAGACCAGUGUCUGAAGAAGAUUUCAUGUUCUAAUUUCUAACACAAUUCAUUUUGAAAAUACUACAUAAGAGUUUUUUUUUAUUUUAUUAAUACGGUACUAUAUAAGUAUAUUUAAUAUCCAUAAAAUUUUAAUAAAAUCUUGUUAAAACUGGCCUAACACAGCCAUGUCUCGUAAGAUUGUACUAUUUGGGUUGUUUCAGUUUGCUCCAAGGUCUACCACAUGCAGUGAUGAUGCAGACAUGCCGGAAGGUACGGCCCCGGCGGCCCGGGCCAUCCCGCGACUCUGCGAGAGCCCGGCCACGGCCGGCAUGUGGGGCCAGCCGGACCGCCGGACUGCCAUCUCGUAAGCUAACAGUUUGACGUACGGGCCCCGCGUCGUCGCGUCAUCGCAGUGCGGCACUGCCGAUGCCGAGAGGGAAUCUACUCUGGGGUGGUCGCUGUGGGCUGUGGGGCCUUGUCCGCGCCUCUGUGGACCCCGCAUGAUUGGGCCAUGCAUGGUCCAGGGGACACAGAUGACAACGGUGCGUCACUGGUUUCCUGUAACGGCCAUUGUUAACAUCGCAUGCUCUCACUCUAUAUCAAGUAUGAUAUGUACUUGAAUCAAAAAAAGUAUGAUAUGUACUCCCUCCAUCCCUUUUUAAUUAUCACUUGCAUUUCUCAAAAACAACUAUUAGCAAUUAUAUAUUAAAAAUAUUAAUAUCUAUAGUACAUAAUAGUAUCAUUAGAAAGAUCUUUAAAUCUAGUUUUUUAACAAAUUUAUUUGGAAAUACAAAUGUUACACGUUAUUUUCUACAAAUCGAGUCAAACUUAUGUCACGUACACCAAUGACAACAAUUAAAAAGGGACAGAGAGAGUAUGUUCAAUAAAUAAAAUGAUAUGUAUGUUGAUAAUCACAACACAGUAACACAUUGCAUCGUUGGCAAAAGUUUUGAUAGAUGUUGGCACUACAUGAGUGGUCGUAGUAAUAAUAAUCAACCAGCUGCAAGAUGGGUAUCACUACUACACAAAAUAUUAUUCGAUGCGGGCAAAAUAGAUUUACCAAGGCGGGCAACGAAACCGCCUCGAACAUAAGAUCACAAUAAAUAGGACAUUUUCUGAGGCCGUUUGAUGCCCGCCUUGGUAAAUCAAAUAAAAACGAAAAAGCUAGUGGACAGGUCUGUUGAGCCCAUCCAUGGGCCUACCGAGCCCAUCCACAAGCUACCACCACCGCUGCUGCUGCUCCUCAUUGUACCUCUCUGCCGCCUGCUGAUGUAGCUAUGGAGGGAGGGGAGGAGGCCGGAUCCGCAGCCGUGGGCUCCAACCCACUAGAAUCGUGGUCGUAGCCUGGCCACCUCUUCACUGGAUCUACGCCGUAGGGAGAGGAGGGAGGAGGUCGGAGCAUAGCCGGUGUUGCCAUGACGAGGGGGUGGAGGAGCGUCGAUGCGGAGAGGCCGGAUUCGGCCACCACACCAUCGGAUCCGCGCUCGCCGCCUCCACAUCCAUGCUUUGGGAUACCGCCAAGGGGAAGAGCUCGUGGAUGUUGUCACCUCUAGAUCUGCUACACCGGUGAGGCGGUGAGGGAGGCUUAGGAGAGGGAGAGGGAGACACGACGGCGCCGCAUGAGCUCGGGCACUAUGGCUCUCGUGACGGAGAUGGAGAAGGAGGGGGGAGGGGAGGCGCUGUUGCUCGGGCAUAAGAGGGAGGGAAAGCGCUGUUUGUCUGAGUGAGAAAGAGAGGGUGAGCUCUCAGUGAAACCUUAGGUUAGGAAUUUAUACUUGAGCGCCCAUCGGGCCUCAGUAUGGGCCUGUUUGGGCUUUGGCCUUUUUUCUAAGACGGGCAAGUUAGGAGGUCCGCCUCCAAAAAUAGGAGUAUUUUUGGAGGCGCGUUAAUAUAUUUUAGGAGGCGGUUUGAUUUUGCGAGGCGGUUUAUUGUGACUGUCGCGGUUAAUAAAAAUCGACCGCUUCGGUUAAUCUGAGACAUUAAUCGAGGCGGUUCAUAUUUCUGCCCGCCUCCAAGGCCUAUUUCAAAACGUUUCGCAAAAGAUUUUUUGUAAUAGUGUGUCUCUUAAUGCGCUGACGAUGCUACUGAAACAGCUAGUAUUUGGUCAUGCAUAUAUAUGUCGGUUUUGAUAGAAAGUCAAGUUCCAAUUUUACAGAAAAUGAAGAAACCUCAGCGUGCGUCGUAUGCAACUCAUAGGUAUUUCGUAGCUUGAAAUAAAUCGGAAGCCGAAUGUUUCGACUAUUCUUAAUUUAUGGGUACAAGAAAAAGGCAUACAUGGUAUUACAGUAUGAAAAUAUUAAUAUGUUUUUUAAAGGAAAUUAAAGCCAGCUAUAUAUAUAUAUUCACGUAGCUUUCACGUAGUUUUCAUACGUAGAAUUUCUUCUUUUUCCUCAUCGAUCAACAUGUGUAUUAUAUACUUUGUUUCCUACACACACAUGCCCAAAAUUGUGAACUUUUUAUGUGGCUAUUUUUGGUGUUCUCCCGUGUACCCUGCAGGCGAGGGAAGUUGAUCGGGACAUAUGAGGGCAGCAGCAAGAUGAAGCUAAGCUCAAAAUUUGACUGGACAUAAUUGCCAAUUUAGUCCUUCGACUUUCUAAGAGGCUCUUUUUCGUCCCUCACCUUUCGAUCUGCCCAAUUAAGGCUAAAGUUAAGGAAGACUAAACUUUAGGCCUUAGCUCACUUGUGUGGUCUAAUGAACUAAUGACCUUUUUGUGAGGUUGGCCAAACUUUAGACAACAUUUUAAACAUGAGUUUGGAGCUUCAAGUGAUAAAGGGAUCCAAAGUUUAGUGGCUAAACUUUAGGCAUGAGAUUCAAAGAGGGUGUAAGUGUCUCAACUUUCGCUUAUUUUUAUUAGGUCAAUUUUUCCCUAAUCCUACGUGAUUUCGGCAUUGAUGUGCUAAGUAGGGCUCUAAUGGCAUGGAAGGGAAUAUACGAUUUUUUUUUGUGAGUUCAAUUUUGAGUUUGAUUAUUUUGGACUGGAUUCAAGUAUAUGCCAAACCUAUUGGUCAUGAACUCCUUUGACAUGGAUGUGGAUUUGGCAAGCACAAUAAAUUUACUUAUAUGCAUGUAAAACCUAGAAAUACUACUCUUGAACUUUUUCCCUUGCAAAAAAACUCCAACAUCAUUUUGAUUAAUACGAUAAGCUGUCCGGUGAAUUUUUAAAUGAUUGAAUAGUUCAAUAAUUUGAUAUGAAGCAGUAAAUAUGAUCAUUAUGUAACUUAUACACAACAGAUAUGGUUGCAUUCAUAUACAGACAUCACAAGGACAAGGAUUGCAUGCAAAUGUGGUAUCUGUAUUCAUAUUUAGGGCAAUGCUAUGGUACACUCUUUACUUGUAAGGAGGUAAUAUCUCAAAUAAAUCUGAGCCAUUGAUUUUUUGAGUUUCUGAAUUAAUUAAUUGAUUAAUUAAGCUAGGAAAAUAAAAAAAACUUGUUGAAUCCCCUCUUUCAUGGAGACAGACGCCAACACGUGUUAUCCUUCAUUUCUAUAUGCGACCGAGGCGUGUGUCUUAAAUCUGAACAUGCACAAGUAUUUAUUCCAAUAAAAUAAUAGAUAAAGUAACUGGAUAUUUGUUGUCUUUAAAAUCAAGUUUGUACCAAAUAUAAAUUUAAAUUCAAACUGUUUGGUUCAUAUUCACAUAUAAUACGUGCAAUGCUUCCAGCGAAAUAUAAAUAAAUUAAUAUAUAUAGUUUUUAUCAAUAUUAGAGCUUGCAGCAAUUAAACUUUAAUGUGCGACGCUAAAAAAAUUGCAUACGCACGCUAAUAAUCAUGUGACGGAUCCACUCACCUUAGAGAUGUAUCACGGGUGUAUCAAUCAAACCUUAAAGAAAGAUUUUCUAUACCUCAAACUUUCCUUAUUCAUCAUAAUUUAGAAAAUAAAAAAAUUAAAUAAAUAUAUAUUUCAUCGAUUACCUUUUUGAGGUAAUAUGUGAGCGUAACCGUUCGAUCAAAAUAAAUGAAUGGUUCACAGUUACUUGGGAAGUACCGUAGCAUAACCCUCAUAUUUAACCUUGUUGCUUUGUAGAUCCUUUUUGUACUAUGAGUUGUUUCCGGUGGGUAUAACACACGAUGUCAACUCAUGAUGCAUCAUAUAAUACUUCACGCCCAAAUGAAAACAUCUCUGUGCAUGAAGCUAGUGCUUCGACCAUUACGCGUGCGCAUAGUAGGUAUCUAUCUGCACAAGCGUGUCCCAUUUGGUUAGGCAGAUGGAUAGUAUAGUAUAAGAUUACACUUAAGUACUACUUAACUACACAUAUUAUGACUAGCUAGCUAGACUCCUCGAUAUCGAGUGCACACAUACGUGCAAGAGAGUGGAGCCAAGCGGGGUAUGGACAAGCAAGUAAGGCCUGGACCUUGACGACGGAGCUGCAUGCACAGCUUGCGGCGCGGCCUGGCACACCGGCACCGCCGGCGCCGGCACGCUGCAGCAAUAAAACGCCAGGCUUAUGCUUUUGAGCUGCCUCUUUGGUCUCGGAAUGUGAGCCCAAGCACACAUGACGGCACAAAGCCGAUGCAACAUGCAUGCAGACCUGCUGCAAAGGCGACGCAGGAAGCAGCGCCGGCAGCUUUUGCAUGGAUUUCUCCGGCCCGGCCGGCGGCCAUGCAUCUUUCCGUUGAUCCUUCCUUCGCCUUCCGUGCCCUUGCCCACACCGACACAAGUCAUGGCACUGCAGCAGAUCGCAGCCCUUCUCCUCCGUCAGGCUCAGGCUCAGGCCAUCGAUGUCUGCGCCAUGACUGGGGGGACCUCAGCUCGGGGAAACAGACAUGGAUUCGGAGAGAGAAGAAAGGGAUGGAGGGACUGACACGAGGACCACCCCAAGUCACGGGAUGGAAACGAGACGACGAGAAUGAGAUGAGGCAUGCAGGUUAAAAUAUCAACAAGUGCAAUGCCUUUACCAUAUGGAGUAUACGAGUCAUCAGGAUUUCCUUGGCAAUCUGCAAAUUAAAGUUUUCAUCGAGAGAAAAAAAAUCUGCAAAUUAAAGUGCGAACUUUGCCCUAGCUAGAGUCAUCAGGAUCGGAUUCAGGCGUCGUCGUCUUUUAACUGCCAGCCUUUCAGCAAGUCAAAACAACUCAGCCUCAGAGACAGCAGCACAAUUGCUCUGAACAAUCGGACUGCAUGCCACGCAGCUAUCAUGGGGGCAUGCAUGCAUGCGUACCGCGAAAGGUGUCCUCGACUCUGAAGAGGCAAAAUUAUAUAUCUGGAGAUCGAGGAGGUGGCUGUGACCUGACCAGCUGAUGCCAGUGCAUGCAUGCUCACGAAGUCACAAGCCAACAGACGUACAACAGGGGCACCGGGCGAAGUGAUCUAUGGAUGUAUGGAACAGCAGCCGGCCUCUUCCGUUAGUCAGGAGACACGAGGUACAGUACAUAUAUACACGGGGACGUGGGUAAAAACACUAGCUGAGGCGAGAAGAGAAGAAGGUCGUCGUCGUCCUCGGACCUCCGUCCGUGCACGCACGCAUGCUGCGAUCGAUGUGCGACCCUGUGCAUGGGUCGUGUGUGCUGUGAGUCCAUGGGCGUACAUGUCUAGUAGUCCGCAUGCAGCAGCACACCCCGCCCGGCCCUCUCGAUCAUUUCCCAUGGAUCCAGUCCUGGGCUCCUGGAAGAAGGCGCGCGGGAUAGGCUAGUGGAUCGAUUCGGGCACAUGCUGCUCGCCUGCUUCCGGCUUGUCACUGUGACACUGUAGAUCUUAUCGUCUCUCCUGUUGCUCGUCUAGCUCACCCACGUGAAUGUGAUAUACUUCCUUGCAUAUACAGUUGCAUGCACGUAAUCAUCAGGAUCCACGGUGAUAUGGAUGAACGCUCUGUCACGUGAGCGCUGGAAAAGAUUUGCAUCGUCUCGGCAACGAUCUGUCAUUUGAUCCGGAUAAGCAUUUUUUUUUUGACAAUUAUCCGGAUAAGCAUUAGAGUGCAUUAGUCCAUCAACAUGCUCCCGCUCAUGCUAGAAUCUUACGAGACAUAAAAAUUAGACGUUACUGUUUAAUACCGGCCUAUUAUACUUCUGUUACUUUGAACGUUAUUAUCUUUGUUUAUUUUCUAACACAAUCGGCGUGUAAUAGAUAUAUCUUGUAGACAUAGUCCAAUUGUGAUAAAGUUAUCAAUCGCUAAUCUAUAUGUUUUUUUUCUAUAACAAUUUGUAUUUCUUUAGCAAGGCACCUUUGUGUAUUCUGAAUAUGCUUUCACUUGAAAUCUUAGCUUAAACUAUGGUGGUUCUUGCUGCGGUGUGUGUGAUUCUGUCUUAUUGCACAGUGAAUCUAUAGUUUUGACUUUCAAAUAUUAAUAUUAUUAGUCGCUACAUAUUUUUUAAGUUGAAACUCUCGUGCUUAAUGUAUAUUUUAUUAACCCUCUUAUGUUUUAUUGAAAUAAUGAUUUUAGCUCAUACUCAUAGAGUGUACUCUUAAAUACUAUAAUAGCAUAACGGUUAGUUACAAUCUGCCCCAUGUCACAAUUAAGACCGGUGAUAGAGCUUGUAGUGCAAUUUAUUUUGCAUAGCCAACUAAUAUAAAAAAAUUUAAUUGGUUAUUUUCAAUUAUAUUUUAUAAUGACAGAGAUGGGUAGUCUACGUACAACUAAGAGGGCAAUUUUGAAAUAUAUUUUAUAAUGAUAGGUGGGUAAUUUAAAAGCGAACUUGAACGUUAAUUUAUGUAUUUUAUUAUAAUGACAUAAGUUGAUAAUUUUUUUAUAUAAAGUAUAAUAAAUUUAAUGGCUAUUAUUGGCUAUGAUGAUUGGAUUCCAUAAAAUUAAAGGCUAGUUGCUGAUUACCGGGAGUGCUUUUUUAAUCAAGUUCUUGACUUAAUGAGUUUUUUUUUUAAUUUAGUGGUUGGCGAGACGUAUAUGGAGACUUGAUAGCCUAGAUCACUUGUGUUCAUACAUGUGAAUGUGUGUAUGUCUUUUGUACCGCGUGUUUCUUUAAAAAAAAAUAUUACCUUGAAAUCCAAAAACUUUAAAAAAUUUUCUAUUACAUUAAAUCUUGCGGGAGACGCAUGGAACACUAAAUAUAGCCAGAAAUAACUAAUUUUAUAAUUUGACUGUAAUUUUAAAAUAAAUCUUUUAAGACUAGUUAAUUUAUAAUUCGACAAUAAUUAUGAAAUAGGAACUAAAAUCCAAAAACCAGACCGCCCGUCCUCUGACCGGCCGGACUGAGAGCGGACAUAUUCACGGCGGCACAGCCUACAGCCCUACACUGCAGUACUGCUCACUCGGCGUAGUGCAAGUGCUGUGUCCGUGUGCUGGCUCACAAGUCACAAGCGACUACUACUCCAGUAGUUGUAGCUGCUGAACAGUGGUACUGUGUACCCUCCGCUGCCGCGCAACUGUUCAGCUAUCCCAUCAGGUGCGAUUCCCCAACACAACACAACACAACACUGCUCCUCCACCGUCGUCCCCGGCGGCCGCCCGUUCGGACAAGGAAACGAAACGGUGCCGUCGAGCGCGUCCGUCCGCCCGUGCGUUUUACGGUGGGGGGGGGCGACACUGGACGGACACGGGCACGGGUCCCCCGCGCGCGCGCCCGCCUGCUUGUUUUACUGUGCCCGAGUCGCAAGGGCGUAAGGGAACAAUCACGACGACCAGCGCCGGCCGCUAGCGCCGCAGCCCGCGCGCGCGCGCGAGGGGUCCCCCGGCGGGCGAGGCCAGCCAGCCGUGCCCGUGCGCGUGGGCCGUGGGGGCGCGGCGCGGCGCGGCGCAGCGCAGCGCAACGCGACGCGACGCUGCUGCCUGUGCCUGCCUGGCCGCGCUCUGCGACGCUGCGUGCCUUGCCUGCCUGCCUGCCUGCGGCGGAUGAUGAUGCAUGCAUUGGCAUGGCAUAUGGUCCAUGCGGCCUACGGCGACACGCAUGACAACAUGAGGCGCGCGCGCGCGCGCGGCAGCAGGUUGGAGUACAGUAGAGUAGACUGCUAGAGUGCUAGUAGUGGUAGGCUGAGCCAGGCCAGCCGAUCGAGCCCGAUCGAUCGAUGGAUGGAUGCAUGUGUGUACACCUAGCUGCUAGGAGGAGUAGCGUGCACACACGUGACUUGCCGUGCCAGCAUGUCGAUGGAUCCGCCUGCUGGAUCUGCUUUUUCGGGCUGGCUGGCUGCGUGGGAUUGGGAUCGAUGGGUCGUCGACUUGUCCUGCUCGAUCGUGUUAAAAUGUACUGUGUACAGGGAUCCGGUCGGGGUCCUGAGAUUGUACCCCCGCCCGCCCCGCCGCCCCUCAGUCGUUCAUGCAUGUGACGACUGUUGUAACACUGUGCUGUGCAUGCAUGCUGGCCUCUCUCAUGCAUGUUUGCAAUAUGCAUCUCGCUCUUCCUUCUUUCUUUUCUUUCGCUUUCCCUUAUAUAAACAAGAGAUCUCUACAUUUGCAUGUACAGAGAUGAGAUGACCGAACGGUGUUAUGGAACGACGGCAACGAGACCUACCAUAGCAUAUGCCAUGCCACGCACACAGCACAUGCAUGCAUGUCUCCAUCGGUUCAGGUUCCUUUCGAGAGUGACAAUAUAUAUACAGUAAUUGUCGUUCACUACCAUAUAUAUAAAACUUCAUUUUUUAUGCACGUGUAACUAUCACGGACUGAUCGUGUCGCACGCUUGGAGUUCGCGGAUUUUUCUCCCUGGACGUACUUCAUUCUCCUCCUCCAGCUGUAACAACAGCUAGCUAAUAAGCUAUAUAUAUCUCGUCUUUCUUAACCGAAAAGAAACGAGAGACGGCAACCACUUCAUUCCGUGGAUUGGCAGCACCUUACGUACCCCUGCUGGUCCUUCGACCUCUCGAGAUCGAAUAAACAAGAGGCCAAUCGAUCUAAUAACCCCCUCAUCUCGUCUCGUGCCUCCGUGGACCCUUUUUUGCCAUUAUUCCAAUGAUGAUGGGACGUCGAUCCCACGACGACGCCGGCUCGCACCUCGCUCGGCUCACUUCUGUAUAGUAUAGUGUGUGUGUGUGUGUGUAUAUAUAUAUAUAUAUAUAUAUAUAUAUAUAUAUAUAUGGCUUUUAUGAAAUUCAGGUCGUUUUCAUCGACGACGACGGGGAAUAAGAUUUAACGGAUCCGAUGGCAAGGAGUGUUCUUCGAAAGCUCCGUGUGGACAUGCAGGUGGUAGAUAGUAUAUAUCCACUACAAGUCUCGUGGACUCUUCGGACACGGGGAUUUUACCGGCCGGCCUCUCUUUUUUUUUUCACGAUAGGGGAUAUAGGCCAUGUUUGGAUCACGGGUUAGAGUUAGAUUUAACUAUUUGAAGGUCAAAUAGCUCUAAAGUAUCUAAAUAUGAAGGUUAGAUCGAGAUUACUUAUAUCUAACUCAUCCAAAAAACUAUUCCCUCAAAGAGGUGCUUGUUUGAGCUAUUUGAGAUGAGGCCCACAGGGAAGCGUUGUUUUGCCACACGGUAUCGCCUCCCGUCGCGCACAACCGGUUACUCUUCCCCAGGCGCGACGUGACCCUACAGCUGCGCCGCCUCCUCCCGGAGACCAACGCUGCCGCCAUAAGUCCGCCUCGCCGCCGCCUAUGGACGGAGAUGGCUUCGACGUGUACGGCUCGCAACCGUCGUUGACCGGCCCUGGACUCGCAGAUCUCAACCUCAACUUGCAAGCGUCGAUGGCAGUGGGGUUCUCUUGGCUUGGGCUCUAUGGAGCCAUCCUCUAGGACAACGAUGACAAGCUCCUCCCUAGCCGCAUGAGGGGCUCCGGCCACCCUCCCUAUCGCCCACCACGAGCCAAAGUUGUGAGCAGGAGAAGGCCACACAACAACCGGCCACACAAAAUUCGGUUGAAAAGGAGCCAAAUAAUUGGGAAAGUAUAUUUAUUGUCAAGCAAACCUUUGCAUCCAAAAACCUCUUUGGGUAGAGUUAGUUAAGAGCUAAUCAUGAGAGAAUAACUUUAAUUUCUAACUUAGUUAGAGUAUCAAAUAGGGCCAUAGUCUGUUUUUCAUUAAGAGGAACAAAGUAAAAGUCAACUACGAGAGAACCCUCGUAGCACAUGCUAUAAACCUUGCACCGUCUUGACAUGACGUUAAGUGACGAUUCCAUCGAACGAAUUUUUUACUAUUGCAACGAACUACAUAUAACAUCAUCUAAACAAUCUACUUAAAAUAUACAUUGUUUUUUUUCUAAAAAUGAGGCUAGCACUUUUUUUUUUCUAAAAAUGAGGCUAGCAAGCGAAGGAACCAAACACCCGCUUAUUUCACUAUUUGGCAAGGUGAGGCGAGAUGAGCCUGAGCAAGAGAUCCAACUGCUUCAGAAGGCGAAGAACAUGCUGCAUGAGGGAAGGAAGGUUUGGACUAUAAAUUAAUACUAAACCUAAUGUAUGGCUAGUGAACAAAAUUAGAAGUGCGCACUGAGUCGCUGCACGCAUGGGCAGGGUCGAAGCUAGGCUCCAAACUGUAACUGAUAUUGUGUUUUGGAUAAGACAAAAAUUUACUCAUAUAGCUUCAAACUCAGAAAAUGUAGGAGUGAGGAGUCUAUAAUCUAGCUCUGCAUGCUGGGCCUCAAACUCAGAGGGGUACGAGAGUGAGAAAGUGAUACUGUAUAGUCUAUCUUUGUUCGGUCUUACACUUAAAUAGGUGGGACUGAGAGAUAACGGAUAAAAAGAACUUCAAACAAGUGAAUGACAGACGAGCCGUGAUGGAUAAUGAUACUCUAGAGGAAUAGGAGUAAGAGACGGAAUAAUAGGAUUAUUUAAGAGAGGGACGACCGGAGAAAAGAGCUGGGAGCGGAUAUUAUGUGUAGUAGAGAGCAGAUAUAUAGCUUUCACUUUCGAUGUGUGUGGACUCUGAACUGUUCUGCAUAAAAACUGGCUACUUGUCUGGUACGGCUGUUUCUACCAACGUGUUUGGAUUAUUGUUCGCCUUGGCUAAUAAUACAAACACUUCUACUCAUCAGACACGAUCGAGACCGAAUCACGAAGCAAAGUUAAAUCGAUGGUGACUAAACCAAGCCAUGGACGAGGUCUCUAAAAUCCAAGGACGUAUACAGAUAAAAAAAGAAGGAAUUGUGAAGCUUUCUAACCCUUUUCAGGACUACUGUACCUUAACCAUGCCACUGUCUGUUGAUCAGCCGCGACCGCGACGCGACGCGAUCAGUACUCAUCUCACAGGUCACCGCUACACGUACGUAGUACUUUCUCCAUACAGCAGCGCAAUGCUUCAAGAAAGAAACAAAAGGAGGAAUCAUAGUGGCCUGACCAAUUUAUAAUAGGAGUAUUCCGGUAUCAUUGUCGCGUCUGGACGUCAUGAGCUGGGCACGGUGACGUGCGUCCAUGGAGAAGCUUUAUUUGCAAGCUUGCUACGCAUCCAUCUGCAGAUCUGCCUCAGCAUGCCUUCGUCUCUACAAGGUAGGAUCAGUACAAGCUCUCUCUCUAAAAGAGGAAACAAAUGUUCCUAUUUCCUGCUUAUUCCUUCCUUCCGUUUCCCCGUCCUGCUCAUGGUCAUGGAUACGAACCCUAAGGAGAAUGCCCGAGAGUAACUCCGGGAUAAGCUGCUGGCCAUGAGGCUGACAGAUCGCACACACACAAACAGAGAAAUUCAAGGAGAGAGACAGAGACGGGACCAUGGCGUGUACAGUACUGAGGUCACAAGUCUACAAGACAACAAUAGGGUCUCUUUCUCUCUCUCUCUGAAUUUUUAUUCAGCCAUGCGUUUCUUUUUUUUUGAAAUCUCCGUAUUUCUUAUGCAGCCGGCCGGAUAAGUUCACACAGGCUAAUAGAGAAUUGCAACUUGCACAUUUACCUGUUUCUUGACACUGCAAGUUGUCUGUUAAGACCAUGUUUCUUGACACUGUAAGUUGUCUGUUAAGGUAUUGAGAAAACGGCUAAAACUUACUAUAUGACUGUAUUAUUACAUGCAGUUCCAAUUCCAUGCAACAAUCCUUGCAGGAGAAGCAAGUCUGAAAGUUUCUAAUAAAUAAAUUUCUCAAAAUUAAGUUGAUCAAGUGGCAACCAAUGCAAGUUAGUUCAUGACGCUACAUACUGUGUAUAUACCACCACCAGAAUCUGACCUUUGCCCAGUUGCCUACCAUCUGCUCCAAAUGCAGGUAUUUCUUCAGUUUUUACUGCUACAGAACUGAUAGACACAACCGGGCCGGGAGAAUCUCAGGGGUCCGGUGGUGGGCCUCCAGGGUCAGCACACAACAGUGAACUCACAUUCUUCUGCAACCACUGCCUUGCUAUCCUACAAACAAAACGCCAAGCACGUACUAGUGCACACACACACACAGACGCACAUCACACAUGCUACUCGGAUAACGUUACAAUUACUGUGCACCUCAUGUUGAUGCUCGCAUAUGCAUGCAGGCAAAGACAGAUUAAGGCCCUCUCUCUCUCUCUCUCUCUCUCUCUCUCUCUCUCUCUCUCUCUCUCUCUCUCUCUCUCUCUCUCUCUCUCUCUCUCCGGUCGUCUUCCCGGCCUCCAAAUCGAAACAAAACCAUCGUAUCAUGUUGGAAUUUAUGUCCUUGGAACAGGCCAUAUGUUGCUCGCUUAAACUAAUGCUCAUCACAGAACUCGGAAGGUGUGUGUGAUUUGAUGUGCAUGAUUUGGUUUGGUGUGUGCGCGGGCAGCAGAUCGAGUACAGCGAACACAGCGGCCCCAAAACCUGAUUCCCCGUGCAGCGAAUGUUUGUUUAGGUUUAGGAGAGCCGUGAGUCAUGAGACUCCUGUCGGCGAACAACCGGAUGCGGAUGAUGCCAGUCGCCACCUCGCACGGAAUUCCCUCACCUAAUGCGCGCAGCGCGCAGGCAGCAAAUUUCUCUGCACCUAGCCCUGCUAGAUAGGUUGUCUCGCUCGCUCGUUAAGUUGCUGGGUUAAUAAUUAGCGGCACAAACUUAAUUGAGCAUUUGAGCGUUCUAGAUUUGGGCCUUGUUUAGUUCACUCCGAAAACAAAAAAAAAAAUUCAAGAUUCUCUGUCACAUCGAAUCUUGUGGCACAUGCAUGAAACAUUAAAUAUAGACGAAAACAAAAACUAAUUACACAUAGUUUAGCUGUAAAUCACGAGACGAAUCUUUUGAUUCUAGUUAGUCCAUAAUUGGAUAAUAUUUGUCACAAACAAACGAAAGUGCUACAGUACCGAAAAGUUUUCACUUUUCGAAACUAAACAAGGCCUUGGUGCCCCUGAGAUUGAGAAGCAGACGCAGAGAUGUGUGCUUUUUUAUUUAUAAGUAUCUAUAUCUAUUAUAUAUUGUUCAGGACAGCCAAGGCGUAGAUUAAAUAGGGUUUCGUGACGGCCACAGUUUGACUUGUUUGACUAGGUUAGUGCCUCUCCUCCUGCUAGGCUCCAGAUGAUUGACCCGGCCGGUACAUAUCAUCGGUGUAUAGCGUAUAGGGCGGCUAAACAAAUACAUUCCGUGUGAUUUGACGCGUUUGUUUGGCAAACCUGAGCUACUGGUAUGUUUAUAUAUAACCUAUAAGAAGGCAAGCGGGCGCAUUAAAAGGGUUAUGAGAAACGAAAACAGUGAGCCAAAAAUCCAAAACUUUAUAAGAUUCUCCAUCACAUCUAAUCUUGCGGCACAUGCAUGAAACAUUAAAUAUAGAUAAAAAAGAUAACUAAUUGCACAGUUUAUCUGUAAAUCACGAGACGAAUCUUUUAAGCCUAGUUAAUCCAUGAUUGGAUAAUGUUUGUCAAAUAAAAACGAAAGUGCUAUAGUGUCAAAAUCCAAAAAAAAAUUGGAACUAAACAAGGCCUGGGAUUAUCUCAUAUUUCAUUUUUGCUAUAAUUUAUUCAAGGACACCCACGCAUACUGUUGGAUAUCUAGCGCAAAAACCAUCUCAACGCUGCAUGCAUCUUUUAUAACCACACAUAUGUUUCUUAGAAUUCGAUUUUAGUCUCAUAUAGGAGAUGCUUCUUUUGACCUUUUCUUAUCCCCCCUCUUAGCAAUAUGCCGGCCGGCCGUGUGGAUUGUAAUAUUAAAUACAAACCACUACUUCUCAUAAGACGUUUUGGGGUAAAGGGAUAAAUCCCAAAAGUCCUAAAAAAACUAAGAAACCAUCUAACCUUUAAUUUAAUAAACUCUAAUCGUCCUUACUUAUAAUUAAUUAUUUAAGAAAACUAACUACAUUUGUCAGUAUGUAUAUGUGGAGUAAGCCCCUAUAUUUACAUCUAAAUUGCCCACUUCGUCAUUAUGAAAGAUAAUUUUUGACCCCUAUUUUACUUAAAAUUAUUCAUGUAUGCAUUACAAAAAGCUAGCUAGACCCCUAAAUUUGCAUUACGAAAGCUAGUUAGAACACCAUUGAAAUUGCUUGCUCUAGGUUUACACCAAGUAUUAGUGAGAUUUGCAUACCUCUUACUUACUCAGUGCUUGCACGCACUAUUGUUGUACAUGAGAGGGGCUUAUAGUCUUUCGAGAUUAUAGCGACCACACUUAUGGUGUGGCUACAACCGUGUACCGGAGGGAACGAGGCCCGUUGCGAUUCAAUCGAAGCUUGAUAGUGAAAACGGCAGAAUAGGCCACUGAGAGAUCCACUUGUAAGUGAGGAAGCCUCCCCAAACAGGAGCUUUGCCCUUGGGAGGGGCUCCAAUGAGGAAUAAGGGGAAGCGAGGAUUGUGAAAGGUCCUAAUAUGGCUAGAGGGGGGGUAAAUAGCCUAUUUAAAAAUCUACAAAUCACUAGAGCCACAAGUUAGUAAAUAACAAACCGAAGCUUUUUGCUCUAGCUCUAAUUGAGGGUUGCAAGCCACCUAUCUAACAAUUCUAGUUGCUAUAGUCUCUAAGCUCAAUCAAAGACUAAGUCACUACUUACACUAGUGAGCUAUCUAAAAAUUCUAUACAAGAAAGUAAGCUAUAGUUUGCGUGAAUAUAAAAGAGUAGAAUGCAAACUUUUAUACCGCCGUGUAGAGGCAAGUGAACCAAUCAAUAUAAUGAAGACCAAUCACUAGGAGAAAUUCAAUCAAUCACAAGAGAUGUACACAAAGAUUUUUCUCCCGAGGUUCAUAUGCUUGUCGGCAUGCUAGUCCCUGUUGUGUCAACCAACACUCAGUGGUUCGGCGGCUAAGAGGUGUUGCACAAAUCUCGUCCACAGUAGGAGACUGCAAGAACCUACCCACAAGUGAGGUAGCUCAAUGACGCGCGCAAUCCACUAGAGUUACCUUUCGGCUCUCCAUCGCGAAAGGUACAAGACCCCUCACAAUCGUCGGGAGAUAGCCACGAACAAUCAUCAACUUAUGCCAAUACUCCUCCGCUGAUCCAAGCCACCUAGGUGACGACAACCACCAAGAGUAACAAAAAAACUGCAGCCACAAUGAUCUGCAAGUGUGACUAGAUGCAAUCACUCAAUCAAAUCCACUUGAAAUCACUCUCAAUCUCAAAAAGAUCAAAAAUCUAUGAAGGAGAGGAGUGGAAGGUGUUUUCUUAGACUCACAAGGAUGUCAAGUAUGUCAAAGUGCCAAGAGAGACACCCAAGAGCCAACCAACUAUUUAUAACCGUCCCCAAAGGAUAGUGUCGUUAUCCCCUAGGACAGUCGUCCUCUAUCAGGGGCGUCAGACGUGCCAAGGAAAGGCCAUCAGACGCUACCCAGCGUCCGAUGCUACCCUGACACCGCCGUUGGAAUGCUACCACAUAUCCUUAAUUAAACGUGAUCCGUUGAUUCCCAAUGGUCACCUAAACAUUGAAGUUCACAGUUAGGAGGCGUCGAACACGUCAUAUACUACGCAUCGGACGCGCGACCCUUACACCAGAUGCUAUUUAGAGAGUUUAGAAAAUGCUCGGGGGUGCGUCGGACGUGUCCAAUGGUGGUCCAUUGGAUGCAUGUCAGUGUUCAACGUGCACAGCUUGAAACAUGCUCGUGACAUAUGCUGACAUCACAAUGCACCGGUGAAGGGAUCAAGAUGCCUAAGAGAGGGGUGAAUUGGGCUUCUCUAAAAAUUUAAGCAACCUAUAAGCCUCAGUUCAACCCUUGUGCCUAUAUGUGUUCUAGAGAGCUACCAGAUAAAAGUUUUGCAACCUAGUUCCAAUCAUAUUCUAGCAUGAAAAUUCUAAGAAUGUAAAGUACUCAAAGUAAAUGCUAGAAUGUAAAGGAUGAGAGGAAGAGGAAUGCGGCGAUGUUUUGCCGAGGUAUCGGAGAGUCACCACUCUCCACUAGUCCUCAUUUGAGCACCUGUGGAACGGUCUUGCUCCCCCUUGGUCCGCGCAAGGACAAAGUCUCUCUAUGGGCUGAUUCCUUGACACUCUGUCAUGGUGAAUCGGCCACAAUCGUCGCUCACAAGCUUGACACGAGCCACCCACAAGACCUUCGGGUGAUCUUCGUGCCUCCAGUCACCACCGAACUAUCUAGGUAAUGGCGAUCACCAAGAGCAACAACCAAAGAACUCUCACUUGACCCAAACAAGGCACUAGAGAGUGGUGGAUGCAUACUUGAACUCGUGGAACUCAUUAGAGAAGGAUCUCUCAAGAAAUCACUCAAUUCUCAAUCCUCUCUAGGCUCUUGCUUCUCUCUUGCACCAUAAGAUGUUUCUCAGCUGAACAAAUGGGCAAGAGACCUCUCUUAGAUGAGGUGGAGGAGUAUAAAUACUCCCCAUCAAGUCCAGGGGUCGACCACUCGAAUUCAAUAGAAAACAAGUGCACCGAACUCACUUUAUGUUGCACCAGACACACUUGACAGAGUUUCCGCUGCAGCUCUAACGACUAGUUGCACUUUGCAAAACUGCUCGCACCGGAUGCUCUUCAACUGUCCAGUGUCCUCACUCAGGUCUCAUUCGGUGAGAAACCAGUUUUACAACCUCUCUUGGUAAGGGACCGAACGCACCCCGUAGGGUCCGGUGCGUGCGUCCGGUGCCUAACCCUAGGCACUUGGCGUGCUGGCUCAACUCCAGCAUACAUUUGACGCCCCAACAGUCACAUUGUUGCGUCCAGUGCUACUCCUCAACCAACACUUCAUCGAAUCGCAAACUUUCCAAAACAAAGUUUUAUACUCUUGAUCUAAGGACUUUCUCAGAGCUGCCUAGUGCUAGAUUUAUCAAGUGUGCACCACACCUAAACCUAAAGCCUUGUCUAGGUCAAGCUAUUCGUUCGAUGCCCCCCUUAAUAGUACGGUUAAAGGAAAAACAAAGUCCUAAACUACUCUAAGUGCCCUUCAACACCAAAUGGCACUUAGACCUAGUCUAGUCUUGACGAUGUCCAACAUUCCUUUAAAAACCAAAAACAAUUUCCACCAUUAAGUCGGCAUGAACAACUUAGUCCAUCGAUCACUAAUACCAUGACCUAACUCAAAUAAUUUUGCCCCUGUAAAACACACGUUAGUCAUAGUAAUCAACAUUGUCAUUAAUCACCAAAACUCAUUAGGGCCUAGAUGCUUUCAACCGGACGCUCAAACAAUGUUCUGGCCACGUCCGGUGCCUGGGCGUCGAAUGCGCCAAUGACCCACUAGAAACACGCAGAAAAGCCAACAUGCGUCGCACGCUUAGCCCAGUGUUCGAUGCUUCUAGAGUUAACGUUCGAUGAGUGUUUUUACAGUGAAAGACACUUCCAUGACUUCUCCAAACUAUCCUCUGUGGGGGUAUAAACCCCUAUACCCUUACGGCUGGACUUGGGCCAGGAGGCUUGGCCCAUUACGAGGCGAGUCCAAAGCUUGAUCCGACAACCUGGAGUCCCGCGCAAGGAAACAAGAUGUGGAGAUCAAGCAGGAUUCUGGUCGGUUAGAAUAGGAAUUGAUAUCGAAUUAUCCAUGGCAAUUGUAACCGACUAGGAUUAGUUUCCAGAUCUGUAACCCUGCCCUCCAGACUAUAUAAGGAGGGGCAAGGGACCCCCCUAGGACACAUGGUAUUCUCUCAACACAAAUCAAUACGACCAGACGCAGGACGUAGGUAUUACGCCAACUCGGCGGCCGAACCUGGAUAAAAAGCUUGUCCGUGUCUUGCGUCACCAUCGAGUUCGUAGUUUGCGCACCGUCUACCGAUAAACUACUACCGUGGGUAUACCCCAAGGUAGACUGCCGACUAGCUUUCGUCGACAGUGGCGCGCCAGGUAGGGGGUGUGCGUGCAACUUUUCCGGCGAACAAGAUGGUCACGAUCCCAGCUUCCGCGACCGUGCCCGAAGGCCUCACGUUCACCGUCGGCCAGAUCACGUGGACGACGUGCAGCGGCGGCUUCGCGACCGCGGUUCCGAAGGAGAUCCAGAUCCAAUCUGAGAUCACGCCGUCUCCGACCACACGCAUGACGGCACCAAGCGCCCGACCACCGUUCCCACUCUACAAGGGAAAGGAGAUCGACUGCUCGGACCUCCUCCAAGCGCUCGAUCGCACUGACUCCAAGCUACUCGAAGUCUCCCAACUAAUAGAUGGAGUUCUGCGCCGGCCCGACCAAGCUGCUCGAGCGGAUUUUUCGAAAUCCCGCCGGCCAACUCGUGUCGCCACACACGAACGGCUGGGAACGUCCCUGACGAUAACCUCAACCCCCUCAGGACGAUCCGUCGAGCUCAAGAAGGAAGACUAUCCUCGCGGCCUGAACAACUCGGCCUCUGUUUACUCACAGCAUGUCCAAUCCGUUUUCAGCAAGGCGGGUUGGUCGCCGACAAGGAACAAACGUCACCAUGUCAACAUGGUGACAAUCCGAGAGCUACGGGACGGCCAGGUUUCCAGCACCAACUCAAGCACCGGCUCCAUCCCCACCGAGGUUAUAAACACCGAAGACGAGGGCUACGACCUGGAUUUUCCUUCACACCCUCCGGGUUUCGACCGAUUCCCGAUAUUCCCCCCCGGCGAGGGGAUAUUGUGUUCAAUGUCAGCGCCGACGAACCGGCUGUUGACGGAGAAACAGAUGACCAGAGGCAACUCCGCGAACAGCGUAACGCCGAUCGCGCCCGACGGCGUGCGGACGAGCAACAACAGAUGCCACCAAGUAACCUCAACGAUGCCUUUGACAUGGUCGGGGACCAGCCAGUCUACAAAACGCCAAGCGCCAAUGUGGUUGUCGCCAUGGCCAACCUGGAUCGGCUUCCUGACACCCCCGAAUGCCAGGGAGUCCGGACCAGCAUCCGAGCACACCUGAUCGCCGCAAUGGGACAGACAGCCACUCUACUCAAGAGAGUCCAGGACGUCUCUUAUACGGAAGCCGCCUCCGACCAGACUAAUCGUAGCCAGGUCUCACCCAGCAGGCGUCACCGCAGCCGCUCCCCCGACAACCGUCGAGGGGACUCGCGGCGCGACGAUGGUGGUCGGGACGCCGAUGGCCGCCGCAAGCAAAUUCAUGGCAUACGCGGCCAAGAAGAAGAUCAACACAGGGAUCUCCGCCACAACAUCCCUCCCAAAGAUGCCCGGGACCGCAUCAACAGGCGCGCCGCAGAGAGAGCAGUCCACGAAAACCUGCGCCGCAUCGAGUACGAUGCGACCCACGGUCCUCCAGGCCUAAGACAGUUCUCCUCACACCUCCGCCAGGUCGUGUGGCCCCGCAAUUUCAAGCUCGAAAAACUUAAAAAAUACGACGGCAAGGAAAAUCCAGAGAACUGGAUCACUCUCUAUGAAAUCGCCGUCCGAUCAGCGGCAGGAGAUGAGCACGUCAUGGCUAACUACUUCCCCGUAGUCCUCGACCAGGCUGGUCAUCAGUGGCUUCUCGGCUUGCCCGAGGACUCCUUCGACUCUUGGGAAGAGCUACGCCAGGCUUUCAUCGACAACUUCAUCGCCACAUGCGAGCAGCCCGGAAACAAGUAUGACCUUGAAAGGAUAAGAGACAGGAAGAAUGAACCUCUGCGCGAUUACAUCCGACGAUUCUCGGAUAUGCGCCUCAAAAUCCCGAAGAUUUCUCAUGACGAGGCCAUAUCAGCCUUUAUCAAGGGCUGGCGUUUCCAUGAAGCGCUGAGGAACAAGCUGUUGCGUAAGCGCCCAUCAACGGUAGCAGAGCUCCUCGCCACGGCUAAAAAUUACGCCGAUGCUGAUGACGUAGAAAAACUAAUCCGAGACGAUGCGAGAGGCCCCGACCAGCCUUCCCGGCGAGAUGACGGUCGUGGUCGCUACGACAACAGAAAUCACCGCCGCUCUGACAACCGCGAUCACCGAGAGGGUUGGGAUCGGCGGCGCGACAGCCGCGACGACUUCAGAGGAAAGCGCCCUCGCGAAUACGACCACGAAGUAAAUACGGUCAAACGUCCCAAUGGACGACGGGACUACCAAGACGACUACAACAAAACGUUGAAGGGACCGUGCCAGCUACACCCAAAGUCUAACCAUACCAUGGAAGAGUGCCGCGUCCUCAAAAGUAUCUAUACACGGCGGGCCGCCCAAGAGGACUCCGCCAAGAAAAAUAACAAGCGCGACGGGCACGACCACGAAGAUGAGGAUGAGGACCAAGACAGGGACCCCCGACACCAAUACGUCAGCACCACCGACGUGGUCCACUCCAUUUUCGGGGGCAAGGUCUCCACUGAGUCCAAGCGAGAAAGAAAGCUGUUAAAGAGAGCCUGCCUCAACAUAGACAGCACGGACGGGCUGAUCGCAGAUCCGAAAUUUCCCGCGUGGUCCCACAGGGAGAUCUCGUUCAGCAGGAAGGACCAGUGGGCCGCUAUCCCAGAGCCGGGUCGUUUCCCACUGAUUCUUGAUCCCUGCAUCAAUAGCAUCAGAUUCGAGCGCGUGCUCGUGGACGGGGGAAGCUCCAUCGACAUCCUCUUCCGCAACAGCCUGCCCGCCCUCAAGAUAUCACCGGCACAACUAAAACCUUACGACGCCCAAUUCUGGGGGGUUUUGCCAGGUCAAAGUUCGGUGCCCCUCGGACAGAUAACAUUGCCUGUCCAAUUCGGCACACCCGAUCAUUUCCGGACGGAGUUCAUCAACUUCGUAGUCGCGGAUUUCGACGGGACCUAUCACGCCAUACUGGGCCGCCCAUCGCUGACAAAGUUCAUGGCAGUCCCGCACUACUCAUACCUAGUCCUUAAGAUGCCCACGGAGAAGGGUGUCCUAACCGUCAGAGGCAACGUCUACACCGCGUACACCUGCGAAGAAGAAAGCUUCAAGAUCACCGAGGCAAUCGACCUCUCAAUCCGCAUGGCGGAAACAGCAAACCAAGCCGCACAGCUGCCUCCCGAUCAGCUCCGAUUACCUGAGCAGGAGACAGCCAGAAAGAACUCGAAAUCCAAGGAAUACAAAGAAGUGCAGCUGGUCGAAGGCAACCCCGAGAAGACAGCCCUCAUCGGGGCUAACCUGGAUCCAAAAUAGGAAGACGCGCUCGUCAGGUUUCUAAGGGACAACGUGAGCGUUUUCGCAUGGAAACCCGCUGACAUGCCCGGUGUCCCACGAAACCUGAUCGAGCACUCCUUAAAUGUCUCGAAGACCGCAAGACCAAUCAAGCAAAAACUGCGACGGUUCGCUCGUGACAAAAAGGAGGCUAUUAGGACAGAAAUAACUCGACUUCUAGCAGCCGGAUUCAUAAAAGAAGUGUAUCACCCCGAUUGGCUCGCCAAUCCGGUUCUUGUACGCAAAAAGAAUAAUGAAUGGAGAAUGUGCGUUGAUUACACCGAUCUCAACAAACACUGUCCUAAAGAUCCUUUUGGUCUUCCUCGCAUCGACGAGGUGGUCGACUCAACGGCCGGAUGCGAACUACUCUCCUUUCUAGAUUGCUACUCUAGUUAUCACCAGAUCUCGCUAAAGGAAGAAGAUCAGAUCAAAACAUCCUUCAUCACACCCUUCGGCGCAUACUGCUACACUACCAUGUCUUUCGGACUUAAAAACGCCGGGGCCACUUAUCAAAGGGCCAUCCAGCAAUGCCUCCACGACGAGAUUCGCGAUGACCUCGUCGAGGCCUAUGUGGACGACGUGGUCGUAAAAACAAGGGACGCGAGCACCCUAAUCGACAACUUAGACCGAACCUUCAAGGCACUCAAUAGGUACAAGUGGAAGCUCAACCCCAAGAAAUGCAUUUUCGGCGUUCCUUCCGGUCUACUGCUCGGCAACGUCGUCAGUCGCGACGGCAUACGACCAAACCCUUCAAAAGUCAAAGCCGUACUCGACAUGCGACCACCGAAGAACGUCAAGGAUAUUCAGAAGCUAACCGGAUGCAUGGCCGCCCUCAGUCGUUUCAUCUCAAGGCUGGGAGAAAAAGGCCUCCCUUUCUUCAAACUAUUGAAAGCGUCAGAAAAAUUUUCUUGGACAGAGGAAGCCGACGCUGCGUUCACUCAGCUUAAGACCUUCCUCACUUCACCACCUGUCCUCACAGCGCCUCAGCCCAAUCAAGACCUACUCCUUUACAUUGCUGUAACCGACAGGGUUGUUUCCACGGCAAUAGUGGUCGAGCGAGAUGAACCAGGUCAUGUCUUCAAGGUCCAGAGACCCGUUUACUUCAUAAGCGAAGUCUUAAACGAGUCCAAGGCCAGGUACCCACAAAUACAGAAGCUUAUAUACGCCAUCCUGAUAACGUCAAGAAAGCUGAAGCACUACUUCGACGGCCAUCGAGUCCUGGUGACAACCAGUUUUCCUCUCGGGGACAUCCUGCGCAAUAAAGACGCCAAUGGCAGAAUCGUGAAAUGGGCAAUGGAAUUAUGUCCAUUUUCCCUGGAGUUCCAGAGUCGCACCACUGUCAAGUCUCAAGCCCUGGUCGAUUUCAUUGCCGAAUGGACGGAUCUCAACGAGCCUUCCGUUCCCGAUGUCUCAGACCACUGGUCAAUGUUCUUUGACGGGUCCUUGAACAUCAACGGUGCAGGCGCUGGGAUAUUGUUCGUAUCACCCAACAAGGACAAACUCCGUUACGUCCUUCGGAUCCUUUUUCCGGCGUCAAACAACGUCGCCGAAUACGAAGCAUGCUUGCAUGGCAUACGACUAGCCGUUGAACUGGGGGUCAAGCGCCUCUACGUCCAUGGCGACUCCGCUUUGGUCAUCAACCAGCUCAACAAGGAGUGGGACACAACCCACGAGAAGAUGGAUCUCUACUGCAAAGAAAUUCGCAAAUGGGAAACUAACUUCUAUGGCAUAGAGUACAUCCACGUGGUCCGGGAUAAGAACCAAGCAGCAGAUGCGUUGUCAAAGUUAGGCUCAUCGUGGGCCCAAAUCCCGCGGGGUAUUUUCGUCCAGGACAUCCAUGAGCCGAGCGUAAGCUCCCCCCUGGUCGACAAGCAACCCACCGAGGCAAUGCUCAUAGAUGACGCCACUCCGACAACCGGCGGGCGUGACUGGCGUACCCCGUUCAUCAAAUACAUAUCAGACGGGACAGGCUUUCAGGACAAAACAGAGAACGAGCGCCUCAUCCGACGAUCAAAGAACUACAUCCUGGUCGACGGAAAACUCAUGCGGAAAAACGCAAGCUCCGAAGUACUGCUCAAGUGCAUACCCCAAGAUGAUGGUAUCAAGCUCUUGGAGGACAUACACGCUGGAUCCUGCGGCAAUCACGCCGCAUCUAGAACGCUGGUCGGAAAGGCUUUCCGAGCAGGUUUUUAUUGGCCAACCGCGGUCGGCGACGCAGAAAAACUGGUUCGGCAUUGCGAAGGAUGUCAGUUUUUCGCUAGGAGGACCCACGUACCUGCUCAUGAAAUUCAAACCAUCCCGUCGUCUUGGCCCUUUGCUUGCUGGGGGCUUGACAUGAUCGGACCAUUUAAACCAGCCCCGGGCAAUUUCAAGUUUGUCUUCGUGUUAAUCGACAAGUUCUCCAAGUGGAUUGAAUACAUGCCCCUGGUCAAGGCAACCUCCGAGAAGGCUGUGGAGUUUCUCAAUCAAAUCAUACACAGAUUCGGCAUCCCGAACAGCAUAAUCACCGACCUGGGCACCCAGUUUACUGGCACCACUUUUUGGGAUUUCUGCGAUGACAGAGGCAUAGUCAUAAAAUAUGUGUCAGUGGCACAUCCACGUGCCAACGGUCAAGUCGAACGUGCUAACGGAAUGAUCGUUGACGCCCUAAAGAAAAGGCUGUACACCGAAAACGACAAAGCACCCGGUCGAUGGAUGAAAGAAUUGCCGGCAGUGGCCUGGGGCCUCCGAACUCAGACCAGUCGAAACACAGGGGUGUCUCCCUACUUCAUGGUAUACGGUGCAGAGGCGGUCCUGCCGUCUGACAUACACUUCGGAUCCCCUAGAAUCGAGCACUUCAACCAGGCGACCGCCGACAACGCCAGAGAACUCGAAAUCAAUUGCAUGGAGGAAAAGCGUUUAGUUUCAUGUCUCCGAACAGCAAAAUAUCUCGCGGCAGUCAGGCGAUACUACAACAGGAACGUCAAGGACCGUUCCUUCGUGGUCGGCGAUCUGGUGCUUCGAUGGAAAACAAGCCAGGAGGGAAUGCACAAGCUAUCCACUCCCUGGGAAGGACCCUUCGUGGUGACCGAGGUCACACGACCUACGUCCUACAGUUUGGCAUACCCAGACGGAACACGAGUGCCUAACUCUUGGCACAUCGACAAACUGCGACGUUUCUAUCCAGAAAGUUUUAAUGACUUUCUUUUGUAAGUAUCUUAUAAUUUUUUGAUAAUGAAAUUCUCUAUUUUUGCCUAUACCUUGUCACACACAGCACUCGGCAAAACUCCUGCAACGGAUGCCCUUAGCGACAACCAAGACAAAUACGGUGACACGUCACUCAGAUAUUUUUACAGCGCUCAAAACAACAGUCAUGACAAAAAGUAAACUUUAUUACAAACUUUACAUACAAAGUUUACAAUAAAUACCCUGACGGGCAGACACUAGUCUAUUCCUACAGACUACUUUAUUGGCCUAGCUGCUCGGGCUGAUCACCCGCCUGGCCCUGCUGCCCGGACGAAGGGGUCGGGGCCACCGGCGCCUGGCUGGUCGAGACCGCAGGCGUCGACCGCCCAUCUCCAGCAACGGACGCGCCCGACAACUCCCUGGCCGACCUAUCUGAGCUCGGCUGGUCUGGAGGAGUGGCCGUUCCGCACAGAUUGAUGUCGCCGAUCACUGUCGACGACAAGUCCAGCAGACUACUCCGAAGCUCGUCCGCGUCCUGCGGGCCGACUUCCUUCGGGUACCCCUUCUCCAGCCUGCUCAAGUCGACCAGGGGGUAGUGGGCGCGCACCAUGCUGAGGACGUGCGCGCCGGCAAACUCCCCGGCGUCCUUCACAAACUGCUGGAGCCAGUCCCACGCCCGUUGCGCCUUCUCGACCGGGGUCAACUGCGGCGCGCGGGGCUGGCUCUCCGGGAGCUCGGGACUGAUCAGGUCUAGGACCGGGGACACUCCUUUCCAGAUCCUGCAACAGUUGACCUUCCAGGAGUCCCGGUCCUUGGUCAGAUCGUCCAGGUGCUUUUUGGCGUUCACCUUGAGCACUGCAAACGAAACGAAGCGUUAUUUUCGGCAUAAAAAAGGGGCAGGCAGUAACCAACAAGGCGGCAACCAUUACCAAAUAGCUCCCGAUCUUUUCGACCCAACUCCUCUCCUGCUCGCCGCCCGGACUCCAGCGCACCGACGAGCUGUUGGCUGAGCUGCUCCUUCUCUUGUUGGAGGCUCGCCACCUCCUCCUCCAAGUCUGCGUGAAUCCUAAACUGGUCAGCAAAGCAAACUAUACAAGUACGCGAAGCUGCUCGGAGCGUGUGACUAACCUUCUUGCAGCCGGUACUGGUCGGCUAAACGACGAGCGAGGUCGAGACGACGCUCCUUUUCGGCACUCAUCUCGACCACCUUCUCCCCGACCUCCGCCCGCAACCGGUCUACCUCCGCGGCAAGGGCCUUGUUCUCGGCCAUGACGCCUUCUAUCUGGUCAAAGCACCGUUUCCGGUACUUCGCCGUUUUCAUUGCGUCCUACAAAGCAAGCAUAUAACGACCAUGCAAGACAAGGCAAAAGAAUGUGCAGCAGUGCAAAAAGCCGCUUACCUUGACUUCGUCGACGAGGCGCUUGGCCGCGCGCUCCACCCUGGCGGCCUCUUCGGUCUCGGCGAGCUCCUCAUGCCCGAUAAAGUGAUCCCCGCGUUGGCGCCACACAUACACGUGUUGGCGGCCAUCACGGGGACGACCCUCGAUCUCUUCCACCUCAUCAUCGGAGGCCGCCCGGGUUUCCUCCUCCUGUGCUGCGUCACCCCCGGUGGUGGUCCCAGGUAUUACUGGCCCUUGGACCAGACCUGGGGACCCCGCAGCAGAGGAGGCUCCUGCUCGGGGCGGCGUGGGGACUUCACUCCCCCCGGCAGGAGGAGCGGUCGGAGAUCUUCCCUUCUCUGAGGAGUCAGUUGGGGGAGCCUCUCCAGCCCUGGUCGGGCUACUUGUCGUAGUCGGUGCCGCUCUCGGGAGCCCCUCGGUGCUCCCAGGCGCGACUGCAGCUGUUGGCUGCUCUGUGGUCUGGGGGGCCGCAUCCCCAGAACCGCGGGCAGGCUCGCCCGUCCCUUGGCUGGCAACCUGGCCGGGGUCGACAUCCGACGCCGCACUACAGGAACAAAAGUCAAAUUUCAAAAAAAAAAAAUCAAAGAGGAGUCCAAAAAUACGUAAGUCGAACACUUACAGGUCUGAUCGACGGUGGGUGGCGGUGAACCUCCUCCUCGCCCGGCCGGUCGGCACCUGCGCCCCCGUCUCGACAACUUGCGGUGCAGGGGCGUCGCUGGCCACUCGAUUAGUAGCGGCCGGCGCAUUAUCUGGGCGACCCCGGGGCCGUCGGACCAACGACGGCGCAGCCUCCUCGUCGUCGUCGUCGUCGUCAACGAUCCGCACGAGCCGACGACGCUUCGGUGCUUGGCUGCUCUCCGCCGGAAGAUCCGCCGGCAAAGGAUCUGCCGGCAAUGGCCUCUUCCCCGCUACCCUCCCCUCGGAGGUCGGGAUGGGGCGGGCUUGGUCCUCUUCACUGCUGGUGUAAUGAGUACACCGAGCAGCGUCCUCCUCUGGCGGGUCUUCUCCCGCAGGAUUUUCCAUCCCCGGUGCCAGUGAUACAUACACUGUGCACCGGUCGACACCGCCGAUCUGCAAAAGCAACAGAGAUGAGUCAACUGCCGACGAUAUACGAAUGCUAAAACAGAAUCUGCUACAUACCUUUGGUGCUGGUCGUCCUAACUUGAAGGCUUGCACCCGAUCACUGCCACGGAUGAAGCCUCCGUCCGCGAAGUUAAACAGCUCGUUCAACAGCUGUUGUACCUCCGCUUUCUCCAAGAUCUCCGACCGCAUCCUGGUCGGGUCUGCGCUUCCGGCAUACUCGUACGCCGAGUGCACCCUCUUCUGGCAGGGCAUCACCCGGCGGCAAAUGAAGUUGCCGACCACGCCAAGCCCGUCCAGGCGCGACCAGUCGAUCAGCUUCAUGAGAUCCGCCACUGGACCGUCGAACUCCGGGCGGUCGGUCCAGCUCGUCCUCUUCUCAGGAAUGUAUCCCACGUCGCAGAACAUGGAGCUGCCCGGUUCCUCCCUGAUGUAGAACCACUUCCUGUACCAUUCGGUCAAGGAAGUGUUCCAUGGACAGUGCAGGUAGCGAUUCUUCAUUCCAUCACGAAGGUUGAGGUAUACUCCACCUGCAACCUUGGAGCCUCCAACUGCUCCCUUCUUCCUCAAGCAGAAAAGAUACCGGAAAAGAUCGAAGUGCGGCUCUAUGCCAACAUAGGCCUCGCACAGGUGGAUAAAGGUGGAAAUGAGGAGAAUUGAGUUCGGGUGCAGAUUGCAAAUCCCGAUCUCGUAAUACAAAAGAAGACCUUGAGGAAAAGGAUGAACAGGAACACCAAAACCCCUCUUAAUGAAAUCUUCAAAUACGACGAUCUCACCGGCACGAGGGUCGGGGUAGCUCUCCCCUUCCGGUGCCCUCCAGCCGCCGAGCUCCGGGCCGUGCAGAAGCCCCAUAUCGACGAGGUCACCAAGAGAUUUUGUGGUGCUGCGAGACUUCUUCCACUCCUUGGCCAUCAGUUCGGCCCUCUUCCUGGAGUCGCUCUUCGCCAUUAGAGGUGCGAAUGUGGGCUUGAGUUAGGAAGAUGCAGGAGAUUGGAGAAGAUGAGAGCGGAAGGUUUGAAGGCAAUGGCAGGGUAAGCGGUACAGGCGGACCUAUUAGGCUCUUAUCAGCCCGCAACUCCACCUCUCCCACUUCCUGUAUUCUCGGGAAGUGGGCAGGCCAUGCGGCGGACGCGGCGUUUCGGUUUACAAUGAUUAUAGACAAUUAAUGCGGCGGAUUUUUCGUACCAAUUGAUGGUUUCCUUUACUCAAACCAUGCAAAGGCGGUUGCACAAGUUGCCAGGCGCAACUUUUCAUGCAUCCGUCUGACACCCCGUCAGGAGGCCUCGUCACGUCAAUUUUAACUGGGAAGAUCUUUUCAAAAAAACAAGACGAUACAUACGCCAGAAAGUCAACAAUCCGGGGACUGCACCGACCAUCGGGCAUUCGACGCUCGGGGACUGGUCGCCCAGUCUAUCAGCUCGGAAUUUCAAUGACUGCGCCGACCACCGAGCACUCGACGCUCGGGGACUAGUCGUCCAGUCUAUCAACUCGGAACUUCAAGGACUGCGCCGACCACCGAGCACUCGACGCUCGGGGACUAGUCGUCCAGUCUAUCAGCUGGAAGCUUUAAAGGACUGCACCGACCACCGAGCACUCGACGCCCGGGGACUGGUCGCCCAGUCUAUCAGCUAGACGCUUUAAAAAACUGCACCGACCACCGAGCACUCGAUGCUCGGGGACUGGUCGUACAGUACAGCGACACAGGAUUCUAAAAAACACUUGGUGCUUGGUGACUGGUCGAUUAAUCUAUUCAAUUGCAGUCAGACUGGUAAAUUCCACUUUUUAGACCUCGCUACAAGGCUCAUACUUCGCCUUCCAGCAAGCUCGGGGACUACAUCGGUACGAUGCAUCUGGCGAUGCAUCUCAGUUACAGAAUUUCUUUGAGGACUUUUAUUUUGACCCUGGCACCACGUGCCUACGUCACCUACUACCAGGCUCGGGGACUAAGUGGGCACACUUCACCUUGCGGUGAAUAUGCUUGCUUUUUUGAGGUCUAUACCUUUCAAAAAAGUAAAGUGGGCACACUUCACCAGGAAAGAAAUCUUUUUUGAUUUAGAGCACCAUGCAUUCUUCGAACAACCUGCUUCUUUGAACCUGCUUCUUCAAUGUCAAUGUUGAUCAACUGUCUUUUGAGUUGGUCAAAAUACCGUUGCAACUGUUCGGGCAACUUUCCUGAAGACGUCAAGCCUCACUGAUCGAAGAAGCUCAAGACGGCGUGUUACACCAUAAUACAUGGUGCUCGGGGACUAGCUGUGGGGGUAUAAACCCCUAUACCCUUACGGCUGGACUUGGGCCAGGAGGCUUGGCCCAUUACGAGGCGAGUCCAAAGCUUGAUCCGACAACCUGGAGUCCCGCGCAAGGAAACAAGAUGUGGAGAUCAAGCAGGAUUCUGGUCGGUUAGAAUAGGAAUUGAUAUCGAAUUAUCCAUGGCAAUUGUAACCGACUAGGAUUAGUUUCCAGAUCUGUAACCCUGCCCUCCAGACUAUAUAAGGAGGGGCAAGGGACCCCCCUAGGACACAUGAUAUUCUCUCAACACAAAUCAAUACGACCAGACGCAGGACGUAGGUAUUACGCCAACUCGGCGGCCGAACCUGGAUAAAAAGCUUGUCCGUGUCUUGCGUCACCAUCGAGUUCGUAGUUUGCGCACCGUCUACCGAUAAACUACUACCGUGGGUAUACCCCAAGGUAGACUGCCGACUAGCUUUCGUCGACAUCCUCCAAUGCAAUAGAGAAUAUGUAGUUUAUUUUUUUUUCAAAAAGCGCCGAACCCUUCUUCGCAAUAGAGAGAGAAAACCAAACCCCUCUCCACCUAUUCAACCCUUGCUCAAAUAUUCUAACCACCAAGUGUAUCACCUCGUGCAUGUGUGUUUGCAUAUUUUCACAAACAUUUCCAAGGGUUAAGUUAGCACACUAGGUUCUAAAUGUGUCGGUGUUUUUUCCCCGGGGGGGGGGUUCACACCAACGAGUAAAUUUAUAUGCGUGCUCCCCUUUCCGGAUGGUGAUGCAAGAAGACACAGAGAUUUAUCCUGGUUCGGGCAAGAGAAGGCCCUACGUCCAGCGGGGGGAGAGAGUUUGUAUUAUCUCGCACCUAAGUGCUUGUACAGGGGCGAAUACAAGCGUGGAAUGAAAUGUGUCGCUCUACCACGUGUGUGUGUGUGUGUGUGCUUGUGUUGUGAUGAUCCCCUCUUCUAUUCCUGAGUCCCUCCUUUUAUAGCUCCAAGGAGAGACACAGGGUACAUGCAUAGAUGUUAGAGUAGGGAUCGAUAGCCGCAUGGAGCGCUGACCUACUCGAGGCUUCCGUACGGCAUGGCCUCGAGCCGUCCCAUCUUGAUAGCUUGGUGAUGAUUACGCGUGCUCCCUCGUGCUGCCCUGCCAGCCGCCUUGUGCUAGUUCUGAGGUCGCACGCUCGUAGGGUAUGGUGGCGGAUCCGGCGGAGUAGCUGUGGCGUUGUCAGUCGACGCCCGACUUGUCCCUGGGAAGGGACCUUGUUUGGUCGAGGGUCGGGCGCCGCGUAUUACGCCGAUAUCUGGAGCGCUGACCUUGGGUGUCUCGAGGGGGUCCCGAUUAGACGUUCCAUCCUUGUUUCCUGUGUCCUGACUCGCCCUGGGUCGUUCGGUGGGAAGGCUGCAAAAGGAACGAUGGGACAGAAGCUUGCUCCCUAUCACGCCCUCCGUGGCCUGUGUGUUAGGUGGGGAAGCGUCAGGUGCAUUUAAUGCUUCGGCUCGCGUGCGCGCGUCGGGCGGCGGACAGUGUCCUCACGCCUGGCACCUCUCAGUUCGCUCGAGCUCGCUUCCGUCAUCGAGGGCAGUCGUCGUUCGAGUCCUGAACCGAUUCGCUCGAGACUAUUUCCGUCUUCGAGGCUGCGACUGUCGAUGGCGGCACGUGCGUAAGAUGAGAGCGUCGAAUUAAGGGUCUCGACCUUCGUACGGGCAAUCUCAUAAUGCGCCUUACUGAGGGUACCCCUAACCGAUACCCUCGACAAAAUGCAUGCACAUAAACAAUGUCACCUAGUGGCACUCGAUAGACCGCUUAGCCAAAGAAUUCCUCUUUUUAUAGUACGACUAUUUAUCCUAACUAUGAUAACACUCUCUAUGGUAUCUUGAUCACCAAAACUAAAAUCCUAAGCAAUUCCUAUGCCUUGAUAUCCAUAAAGUUUUGCUUUUUCUCUUUCUUGUUUCCAAGUUGUGCACUUGAUCAUCUUGUGGCCAUCACCACCAUCACCAUAAUCAUCUCUUGCUCCAUCACUUGACAUGUACCAACCUCAUCUAAUCUAUACACACUUAGCGUAGCGGUUAGUACUUUGGAUUUCAUCAAUUAUCCAAAACCAAACUAGGGCUUUCAAGCGUAUGGGAAGGAAGAUGAGGAUAGGGAUUCGACAGAAUGGUUGGGCGGGUUAGCUAGGGUUUAGGGAAUUUUGUUAUGUCCUGUGUGCGACCCACAAGGGUGGCCUUUUGGUGUGCGUUGCCAAUUUUUCGCGUGAAGAGCAUGGAUGGGGAGGAAAGAAAUUAGCUCCUGACGGCAAGGUGAAAUCUCAUGUUUGGUUUUGAUAAUUGAUGAUAUCCAAUGUUGCUAAUGCUUUGCUCUAAGUGUGACUAGACACAUAGCAACAUGAUGAUGAUGCCUACGGCUCGGUGAUGGACUUAGACAUGGUGAUGAUCAAGCAUCGAGGCUCAAGGCCAAGGUAUAAAGAGAUAGGUGUUUUCCCUUUUGGUGAUCGAGACACUAUAGAGAGUGUGAUCAUGUUUAGGAUCGAUAACCGACUAUCAAGAUGGGAAUUCAUUGUUGAAUUUGCGGUCCAAGUGCCUCUAUUUUGACUUUGCAUGAUGCAUAUGAGAGACUAACUAGAAAGCUAACCCUUGCCCUUGUUCAUCAUGUUGUAAUGCUAACUCAUGUGGUUAAGAGUGUUCUACAUGUUGGAGUUGGCACCUAAGGCAAGUGGUUCGAGUUGGAUCGACGACGGCGUGAGGAAACGACGAAGUUAGCCUUUGUUUCGCUAGACAGACGCUGGUCGGGUGUCCGAUGGUCGCCAGACGCGACACAGAGAAGGCCACAAAUUGGAAGCAUCACGAGACGCUGGCCACGAGGGCCAGAACGGUCUGGCGCAUGCAAGAGAGCUGCGGACUGCGGUUUCACCAGACGCGCGCGCGACGGACGCACAGUUGGUACUGUGCAACAUCCGGCGCAUGCAAGUGUUGUCAGUUGUGGACUCGAGCUAGAUGAGAAGGAUGGACGCUGGAUCGUGCGUCCAGCGGUCACUAGACGCUACUCAGAGAGGAUUGGUCGUGGGCCGAGCCGCCGGACACGGCACAGGAGGCGACGGACGCUGACGUGUCAUAGGAUUCAAAUGUAACGAUCGUCUACUAGGGAGUCCGACGCAUGCAUCAAACGCGUCCGGUGUGUGUUCCGAAACAUGUUUUGAAUGAAGAAUCCAAUGGCUAGUUUGCGAAAACGGCGCCGGACGCGUCCGUCUCUUGUAACUCGGCCGCCCGAAGUGCAUAAUGGUUGGGAAGUAGGGGCUAUAAAUAGAUGGUUGGUCGGUUGGGGAGCUACCUCUUGCCCAUUCUAACUUCUUUGAGCAUCCUUUGAGCUAGAGAGACUCCUCCCCACUCAUCUUUUGACUUGAUUGAGCAUUGUUGACUGAGAUUGAGUGAGAAUCAAGUGCUAGCAUUGAAAGUUGCAUCUAGAGGCACUUGUUUUUCGAUUUCGCUACGAAGUUCUUGUCACUCUUGGGUGAUUCCUGUCACCCUAGACGGUUUGGAGCAGUGGGUGGUGUUGAGCUCGAGUGAAGAUUGUUCGAGGCCACACCGGUGAUCUUGUGAGAGGUUCUUGAUCCUUCUCCGCGGGAGAUUCGCGAAAGGAUACUCUAGGGAUUGUGCGUGGCUUGGAGGAUCCUUGUUUUGUGUUGAGAGUGCUGCUCCCGGCUGCGGUAUUUGGCAUUGAGAGCCAAUUGAGCGAGCAUCUCUCCAAGCAAGUGUAUCACCACAAUGAGAACUAGCUUGCCGGGAAACAAGUGAACCUCGGUAAAAAAAAUCAUUGUGUCAAUAUUGUGAUUGCCGAGGAUUCUCUUGUGUGGUUAUCUUGAUUGGGUGAUUGGCCGUCUAUGCUUCACGUCGGUAUAACAAUCCAACCCCCUCUCUUGUAUCUAGCUUUACUUUUUUGUUAUUACAUUACUUGUCUUGCUAGAUAUUGAGUAGAACUUGCUAGCUUGUGUAGCUCUUACUUGUUCUUUUUAUUGCCCGUGCUAGUUUAGUGAAGUGCCUAGGGUUUUCUUGUUUAGAAUUGCUAGGCUAGUUGUUGAUAGGGUGUUAGUUGUUUAGCCUAUUUGCUAGACUUGUUAGAAAGGCUUGCAUGGAAGUAAUUGAAGCUCUAGCAUUGCAAUUACACUAUCUCUUAGUCUAACAAGUGGUCUUGUGUUUUUCCAAGAUAUUUUAUUAGGCUAUUCACCCCCUCUAGCCUUUUGGACCUUACACAAGGGAACCGAUAGGAAAUAUCUCUCCUGACAGUUUCUAGAGACUGGCACGUUUCUUUGGUUUAUUCCUGAUGGUUUCCUUAUUUACUGUCGGCCCGAAGCAACUGACAGGAAUGUUUCAAGUCUUUGCUAUCGGUUUUGUUGCACCGACAUGAGUCUUUACAUAUUAUUGUCGGUUUAUUAAAAACCGUAAGUAAAGUUAAGAACCGUCAUGAAUUAUCCUGAGUUUGGUAGUGUAUUUCUAAUUGGUUAGCAUGUCGUGCACUAUCAGGAGUCCGUGCCAUCUAGGUCAUCUAUCCUUCCCUGUCCUCCUAGACCACCCUAAAAACAUUUUGUCUCCUGGUAAGCCUCGUCUCUAGUAUUGUAGGAUGUAGCUAAUUCACUACGGUAUAAUUUUUAAAUCAAACCCUACGUGCAGUGACCUGACUAGCUAUACCACACAAUACUACAGAAGUGUUGAUUUUGAUCACUCUUAUGCCAAUGUCCUCGUUCCUAUCUCCAUAUAAGGAGAAUGGCAUUCCAAAACCAUCCUUGAAGCCCUAGUGACACUGAGCCUGUGGAGGACGAAUGGUGUCAAGCACUUGACAAUUCGUGUAAGGAGGAGAUGAUGGGAAGUAAGACACCUCCUCUAUUGCAAAUUUUAAGUUAUUUAGAUUUUUCUAGAUAUAUAAUUUUUACUUUAUGUUUAGACAUAAUAUAUAUUAGGUCCGUAGCAAAAACUAUAUAUCUAGAAAAGGUAAAAACAACUUACAAUUUAAAAUGGAGUGAGUACAUCAAAGCCCAAAACAAUGUUGUUCGACCUACACUUUCAUUCAGAAAAAAAAACGUACGCCAGCAUAGUCCAUAUAACGUAUGGGUCCGACAUGUGUCAACUGUGCACACAACACGUGCGCAUCUUCUCAUCAAGGCUAGCUACCACAUCAGUGACACGUCGAAAACUGCCACACCCACUGAGAGCAAAGUUGAUUUCCAUUUCUCCCUUUCCUUUCCGGUUGCUGAACUUUCUUUUCUUUGCACAUGCCCCCACAAAAAAAAGUAUUUUGCAUAUAUAUAUAUAUAUAUGUGUAAUAUGCACCCACACAAAAAGAAAAUAUAUGCAUGCCCAUGUGUCAAUAACCUAAGACGUCUACGUGCAGGACGCUUAGUAUCUUGACGUACUACGUCGUCGCUAGCUACCGGCGAAACUUUUUCAAAGCGUGUUGAAGGCCAUGACGAAACUAUAGCUAGACCCGAGCGCGCCAACAACGACAAGCGCCGAGCUUACGUCGGCUUUCUCGGACGUUUUCCCGGCCAGCAGUAGCAGUAGUGUCACACGGCUGCACUGCACUGCAUGCCUCGCGAACGUUUGGCCUCGAUCGAUGGCUUUCUUUGGACAUUUUCGAAGAGGCUUUCUCCAUGUUCGACUGGAAACUGUUGCCUAUAGCCUGUACAUUGAUUGUUCCAGCUCUUACACGUACGUACGUCAUGGUUGUCUGCUGUUCAAAUUUGCCAGUCUUUCCAACUAAUUAAUUAAUAUAAUAUAUACAUGAGAGUGGGUAGUUGAUGAGUUGGGGUUCAAAUGAACCGAAGAGGAAAAAUAGUUUCCCGGCUGAAAAUUUAACAUCCUAAUAACUGGCCACUUAUAUUAGAUGGAAUGACCUACUUGAUCGAUAAAAUGGAAAUAAAGAGAAAAAAGGCCUACCAAAAUUAGUUCUUGGGAGGAUGGAUGAGCGUGUACAUGCAAUGUACUACUAUGUACUGCUGUGCAAUAAUACAAGUUACAACUGCGCGUGGUUGUCGUUGUCAUGCAUCAGGAAUGCAUGUCAAAUGCAUCAAACUAGCAUAUAUAAUACGAGUUACAACUCUCAGGUAAUUUAAAUGUAUAAUAAGAUAGAAUAAGGACACUAAGUUUACUUGAUGUAAUGUGCUGAGAUCGAUCCUACAUCUCGUCUUGCAUUUCUAUUGCUUGUGUAUCCUUUUGCAUUGUUAGAUGAUAUCUAAUACACGCGGUUCCCGUAUAUCUUUUGGUAGUACCUAGCCCAAGCAAACAGCUAACAGGCCGGGCAUCCUAUGUGCACAAGAGGAUAGAUAGAGCUUGAGUGUCAACUAGUGAUAGCGUCAUAUAUAUUAUUAAUUCCUUCACGCAGAUGUUGUUUUGACAAAAAGAGUAGUGUAAAAAAAUAAUUAGCUGGAUCAUCAAGAAAUAAUUAAUAGUGUGGGUACUGCUAACAAUUAAUAUUACAAAACGAAAAUUUUCCACUUUAUUUGUGCCACUUGUGCAACUAGCAGGUAGGAAUUUUAUACAUAAUUAUUAGUAGGAUAUAUAAUUUCAAAUAGGAAAUUAGUGCAUAUAAGUUUUGUAUAUGAUUACACAGGAAAUUGCAUCGCUCACUACGCGUGAUUUGGUUGGAUAUACCAACAGUGUAGGUAUAUGCUAAUCAUAGCCACACAAGCAAGUGAACUUUAUACGUGUACUCGAAACGGACAACAAUAUCGUUAGAACGUAUUUUGUACUAUAUAGGGUAUAACUUGGUGUCUACGCAAUAUACUUCCUCAGUAUGUUUGCUACUCUCGCCAAAAUAGCUCUUGUUAGCACUACUCUCACAUGUAGAACACGAUAUAUGGUAACAUCUUAGAAGUAAUAAUGAUGUGAGUCAUCAUAGAUACAAAAUUUGUACACGUGCAAACAAAUACUAACAAAAAGGUCUGUUGGAUCUAACAGAAAUUAGGUAGUAUUUGUCCGAUGCAUUAGCAAGACUAUACGAAAACACAGUCACACGCAUGUCAAUGCAUGCUUGCAACCUACAAACAUCUAAGAAACCAUAACAACCUUGUGAAAAUGCACGCUUGCAAGCCAUAUAAACUUCUAAAAAGCCAAAACAACCCGGGGGAAAAGUUUUUGCGGGUGUGCCCCGUGUGUGAUGGCGAGAGGUAAGCCCCACGCACGCAGUCGGUGGACCCAAUCCUCAGACGCUUCACGACACCGCUUUGCCUGCGUGAGCAUGCCCCCCGCUCCCAUCCGCUGUACCCCCCUCUCUCUCUCUCUCUCAUACUCCGAGUUGUAUAUAAAAAUACUCCCCUCUCCUGUAUAUUUUCCCGGUGUGCACAGAUAGGCUUUGGAAGGGGGCGCAAGGAGAAAUUCCAGAAAUUGAUUUAUAGUGGGGCAUAUAAGAGUGUGGGAGAGGAAAGCAGCAGGAGAGAAGAGAAGAGAGAGAAGGAAAAGUAUGACAAGGAAAUGAGAGAAAUGGGAGAACAGCCUUCUUCUUAGCCCCUCCUCUCUCCACCACCACUGCUAUCUCUCCUCAGUAGCAGCAAUAGCAAGCAAGAGGAGAGGAGCAAAGCUAGCUGCAGUACCAGGGAGAGUGAGGUACAGAGAAGAAACAAACUCACUCGAAUUCUUUUUUCCUGUUAAAAAUAUAUUUAUAUAUCUGCCUCACUGUAUGUUUGUGUCAUCAUAUACGAGAGUAGUCUGCGGGGGUGUGGGUGUUUGCGAGCUUUUGUUGUUUUGCUUUUUUACUUGUUUUGAGUGCAACUGUUUGUUUGGAUUUCCCUGUCCACUUUGUUCUUUUGUUAAUCUCGGAAGAGUCCUAAGCGGCCGAUGCCUUGGAGUUUUUCUCGGCUGCCUGUCGAUUUGUUUCUUGUUUCAGAUCAAUUCCAAUCCAAGCACAUACAUAUGAGAAAGGUCUAGCCAUCAGGAAUUUUGGGGCCUCCUUCUCUCCUCUCCUUUCGGUAGUUUUUGUCUCCUUGGUUCUGUCGGGCUCCUCGCUCCUCGAUUUGUCUCCGGAUCGGAGGAACAGGCAGCGAAAUCUGUCUCGUCUCGCUCCCAUGGUCGUCGGCGUCGCUCGCAUGCUGUGUGUGUCUUUAAUUUCUUGGAGAUAUAUGCCGUUGUUGAUUGCCAUGUCAUCGGUCUCACUUGGAAAGUCUCUUGCUUUGUUUCAGCGAAGAAGGAGGGGGAAGGACGAAGAGCACUGCCGCCAAUCCUAUUCCUAGCAACGGGCCAAAGCGACCGGCAGGAAGGAGAAGCAGUGUCGUUGGCGUGCUGGAGCUGGUGGUGCCUGCAGGAUAAAUCGGGAGGCGGCGGCGGUAGUGAUGGCAUCGAAUUCAUCGGCGGCGGCGUUCUUUGGCGUUAGGGAUGGGGACCAGCAAGACCAGAUUAAGCCGCUGAUAUCACCGCAGCAGCAGCUGGCAGCGGCGCUGCCCGGCGUGGCAGGCGCUGUGCCUGCGGCGUCCGGCCAAGGCGCGCCGACCGCGGCGGCGCCGCAGCCACCGCCCAAGAAGAAGAGGACUAUGCCCGGUAAUUCACGCAACCCAAGUACCCCCCCUUUCUGAUUCCAGUCGUGCAUGCACACUGCAUAUACAGGUCGGUCAGGUCUCUGCUGCCUGCUGCGACUGCGAGAGAUCUCGCUCGCUCGUCUGGAUCGAUUGGAGUUUUAUGAGUUGGAUGCUGGCAGCAGGAGCAUCUUCUUCUCUCACAUGCACUCGAUCGGUUUCUCUUUCCAUUUCUUCGUGGUUUCUUGUCUGUGUGUUUCUCUCGUUAUAGUUUCUUGAUUUGUGAUCACUGCUGUCUGCACUGCGUAGUUAUUAGUCCAGAGAAUUGUUGCCUGGUUUUCCAACGCAGAUCGAUGUGUGCACUGCAAACUACUGCCUGUUUUUGUUGGAAGCUGGAUUUUAUGAAAAAAAAGUAUAGUAAUUCUCAAGUUCUUGUUUUUUUUUCUCUCUCUUCCCUUCCUCCCUACCUAGUUCGAGGUGGAUCCCCUCCCUACCUUGGCUGCAAAGCAAGUAGUAGACUUGACGAGACGAGCUUGGCCUUCCAGUUUGCACCUGUUCAAUCAAUAUACUUCAUUUAAAGCUCUCUGGCUGUCCUCACAGUCACACCUGAGCUGAGAGUGAGAAUUAAUUCAGGUGAAGAAUAUGGAAGGUUGGAGUCAGUAGACUUCAUUCAAUUCAUGGCGCUACUACCAGUUUUCCCCCCUGGCCGCGCUCUUAGCUUGUUUGUGUUCUUCUCGGCAAGGCUCACGUUUUUGUUUUAACCGGUUGAAGAAUUCAAACUCGUACCAACUUAUUUUGUUUGGUAAAUAAUAAAAAGGCUAAGGAAGUUCCAUAUUUUUCAAGAAGAAAACAAAAUCAGUUUACAUCCCAAGAUUCCAUGUGUGUGCAUGCAUGAGCUGUUAGCCUGUUACUCAGUUCUUCCUUCUUCCCCCAAUUAUGAGAAGCAAAUAGGAGCCAUGACACAAUCCAUGUCCAUUCCUUUGUUCUCUAUAUCUCUUCCUGCAUGCAAACUCCUCUCCUUCCCCAAAAAAUAUCUCUUGCAAAAUAUUCCCCUCCGUCUCAUAGCUUGUCUCUACCGUGCCACAGCUCACAGUCUCACACCCACCGAGAGAAAAGCGGAAACCAAAACAAAUAUCUUCCGUCCCCAAAUUACUAUAUCAUCAGUACUACUAGCUACUAGCUCCCACCAUCGUUUCUUAAUCAUGCAUGGCUAACUUAUAUAAGCAAAAUAAAUUAAUGACUCCCGCAUCCGCAUAGAACAAUAAUUCCCUCGAAAUAAUUAAUAGUAAAACUCAAUCAUCAAUAUAGAAAAACCAUGUGCUACUGUCCUCCUUCCUAAUCCACAACAAGUGUUGUGCUGACGAUCAUCUAUAUCCUUCCUUGUGCAUCCAUAAUGCAUUCUUUUACUGUUCGCUGAUGCGGAAUUCAAAGUAAAUUUUCCCUCCUGUCCAUCAUCAUGCAUGCAUCAGUUCGCGAUCAAUCAUAUAUAUAUGCCAUUUCUUCUCUCUUUGAUUCUUUUGCAAAGCUAGAUCGAUACUCCUAUUAGCUAACUAUAGACUUGUGUUUGAUUAUUUCUCUUCGAUGGAACUUGCAGACCCCGACGCUGAGGUGAUCGCGCUGUCGCCCAAGACGCUGCUGGCGACGAACCGGUUCGUGUGCGAGGUGUGCAACAAGGGGUUCCAGCGGGAGCAGAACCUGCAGCUGCACCGUCGCGGGCACAACCUGCCGUGGAAGCUGAAGCAGAAGAACCCGCUGCAGGCGCAGCGGCGGCGCGUGUACCUGUGCCCGGAGCCGACGUGCGUGCACCACGACCCGGCGCGCGCCCUCGGCGACCUGACGGGGAUCAAGAAGCACUUCUGCCGCAAGCACGGCGAGAAGAAGUGGAAGUGCGACAAGUGCUCCAAGCGCUACGCCGUGCAGUCGGACUGGAAGGCGCACUCCAAGAUCUGCGGCACCCGCGAGUACCGAUGCGACUGCGGCACACUCUUCUCCAGGUAAUGCAGCCGCCAACAUAUGCCUCUCUCGCUGCUUAUCGCUCCCGUGUCCGGCCGGUUUCUCGCAUGCAUUCCCAUCGCCUCGUUUUCGCUCGAGUGUACUGUAGUCUAUAUCAGCAGUGUUAUUGACACAGAUGGCAAGGUAUAGCUGCAUUGCAUUUGUAUGUAUGUGUGUAUGUACAUAUAUAGAGUAUGUUCAUGAUUGCUGCAUCAUGAUAUGGCAAGAGUGUAUAUAACUAGCUAGGCAUGGCAUCGUCAUGGGGUUUUGCACUGCAUGAGCCUGUUGUAGCUGUCGGCUUAUGGCUACCCCUUGGAUUCGGUGAGCGAGUAAAGUAUUAGGAAAGUUCCAUGGUUUGGCUGGCCUUCGUUCUUUAGGGUUAGGGUUUUGUUUGGGCUUGCGGCGACAUGGCGCCUGUAUAGUUUUGGUGCUCACUGCUCAGCAGCUCAGCUGGCCUGCCUGAUGAUGAGCUAGAAAGACGAACGAAGAUAGAUCCGCCGUGGGGAGGAGAGAGAGGAAUAGCUAGCUAGCUAGCCAGGCCGAGCGAGCGAGCUCAGCUGGGAGGACUGCUUGCACGUGAAUGCAGAAAUGGCUUCUUUUUUGAGCCUUUUGGCCUUUGGUGAUGAUGCUUCCCUUUCCCGACUACCCUUCCUAGGGAAGCAGGAACCAGCAAACUCCCUCAAGUCUGUCUCGCCAAACACUCGUCACAGUCACUAGUAUUUAUCUAUCUUUUUCUUUUCUUCCCCUGAACGGCUGAACUGAUUCGUCAGUGUUACCCAUCAUGUUUACACAGAUAUGCAUGAGUCUAUGGCCUCCUUUAGUUGGCAAAAUUUUUCGUUUUUGGGUACUGUAGCAUUUUGUUUUUAUUUGACAAACAUUAUCCAAUCACGGAGUAACUAAGCUCAAAAGAUUCAUCUCACAAAUUACAGGUAAACUGUGCAAUUAGUUUUUAUUUUCAUUUAUAUUUAAUGCUCCAUGCAUGCGACCAAAGAUUCGAUGUGACGGGGAAUCUUGAAAAUUUUUGCAAACUAAACAAGGCCUAUGUUGUUACUGACCCUGUAGACCCACAUUUUUACUGGUCCAUCCUGUCAGGAGCAGUCAAUUAAGUUGCAAGGACUGCAUCACUUGGCUGCCAUGUAAGCCUAGCUUGUUCUCAUGUGAGUUGGCCGCUGUCUAGAUGUGGCAGGCAGGGCCGUUCGUUGGCCGUGCCAAUGAGCCAGGCCAGGUCCACCCCUUUUCAUGGACACAUUUGCCAUGGCCUGGCCUCCUCACAGUAUGCCCUAGUCACGCAUGCAUCACCUAGUAGGUGUAACUUUGAGCCACUGUUCACAUUUCUUGGCGCUGGCGGUGUUAAACAUGUCCCAAAGUGGCGUGGGCAUUCUCACUACUCUCUUUCAUGGGUAUGGCAAAAAUUCUCCAAUAGGCAGUAAGCAUAUAUAGUACUACUGAGUUGCAUCAACAGGAGUUGCAUUAAUGGCCGCUUGAGUUGCUCUAUUGAAGAAGCCCUUCUCUUCCACUGUUUGCUCACACUAAAUCCAUAGAUUCCACACGUUUUGUUGUCAAACAGUAAUCUUGAUUAGGGCCUACUAUUAGAUCCAUUUAGUGCGUUGUUGAAGGAUUGCAAGGAAAAAAAAAUCACGGUGUGUGUGACUGUGUCUUGGUCCCUUGGGAAGUGAGCUUACCAGCCCCACAAAGUUUUCUGAUCUCCUUGGUGUGUGUGUGUGUUCGUGUAGGAGUAGAUGCAUGACAGUUCUGAUGCCUAUGUCUCGCUGCCUUUUCCUCGUCUCAAGCUUCCUACUAGUGCGAACCUGGCAGCGCAUCUCACCUUUUCUUUCUCCAUUAUUGAUUGACAUGGGUUUCUGGGAUCUUGAGCUAGCUUUGUGGUGAGGCUAGCCUGCUGCUUUUGAUGUCUGCAUGCGUCCAUGCAUGGUUACCAAACACCUUUGACCAAUGCUGUCAGACAAGACAAACCACGUAAUGUUUCAGGUAAUACUAGUCUCUAGCACCAUUAGGAAAGUGAAAUAAACUCCUGAUUGCACACAUCACAUACUGCGGACUCUUUAUCCACAAAAAAGGAAAUUUGCAGAGCCUGCAGGGGAAAAAAAAUGGAUCACUACCGUUCAGAUCCAUGUUACAAACACAACAUUCAGUGGCACAGCAUCAGCAUGCAUGCAUCCAGUUGCAGCGGCGUUCACAUGUCCAUCAGAAACCCGAGAUGCCGCUGUUCCUCGAUGCCUGCGCCGUCUGCAGCGUGACAUUUGGCCAUGCAUGCAUGCGUCUGCCUGCAGUUUUUCCUACGAAACCUUUUACUGUACAUUUUCACUGCGCCGUCUCGGGCUCAUGCGAUUGUCUGCUUCCCUUCUCUGAGCUCUGACCUAGCUACACUACUCUACACAGCAAUGCAAGCAUGCGUGAAUGAUAUCAUAUCGUUGGUCCAUGCAUGCAGGAGGGACAGCUUCAUCACGCACCGGGCGUUCUGCGAUGCCCUGGCGCAGGAAAGCGCGCGGCUGCCGCCGACGAGCCUCAGCAGCCUCACCAGCCACCUCUACGGCGCCACCAACGCGGGCAACAUGGCGCUCAGCCUCUCGCAGGUGGGCUCCCACCUCACCUCCACUCUCCAGGACGGCCACCACCACCACCCGUCCCCGGAGCUCCUCCGACUCGGCGCCGCGGCCGGCGGCGGCGGCAGCAGCAUCGCCGCGCGCCUCGACCACCUCCUGUCGCCCAACGGUGCGUCCGCCUUCCGCUCGCCGCAGGCUCCGCCGUCGUCGGCGUCCUUCUUCCUCAACGCGGGGGCAUCGGUCGGGCAGGACUUUGGGGACGACGCGGGCAAUGGGCCGCACUCGUACCUGCAGGCCAACAAGCCUUUCCAUGGGCUCAUGCAGCUCCCCGACCUCCAAGGCAACGGUGCUGGGGGCCCUGGCGCCUCAGGCCCCAGCCUCUUCAACCUGGGUUUCUUUGCUAACAAUGGCAACAGCUCGGGGUCCAGUCACGAGCAUGCAAGCCAGGGGCUCAUGAACAACGACCAGUUCAGUGGCGGGGCAGGUGGAGGCGGUGGCGGCGGGGGCUCGGAGGUAUCGGCGGCGGGGAUUUUUGGCGGCAACUUCGUUGGUGGUGGAGAUCAAGUUCCACCGCCGGGGCUCUACAGUGAUCAAGCCUCCAUGCUGCCGCAGAUGUCGGCGACCGCUCUGCUGCAGAAGGCGGCGCAGAUGGGCGCGACCUCGAGCACCAACGGCGGCGCGGCAUCCAUGUUCCGAGGCUUCGUGGGCUCUUCUUCCCCUCACGUGCGGCCGGCGACGCCGCACAUGGAACAGAGCGACGCGAACCUGAACGACCUGAUGAACUCGCUCGCUGGAGGUGGCGUCGGCGGCGGAGGAAUGUUCGGCGGCGGCAACGGCGCCGUCAGCGCGGGGAUGUUUGACCCCAGGCAGCUGUGCAACAUGGCGGAGCACGAGGUGAAGUUCGGGCAGGGUGGCGGAGACAUGACACGGGACUUCCUUGGCGUCGGCGGAGGCGGCAUCGUGCGCGGGAUAUCGACGCCGAGAGGAGGAGGAGGAGACCACCAGAGCAGCAGCGAUAUGAGCUCCCUGGAGGCCGAGAUGAAGUCGGCCUCGUCCUUCAACGGUGGCAGGAUGCCAUGACCGACCCAUCGGCGGCCAUCGAUCGAGCUUAGACAAGACAUAAGUUCGCGCACAGUAAGCCAGAGACUUGAUCAACAAGCAGAUGCAAUGAGAGGAGUAAGGUCGUCGUUAUAUAGCGUAGCGGCAAACAAAUGCAAGUUAGCAACUGAGUCGCAUGAGUGAGUUCAUGCAAGGGAUAAAGCAAGCUAGCUAGCUAGCUUUCAUCAUCCGAAGGGACCUUGGGUGAGAGAGAAAGGCGUCUUCUUUGACUAAUGGAGUAAGCUAGAGUGCGAGUUGGACGCAUGUGAUGACCCCUUUGCUCGUGGUGGGGGUUGGUGUUCAUGCUGGUCUUGUUCUUGUUGGUUUUCCCUUCCUUGUAGUUGGAUAAUCUUUGUUGGAUUAAGUAUAGUUUCUGGUCAUAGAACCAAUAAGGAUGUUUGUAGCUAGCUUAAUGGGGGCGUGUGAUUUGCAGCUUAAUUAGCACCAUUCCCUCUCCUGCUAUUUUUUAUUUCCUUUUCUCUUGUAGCAAAACAAUAUUCCCCUUACAAUGCCAUUAAUUAUGCUAGCUCAAAUUCAUGCUGUUUUCCUGUGGAUGCAUAUAUAUACUAUAGUCAAGUGUUCUUUCUGCAGUCAACGAUAUGUUGCCAUGUUUUCUUAUUUAUUAGUCUGAAGUCCACCUCGCUUCAUUGAAAUUUGGCUGAUACUGAUGUUGAUUUGUUUUGAGAGAAAAUAUUGUUUCUUCGCUAAAAAGUACACUUCAUUAAAAUUUGGCGGGCUAAUGCUGAUUUGUUGUGAGAGAAAACACUACUUCACUCACUUUCUGUUUGAAGAUCAUAAAACCAUGCAUGUGUACACCUAGCUAGUAUUUCAUAUAUUUUCAGCCAGGAGGAUUGUUAUCAAGAUAGCGUUUAGGGUCUGAAAAAAAUCAAUUUCGUUUUAACAAAGUCAAAUCUUUUAGACCUUAUAAAUAAUUCUAAAUCCAUGUCAAAAUAAGUGUUGUUCUGACUAUGCACUUGCGGCUAUUUUAGGAUGGAGUUCUUUUCCUAGUAUUGAUAUAGUAUACAUGGGUGAAAAAGGUCAUUCACCCGAAUUUUAUGAACAUAUUAAUUAUAAAAAAAUGUUAUGGUGUUUUGGAGGAGUGCUACUUUAAGGUGUUGCGAGAAUUAGGAGAAAUAUUCAUUAUUCUAAGUUACACCAACUAUACUUAGAAAUUAUACCAAAAUAAUCAUUGACCCUGUAGUACAAGUGGUGUAAAAAAUGUAAAUCGAGCAUAAGUUGAUGGUAACCGGAAUUUGGAGGCGUGGAGAGAAGAAUCUUACUCUUUUUCUCUUCCAUGCAAGCCAUUUAGGAGAAGAAAGGGGAAAAAAAUGGGUGCGGUGGAGAGAAAGAUUUCCACCCGGAUACUAUGGGGGGGGGUUGUUUAGUUCUCCUUUGAUCCUAAAAAAUUUUGGGUUUUAGUUCAUUAUUUUACACAAUUGAACUAAACAACAUGUAAAUUUUUUUGGCAAAAUAGUUGUCACUCUCCAUUUUGGAUUUUGGCAUCAAGAGGCUAAAAAGCUCGAAAAAGUCUGAAGAGGCCAUAAUGAGAGUAAUAAAUUCUUCAUUUUGCAUGAAACUAAACAUAACUUUAAAAAAAUAUCAUUUUGUAUUUCAUCAUUGCAAAAUAGUUGACAUUUUAUAUUUUUCAUUCCAUGAAGAACUAAACAACCCUGGGUAGACAAACCCAAACAAAGAUAAGACAAACCCUAACAGAGAUAAAUAAAUUUGUUGUCUAACUAGUUUAGAAGGGGGUGGGUGGCGUAGCUAAGGUUCAUUUUAUACUCUCAUACGUUUUGUACUACUUCACGCUACAUUGUGUUGUUGCACGACAAGUGGAACUCCUAUUAAAUUUACUGCACAUAUGAUACUUGAGUUUUUUUUAACGAACAUAUGAUACUUGCUCUAACUGAUUGGCCACUUUGAUGAAGGACAGCACGAGCUGAUCUCUAGGGCAAAAGAUGCCUUCCUGCUGCCCAUGACUGUCUAUAGCGCUUGACCUAUAUGCACAGCACAUCGUGCUGCGGCUUAGCUUCUCGCUAAGCUCGAGCUUGCUACUGCUUGGUCGUGCUGUCUCUCUACGUUCGACAGAGAGCGAGCGAUAGGAUGUAGCUUUCGAUCGUCUCGUGCAUGCACGCCGGUCUAGCUCAGGCCCUGUUUAGUUCUCUCUCCAAAAUUUUUUCAUCCAUCCCAUCGAAUCUUUGGACACAUGCAUAGAACAUUAAAUGUACAUAAAAAAUAAACUAAUUACACAGUUUGGUUGAAAAUCGCGAGACGAAUCUUUUAAGCCUAGUUACUCCAUGAUUAGCCUUAAGUGCUACAGUAACCCACAUGUGCUAAUGACAGAUUAAUUAUACUUAAUAGAUUUAUCUUUCAGUUUCCUAACGAGCUAUGUAAUUUGUUUUUUUAUUAGUAUCUAAAAACCCCUCCCGACAUCCUUCCGACACAUUCGAUGUGACACCCAAAAAAUUUUCAUCUCCAAUCUAAACAGACCCUCAGGCGCCACACCACGGUAUGGGCCGCCCAAAUCAUUGCAUCCUUCUCAUCAGUAUAUAUAUCAAUCAUUCUCGACUGAAAAUAUUAAUUCAGAUAUUCUAUAUAUUAUUGAAUCCAUAUUGAAUGAAACAUUUGUCUGAAUAAUUCGGUUUACUUUGACACUAGUAAUAAAUACAUCUGCACACUCCAUAUAAUUUCCUCUGUAAACUAUUGGACCUUUCACUAGUAGAGAAAUAGGCACUAGUCUUGGUUCCCAACGCCCAUUAGUCCCGGUUUUGGAAACAGAAUUACACAAUUGGAACUAAAAGUCUCCAUUUUUUAGUCCCGGUUCCUAGAUAUGCUUAUUGGGUAAAAAAGAAGUGCAACUAGUGGAGAUUCGAACUUAAGACCUCUCACUUCAGUCUUACACGUGUUGCGAUCUCAACUCCCACCACACAUCUAAUGUAUAGACAAGAUAUGCUUUCCUUUUAAAUUCACUCUCGAGGCACCUUUAGUCUAGGUUUAAGACACAAACUCAGACUAAAGGUACCAUUAGUCUAGGUUAACCGAGAUUAAAAGUCACACCUUUAGUCUGGGCUCGUACCUCAAACCGAGACUAAAGCCUCCUGCACUAACACGUCUUGGUAAAUGUUACAACCGAGACUAAAAGGUGAAAUUAGUCCCAAUUUCUAUUACAAACUGGGACUAAAGGUCUCAUAUCACCUUCAGUCUCGAUUUGCAGUUUGAAACCAAAACUAAUUCUUUGGCCAUCGAUAGAAAGUCGUUUCUUUGCUGAUGUUUUUUUUAGUAAAUAUGUUAUAGGGGUGUAAACCCGUCUAGAUCCCCUUCAAAAAAAAUUCCUUUCUUCUUACCAAAUAAUUUGGCAGGAGUACUGCAUGCAUAUCAUUUAGGACCCGUUUGGAUGUUUUCAUUUGGGAGGAACUGAAAUGUGCUUUAUGGACUGAGCUAUUUUUGGCUUGGAAUUAGACAUUCUAAAACUUUUUAAAAUUUAGAUAUAAGUAUGUCUUAAAUUCAUGGUGCGAGAGAUAUAAAUAGAUUUAUAGAUCCUCAUCAUUCUAUAUUUCUGCUUUGUAACUUAUAACACCUUCUUCGAUUCGCUCCCCUGCAACAGAAUGCGGCACAUAAUUAUCUUCUCAUGUGGCCAACAACAGUAUACAAGUAUAUUUUGCAUGUGGUUAUAUUAGCUUCAUUGAUUUGUGCCUAAAUUGUUAUUAUUAGAAUGAAUUUCUCUUUUGAGAUUUAUUAGAAUGGAUUUCAGUUCCAAGGAUCAAUCCUGGUUCUUGCUUACAACUCCGUAAACAAAAAAAAAAUCUAAUUCUUUGAUUGAUCAAAGAAUUAGAUUUUUUUUUUGUUUACGGAGUUGUAAGCAAGAACCAGGAACAGUUUUUUUCUUCAACUCCACAAGUAGCUCCACUGAUGUAGUUGAAGUUGUUUUAGAAAAACAAAAAUUGGUAAAAACAACUUUUCAUAGUGAACAAGAGAGUUGGAGCCUUGGUGACAGCUGCUCGCUGAAUGGAUGUAUCGUCUAUUCUAGUAGCAGCAGCUUUAUGACGAUUUUUAGCUCAUCCAGCUCCCACCCUGAGCAGGUUUCAAGAAGCUCCACCUAAGGAGGUGUUUUAUUUUAACUUGUUUGGUAAAAAAAAAACAGCUUCAAACAGCUUUUACUGAACUGUUGGAGAGUUGUGCCAAAUGGAGCUUAUUAUGCCCUGUUUGGUUGCCCCAGUUUUAUUUUUAAUUUACUUCACAAUCGAGUAUUAAAUAUAUAUUAUUUACGACACUAAAAACACAACUAGAUAAUAAUUUACAGACAAAUCUUUUGAGUCUAAUUUAUCCAUAAUUGGACAUAACUGUUAAAUAAAAUAAAAAUACUAUAGCACAUGUUAAACUUUAACACCUCCAAAAUCAAACACCCUUGGAGGGAUGUCUAUACAGGACUCGGAAUAGUAGCUAGGAUCGAGAAGAAAAUUUUGCGGCGGAGGGGAAGACAAGAGCUAGGGCGUGGUUUGGUCAUACUGUAUGGUGGUUGGUACAUACAACUCUCAAUCGAGGCAGGACGACUCAGGAACGGAAUGUUUGGGCCUAACUGCUAGAUUCGCGGUUUGACCGUGGCUCCCUGUGUGGCAGCCACGCAUUUUGUGGAAGAUUUUGGCUCUCCUCUUGGCGGCCGCGCGCGGUGGUUACUGAAAGAGAAUUAUUGUCGGAAUGAAGUCGUCCGUACCUGCCUGCUGCAGCGUUGCGUUGACGGCGACGGCGGCGAGGCCAACAGCCAUGGCCGACAGGGACAGCUGCCGGCCGUAAAAGGCCACUAGUAGCUCUCGCGAUCUCGCCCGCAAAAGCGGCUGCGAUAUCCGAUUUUCCAAUGAUUCUUGGGAGGAAAGGGGAAAAGCAGGCAGGGCCGCGCGCGGCCGGGCCAGAGCAUGCAAAGCAUGAUGCUGAUGCGCCCGCCCGCGAUCAGCUGCUAGCCUUCACUUUUGUCUCGUGUGCUGUCCGUGAUCUGACGAUCGAUGAUGAUGAUGAUGAUGAUGAGAUUGAGCGUCAAGAAAAAGAUAGAUUGGUCACAAGUACAAUUGUUCCCUGGAAAGCCAAGCAAAAAGGUGAGAAUUAUUGGAGGGCGGAUGGAAGCUGCAGGGACAGAGCAUGCAUGCAUGCAUGGGUUUGUGAAUGCCUAAAAUUAAAGCAGCUACAGCUAGUAGUAGUCGUCAAGGAAGAUCUCAUAGUUAGUGGACUAGCAGUACGUUCACAUCAGAGAGGUUGGAGAGCUACUUACUAGUCGAUGCAAUACUGCCCUAAAGAUUUACAUAUAUGCACGAAUUUUGGUAAAAUCAACCUAGGCCACCUGUACUGUUUGAUACUUUAGCGGCAUCUGAUAGAGAUUAAUUAGUAUUGCCCCCACGUGACCGCUGUUACAGAGACGCGCAGAGCAAUGUACUGCGCCAAAAAAAUAAACAAAAUCAUCUCUAUAUAUGUGUGUGUGUGUGUCUGUCUAUCCAGCUCGAUUUAGAAUUGAACAAGGUAGCAACCAGCCAUGAGGAGGAUCUGACCAAUGUCCGCACGUGAGCUGAGCAAGAUAACUCUGACGCUUUUUAUCAGCAGCGCUCUUCCUUCCUUUUUAAUUGGCCGGCCGGGCUCCGAGACCUGGAGAAUCUCUGCAUUUACUAAUCGCUCCGACUGUCGCAAAAACGUGGGGAGGGGAGAUCGACGACGCAGAUGCUGCUGAUGCUGAUGCAGAUGCAGAUGCAGCACACCACACGGGAUGCUUGCUGCAAAGGUUAACCAUCCUGGGAACUCCUGCUCCCCGAUGAUCAGCGGUCUCCUUGCAAAGCAAGGACACAGUGCAAGCCUGACACGUAUAUAUGUACGGUGCGGGAUCUAUAUACUACUAUUACUCGUAUACUGUGUCAUGACCGGACCAACACGGUGCUGCGGCGUACGCUAAACUAGUAGGCUAGACUAGACAGAGUAGAAUAAUUAUUGUUAAUUAGGAGGGAGUACAAGAUUAGGCGCGCAGCGAAUCGGGGCGAUUUUGUUUAGGCGUGAAGGGUUAGUUGGGACGCGAUGCCGGGGUUUUGUUUGUAGCGUCGUCGCGGCGCGUUUGGCAUGUCCGGUGAAGAACCUUCGCCCGCGGGGGCGGGGCGCAUGCAGGCAAGCAUCAUGUCGCCCAAGGUCACGGGCGCAUCGUUUGGUUUCCGCGCGAGCGCGAGCGCGAGCGAAGAAUCCUAUGCAGCACGCGACGGCGAUGCGAUUGCGAAUGUCACGAUGCUGGGCUGCCUGUGCCGCCUGGCCUGAUGCUGAUUGCACGCCGUGCCCGCGCUCCUCUUGAUGCGUGCAUUUGGAGCCUAGCUACAGCUUUUCGGUCGCAAUCAUGUGUACGUACGCGGCUGUAGCUGUUGCCCUGCAGUGUGUCCCUGACUCCCCUUGGCGUACGUGGCACGCCGCACGCGAGCGAGCGUGCGUGCGCACGUACGUACGUACGUAGCUAGCUGAUCGGUGUUUCGGCAUGCUUCUUUUUUUUUUUUACCCCGUGGUAGAUUCGGAGAUCAGGGCGGCUAGCCCAGAGCUGUGUGGACUGUGGUGAGGUUCAGAAGUCACAAGUCACAACGUGGCACGGACUCGUACGGUUUUCGUGUUUGCAGUUGGUACGUGCUUGGUGUUGAAUCUCGUGAAUAGAGAGAGAGAGAGGGGGCCGGGUACAGCGAUUUUGCAAUCAGCAAACAGCUAGCUGCCUGCCCUUGCUGCAGCCGGUUCAUGCACAAGAUCGACAGUGGCCUGGCCUCCCCCGGCGGCCCGGCCCCAGUCGAUGGUGACGAUGACAGUAUUGGCCUCCCGGGGAGCAGAGUGAACGCCGGGUAUUGAAACAGUAUUGACUGGGCAAAAAUCUGACGUUUCCACGGAGAUUCCACGCACCGCGCAGGCACAGUUGCCGACUUGCCGUGCCAUCACAUUCACGCUCCUGUUCCGAGGUCCACCUCCACGAACGAGGAAGCAGGGAGCAGCAGCGCACGGCCACCGGCUUUGGUGGAUGCGGGGCCUUUGGUUUGGUUGCUGGCAUCGUAUCGCAUCACAUCGCAGCGACCUCCAAGCCCGUGGGCUGCGCGGCCCACUCCUGAUCGCGGGGGUUUCAAGCGCGUUCUUGGUGUCGCUAACGUCCACUUCUUGGGCCUCAACCGCCUCGCCCUCGUCCGUCCGCGCCUGUGUGUCCCCCGGACCCGGCAGCGCGGCAGCUGCGUAGGGCGUCAUGGCGCUUUUGAGUUUUCCACCGCUCGGCGUUGCUCUCCUCCGUGCCCACGACACCGGAGGAGGCACAGCGUUUGCGACGCGAAGGUUCGUUUCUUCUGUGAAGGUGGUGUAGAGUCCAGUCCAGCAAAUGGAAGCUACAAUAAAAAGGUAGAGCAAAGAGAUGUUCCAUACCCAUACUGCCAUGCGAGCUGAAACAAAGCAUCGGUGUGUUCUCAUCGGUUCAGGACGUACGUUACUGGUUGUUGGUGGCUAGAUCUUGAGCUCAAGUACCGUAGCGUGUAGUACGACAUACAAGUCAUGUCCGCUGUGCAACUAUCAGAUUCGGUCGGUUGUUCAGGUACAACAGCCGUUGCAAUGGUCCAGUCGACGACCGUGCUGUCGCUCCUUUUUGUUUUCGAUUUCACUGUUGCACGACCGUGCAGGCCCGGGAGUACCGAUGUGAUAGCACAGAGCCCAGCCCAACUGAAAAAGCAGCCAGUAAGUACCCUGCUCAAACGGGCCUUGGUACAUUGGGCACGUGAAAAGCGGGCAGUACCCUGCUUAAAGGAAAAGCAGGGUACAAUCAAGUCCAGAGUGCAGCCCAACUGAGACAAAUGCCGUGAAUGUGGAUGCGCCCGCGGCCCGCGCUUUCUGAUGUGCAGAGAGCAGCACGUCCGGGUCUGCACUGCGGAGAUUGACGAUGCAAACUGGGCACUGGCAACUGGCAGCAGGUUCACGAGCAUCCAUGCUUCUGAUGCGGGAUCGGCUUGGGGCUUCUGAAUCCAAACCCGAACUCUCUAGAGACUUGCUCAGAUGAACGUGGCUUGACGGCUAUGGAACUGACCCUCCGAGCUCCUGCCUAAGUUGCAACUGACCCCGUCCAUUCAAUAAAUGGUACUUUCAAUCAUAAUCAUAGCUUUUCAGUCAUGCGAACAAGCAAACCGAAGCCAAGCUUCGUUAUGUUCAUGAAUUUUCAGUCAAGCGAACAAGCAAACCAAAGCCAGGCUUCGUUAUGUUCAGCACGCAUUCAGCAUCCUCGCGUGCCGAGUCCACCACAGCCAGGCUUCGUUAGGUUUGAUAGCAUGGUAACAAAAGUACCCAAGAAACUAGCUGCCAUGAUCAUCGGAGAAUCAAAGCCUCACAAAAACAAUUAGGUUCGUCAUAACAUACACUAAGAUUGGCUGGUUACAACUUGCAACAAAUAGUUCACACAUCACAGUACUAAAGCUCCUCGAACUGCAGCGUCACAACAUCACGAAUACAAAACAAGCGUACAUAAAAUCCCCAGAUCACUUGAAUGAACUGGAAGUCUUAAUGCAUAAAUUCAGUGUCCGAUAGUAUCACCGAAACAGUGCGGAUACAUGGAAUACUCCAGGAUUCCUUGGUGAAUGCAGCUCAGCAGUAAAACAUGACACGCUUCACGUUUUCCUUGAGAGCGGGUAGGGGCCUGACCGCAACACUCCCGGCCCCUCUGAUGCCGCGUGCCCCACCUGGUGGAGGCCCACGGGCCCCACUGGCCAUUGACCCACUGUCAGAGGUAUCUGGCUCCAUGUAGAAGCGAGCUCGGAAGGCUGCCAGAUGAGCAUAGUAUGCCGGGGGCACUGCAAUCAAUAAAGCAAAGGUCAACAAUUUGUUUUAUGGAGUAGCACCGCAAUGGGUUGCCAGAGUAGACAAGAGACUGUGUUCUCAAGCUGGGCUUACCAAUUGACACGGAGCGAGUGCACCUAGCGUACCUGCAAAAGUGGAAACAAUGUUUAACAGGCAGUUGAAGAGGGCACGGGAAAUAAUUGAUCGAUGGAGCAGUAGAUGUAUUACGUGUAGCACAGGUUGUUUGUCAGAGUCUGCAGCUCAUCAGCUGUAAACUUGUUCUCAUCCCACAGGACAUGGUAAUGAGCAGGGCGGCUUGUUCCCUAAUGGACGUGAAAUUGCAGUCAGUAAUCAGCCUGUUUCAUCGAAGGAUGAAUUGAAAAGGGGAAUGAAAAAAACUAACCUGAAUGCCGGCAUGGCUACACAGGUAGAAAUCAAAUUCCGUAGGAUGGCAAAUCUUGGAAUCAACCACGGUGCCUAAAUUCAGAUGAAAAGAUAGUAUCUGGUCAGAUCCAAAUAACCAAAUUAGACAUGCUAAGCCCAAAAAGAUGGAGAGCACCAAGAACUAACCAGGCAGUAUGUUUCCACUUCUAUCAACUGUACGCUGGUCAUUGUGGUUAUUAGCAAACAGCCUAGUGUGAUGUCGCUUCUGGACCACGACAAAAGUAACUGGAGGCUGGUAAUUGGGCUCCAGGGAUGCACAGGCCUAUUUCCAUGGUACCGAGAGGAUAGUCAAGAAAAGAAGAAAAACAACAUCAAACGAAUGGUAUGUAAUUACAUGUACCUUUCUGAUGGCAUCAAGUUCAUACAACAAUACUUGAUAGAACUGUCCCUCACUGACACCAUCCCUGAAAUCCAGAACUGCUUAGUAUAUUGAGAAACAGAUCAGUAAAGUUGACCAAUCAAGGAUAAUAACCUGUAGAAUAUGAUCCUUUGGGGCUUCUGUCCAGUUGCCCUCUUGAAAGAAAUGAGAAGUUCCCUGCAAUAAAAAGAAUUUAAGCAUAAAGCAGAAUCCAAAGAUGGAGAACUGUGAAUAAAUCGCAUCAUCUCAAUUGGGAUCAUACUUUAUCAUGCCACCAGUUACUGUCCUUCUCUGUGGGUCUUGCCAUACUUUGAAAAGAUCCUGUAUCAGCUCCUGGCGAUGAGCUUGGGCACUCACUAGUCCAGCAUAUUUGGUGACCUCAGGCCAGUCUUGUGAAGCAACAACCUAGGAAGGAACAAUAUUGUAAGAAUUAAAAAGUGAAAUCUGUCGUUUAGACUAUGUGAACUUCUGGCCUGUUAUAAUUGCAACAAGUACUGCACUUACAGCUGCAAUGGAAGGACUGGAAUCUUCUCCAGGAUGUGGAUGGGUAACAUCAGCACCAAAUAUUAUGGUCGGCCUGUCACUGACAAGGGGGAUUCUCCUUGUCAAAGCAUCUACAAGUACAGUAUUCCUUCCCCCAACCUGAAGAGGUAGGAAAACUGUGAGAAAACUAACGAUUCAUGAGUGACUUAAGGAUGGAAGUGUGGAGAGAUUUUACCUUAACAUUUAUUUUGAGUGCAACAUUUGCAAGAUACUGCUUGCUCAUCUUAAAAACAUGUUUAGUCAGACAACACUGGGAGACCAAUCCAAGAUCAGUCUCACAGAUCCUUUUGAGAUCCCCUGAGAAAUGAAAAGAAUGAUGAUGACCAAAUGUAUUCAGCAGACAAUGUUCAAGUGUGUUUUGGAAGAGAACAUUACCAUAAAGAGAACCAUUAUUGUCAGGCAGUAUUACAAUCAGCAGAUCGAGUUCCCUGCCCUGUGGCCUCAAUACGUUCAUUGCAUCUUGAUAACGGGCCUUUAACGCCCUUUCAACAUGUUCAGGUCUUGCAGUCACUGGAGCGAGCACAGGCUCAAGAGCAAAAUCCUAAAGGGAAAGAAAACACGUAGAGUAAAUAACAAAAAUAGCCAAAGGAUAUUGCAGACAAAUGAUAAUUGAAGGGAAAAGACUUACCAUUCCUGAUAUUUGGCACAUGACUGCAAGCUCGUGACAGAAACCCCUAGCAGCACUAUCUUGCACAUUCCGAGAGAAGUUAAUACAUGCCCAGUUGCUGACUCUGCCACCAUUAACCAUUUUCUUCCAAGAAAAAGAAGGCAGCCAAAGAACAAUAGACAUGAAAGUUAUGACUCAUGAGAUUGUUAAAUUAAUCAACAAAAAGGGAGCAUGCAGACAGAAGGCAAGCUAAACUUAGAAAACAGUGCAUUUAGAUUCAGGGGUGACACCACAUUCAUCUAUUGUGGUGCACUGGCACCAUUGAUUGAAAAAAUGUGCAGUAUUAGGUGACCUGUUUAGACCUUGCUAAUGAGCUCGAAAUGGCAAUGUUACUACAAGGUGUGCACCACCAUAAAUUCUGUUCUAGCUUCACCCUUGUCUAGAUUACAGCAAUGUCAAAUCAUAAUCCAAAUGUAUUUCAUAAAAGAUGGUUCUUGAUAGAACUUUUUUUGUGGACUUAUUGGUAGAUCUUUCUGAGUACAUAAUGCAAAAUCAAUCCCUCCAAAAAAAAUUCCAUGGCAAGCUUGGUAGAUCCUAGAAUUUUGAGGUAAGGAGAUAGCAAAAAGGGAUGCCUAACAAAAAAAAGAAGAAAUUAAGUACCACGUAACAAUAAACUCAGUAAUAGUUAGGGUUAUGUAACUUGGACAAACAAACUUAUAUGCUGAGGCAGCUAAUCUCCCAGUUGCUAGGUUAACUUAUUUUUCUUUUUCUUUUUUUUUUGCAAAAUAUAGUACUUAUUUAAUUUGGAUGGUCCUCACCUAAUAUUACCAUAUAAGAAAAUUAAUUGCGUUCGAAAAAAUCACAGGAAGAGCGACUUUAUCUAGAUUUCUCAGGACACAGGCAUACCUUAUUCAUCAUGUUCCAUUGGCCAACUCUGGGCAAAACAUCCUUCUCUCGGCCACUAUCAUGGUAUUUAAGCUAAUUACAAAAUGCACAAAUUCUACGUCAGCAGCCAUGCAGCAUAUGCGCAAAUACGGAAAAAAAAUGCCAAGAUGUUGUUAGAGGUCAUGUUUGUUCGCUUACCCUUGGUGGUGGCAGAACACGAGCUUCAACUGCUGCAAGACGUUCAUCAAUUCUUAUGCCAAAUUCCUGUGCAUAUGGGUCUUCAUAGUAUGCAUUGUGAUGCACAGUCUGAUAAAAGGCAAAAUAAGGAACUGAGUCAGAAUCAUAAAUUCAGCUGACUGACUUUGGUAAAUACAAAACAAAUAAAACCUCUGUACCAUAUUAUGUUUAAACAUUACACAGUAUUCUGAAAAAAACAGAUGGCGCUAUUUAUCAGCUGUUGAAUAAUUUGCUGCUGGUCUUGCACAGGAGUCAAGACUGUAGCUUGGUGACUAGAAAUCUGAAAUUGCAGAGCAACUUUGAAAGACAGUUCAAGCUGUAGUGGGAACACUUGACUAGGAGUAGUGAGGACACAGAUUUUUGGUAGGCCAUUGUGUCCUUAGCCUAGGAUAGUAGACUUUGACUGCAGUACACCAGCGCACCUUCACUAGUUUCAGUUCAUACACAAACUGAACCUACAGCUUUGUGUAUAUAAGUGCAGCCCUAGUAAUGUAUUUUUCAGUUCAGUUGAACCUUGGCCAACGCUAGAGUUUCUGCAGUGUAUGUGUGUGUGUGCUGUUCUCACCCCUUCUUCUACCUCUAGCCAUAGUGAGAGUGUGUGUGUGUGCGUGCGCGCGCAGGCGUGCACGUGCUGGUAAGCUUGCUGCUUUACCUGUGCAGGAAUCCUAGGCACCAACAAGUGGUAUCGGAGCCGUACAACUGCAUCGCCGGACUAACCGCCGGCGAUGGCACCUAGCUCGGAGACGGCUGACAGCAGCAGUGCUGCUGGGGCUGCCCAGACACGACAGAAGGUCGUUGUGCGCACCGUGCGGGAGGUCAGCGGCACAAGUUGGUCGAUGCUGACUCACACCAACUAUGGCGAGUGGGCGGUGACCAUGAAGGUAAAGCUCAGAGCCCGACGGCUCUAGAAUGCCAUCGACAAAGGCACCGACAAUGAAGAAGACGACAUGUCAGCGAUGGAGGCUAUCCUCGCUGCUGUGCUGACAGAGUACAGCGUUGGGGGCGAAGAAGACUGCUAAGGAGGCGUGGGAGGCCAUUGCUGCGAUGUGCGUCAGCUCUGAUCACGCAAAGAAGGCGACGUUCCAGCUGCUGAAGUAGGAGUCUGAAGUACAUCCGAAUUGCUCUCUCCAUAGAGACAAUGUUGGACCUGUCCACCCUCACUAUUGAGGAUGUGACCGGCUGUCUGCGGGCGGUGGACGAGCGCAUGGAACUGGUCACAGCAACGACGGACAGCGGCAAGCUGCUGUUUACAAAGGAGGAGUGGGCUGCCCGGAUGAAGGAGAAGAAGUCCGGGGAAGCCUCCAGCUGCGGUGGCGAUGGCAAGCAUGGCAAGGCUUCUUCAGAGAAGAAGAAGAUUGACCCCAACGCCUAUAGGCGCUGCGGGAAGACAGGCCAUUGGGCAAAGGAGUUCCCAAAUCGCAAGCAGGAGAAGGCGGAAGCUCACCCGCCAGCCCUAAUGGUGGACAAUCAGCCCGCCAUCGCCCUUGCAAAGAAUCCAGUCCUCCACGACCGCAGCAAGCACAUCGACACUCGUUUUCACUUCGUCCGUGAUUGUGUUGAAACCGUACGACAGCUCGCAGACAUCCUCACAAGCCACUCGGCCAUCUUCGGUUCAUGGAGCGGAGGACCAAGAUUGGAAUGGUGGAAAUCAGGCAAGAGCAGCAAGUUUAGGGGAAGAAUUGUUGAAUAAUUUGCAAGAGCAGCAAGAUUAGGGCAAGAUUAGGAGUCAAGACUGUAGCUUUGUGACUAGAAAUCAGAAACUGCAGAUCAACUUGACUAGGAGUAGUGAGGACACAGAUUUUUGGUAGGCCAUUGUGUCCUUAGCUAAUAAGUAUUGCAGGCUUAUCCUGCAUCUAGGAUAGUAGACUUUGACUGCAGUACAACAGCCCACCUUCACUAGUUUCAGUUCAUACACAAACUGAACCUAAACCUUUGUGUAUAUAAGUGCAGCCCUAGUAAUGUAUUUUUCAGUUCAGUUGCCACAACCACAAGGGCAGAACCUUGGCCAACGCUAGAGUUUUUGCAGUGUAUGUGUGUGUGCUGUUCUCACCCCUUCUUCUACCUCUAGGCAUAGUGAGUGAGUAGGGACCAACAUCAGCACAGUACAAUUUACACAAACAUUUUAAUAAUCAAACAACUGUUGCAGAUACCCUGUUACCAAUCCCAGAGAGCCAGAGAUCAUUUUAGAUGCACAGGCAAAUAUAUAAUCAUGUUAAUUGUUAACAAAAGACAAGAGGGCACCCUAAACCCUGAAGAAUGCACAGGCAAAUGUGUAAACAGGGCUUCCAAAGCUAAAAGGCUUGAAAACUGCUAACCACAGGCUAUAAACUAAACAUGGUUAAACAUUUGAAUUCAUAAGAUGUAUACACUGAUGAAAUAACUUAUACAAAAACAUACGAUAAACAGCCACCUGUAAGAUGUCCAGCUCACGCUCUUGAGGGCGCUGGCAGGUCACUUUCAGUAGAGCAGUGAUUUGCUUCUCAUUGAGUCGCUUUGAGUAGCGCUGUCCUUCAACUAUUUUGCAAACCUGAAAUUUCACAUUUCAAAGCCAUAAGCAUAAUACUGAAGCUGGAUGUAGCAUUCAGAGACCAUUCAAAUAGAUAAGCACAAUAUAAGAAAUCCAAGUUCAGCGGAUACAGUCGAAGACACAAACCUCCAUUGGAAGAUAAUUUGGUCUUUGUUGAUUGCCCACUUGCAAGCACGGUAAAGUGGUGUGCUGGAUACUAAAACCAUAAGUCUCCAUGAAGUAUUGCACCACAGUCUUCACAGUACCGCGAUCAUCAACAGGGAAUCUAUCCCAAAGAAACCAAAAAAUCAUGUCACUGCACUAUUCUUUAAGCUAUUAGCUCAUACCAGCAAUGGAAGACACAUACGAUAGCUCUCUUGUUGCUUGUGAGGUUAGGCCAGAAAUGCGAUAUUUUCUGCGCAUGUUUCCCCUGUGAGUGACCUCGACCUUCACACCUCUUAGGGCUUUUUUGAUCUACAGAGGAACAAACAACAGUAACUCAACACGAACUAGCAUAAACCAAAGUUGCUAUCAAAUAGGUAAGGUAAUGAUAAUGAUUCGAACCUUCACACGAUCAGAAUCAGACAAUGGUCUAACUGAGAUAUCUCUGUUAAGAAGCUGAGCAACAAAAUCGAUCACAGGGAGAGGCUCGAUAAAUGCGGUAGAGGACAUAUCUGCAAGAGCACAAAUCAAAGGCUAAGAAAAGACCAGUACUGAUUUCAUAAACUACACUGGGAGUCCAUAGAAUUAGAAUUUAGUUACAAUACGCCAUGGAUCAUGUGUGGCAACUGAAAGAUAAACAAUGAAACAAAAAGGUUAAAGUGACAGUAUCUAACCAAUAUUCAGUGAAAGGCCCAUCUGUGUCGGCCUUAUGCUUUGGUAAAAGCCACGCCAACUUUCCAGACCCUCACCAAGUUGCUGGCGUCUCCCUAAGUUGGGAGAAUAAAAUGACCUACCAACAGGAGAAUACCUGAACAAGAAAAAUGUAAGGCAAUGAAGACUCUGACUUUUGUGGCAUGGAAAAAGCAACUAAUAAAUAUACAAUCACCUCGCAGUAGGCAAUUCACGUAGUACAAUGUCAAGCACUUGAAGAGCUUCUUGAGGAGCAUCCGCUUGCCUUCCAGCUAGAAACAUAGCCAGAUGGUGGAGAUCAGCACGGGCCGCAAAUUUGAUCACCACCCUAAAUACUCUCUCGCGCCUUGAACAGGAAGGAUUACAGCAGUCAGCAUGAAAUGUUGCAUAUAUGUUCUAAAUACAGACACAGCAUAAUGACAUACCUUUGUCCACCUUGGCCACCACCAAGACUAUCUUCCUCAUCUUGCAACGUAAUUUCAAAUGUCAUAGAAGUAAAUGGCAAUGGUCCAGCGGUAUAAAGGCUCUUUCUUCCAUCAUACGCAGGUAGACGCCCACCCAAAUGGGAAAUUCUAUAUAGUCUUACAAGCUCUCCCAUGACAGCACGAUUAACACCACGUGAAGUAACCUCAGGUGUUAUAGAUACCUGAUGGCAAACGAUUGGUGAACAGAAAUAACAACAUAAGAAAAAACUGACAUGAAAUUAUUCCCUACGAGGAGCUUACAUCAUAUUGGUGAAGGUCUUUGUCAGGAAGCUCAGCAAAGAAAUGAUUUGCCUUCACAAUGCACCUGUCCCCAUAAGUGCCCUUGCCAGGGCGCAAUGGGAAUCGAACCGAUUUGCUUGAUGCUGGUGCCACUUGAAUUUCUUGGCUCGUGGAAGACUGACCACGAAUGGCAAGUUGCUGAAACUGUUGCUGGACUUGUCCAGAGCUCACCUCUGCCACAGGCUGUGAGGAUGAGCCAGGUCCCGAUGGGGAUUGUGAAACCACCGGGGCUUGAUACUGGACAUAAGGGGCUUGGUGCAGCUCGGGAACUGUUCUAGAAGGACCUGGAGGAACAUUUCGUCCAACAUUACCUCCCCUAUGCCCACCAUAGUAUGGCUGUGGCAUUCCACCUCUGGAGCGGGCGCCACCACGUCCCUGGUACUCACCACCUCGUCCCUGAUAUUCACCGCCACGUCCCUGGUAUUCACGCGGGUGAUACUCAGGGGGCCCACCACCAGGGUGAUGUGACCCAGGUCCUCCGCGGCCCUGAUAAUGUCCACCACGACCCUGGUGUUGCCCGCCACCACGACCACCCUGUUGAGGCACCCAGCCACGUCCUCCCCCAGGUUGUUGAGUUCGCUCAGGCCGCUGUGAAGAACCUUGUCCAGAACCUCCUGAAGACUCUCCAGAAGUUUCUCCAGAGCCACCAGGGCCAGUUCUCUUCUUCCUCACCAUGAUGGGCACUGGCAUGAUAGGAAUACAUCAAGAGUGAGAUUGUAAAAAUACCAUGGAAAAAAUAGCCCGCUAUUUUUGCCGCUAUAGCCCGAAAUAGCUUGAAAAAAAUUAUGUCGCUAUUUGUAUUCAUGUACAAUUUUGCCACUAUUUUACCGCUAAAGUACGCUAAUUACGGUAUAUAAAACGCUAAACACCUUGGCCUUAGCUCGCUAUUUAAAACAUGGUAAAAAUAUAAUAAUUUAUCAAAACUUAACAUGAAGAAAACUGUUUAACUGCGUAUUUGUUAAAAAAUAGAGACAGAAGGUUGUAUAAUGAGAACUGAAACAGCUUAGAGAGUAAAGAAACUGUAAAUGAACUCAAAUAGAAGAUCAGCUUCAUCAAGGAAUUGCUAAAAUAAUAAAUAGAAAAUUUCUGAAUUACAGCUUGACAGCAUGAUGGAAACUAUUCCCGUGAGAAAAUAGACCAAGUACCAGAAGGCAGUGAACAAGAAAAACCAUGUAGGCAUAGAAGAAAGGGAAUGCCAUCUCACAAGUAUUAGGAAACAAGACUUAUUAUGUUUUUAUUGAAUUUAACAUUCCUUCAUUUUGAUUAUUAUUUCACCGCUUGUGGUUGGCUGCAAACUUCUAUUUAAACCAAAAGAGGCCAAGUAGAAGGUGAGGAAAAUGUGAGAAAGAACAUAUCAAAAAAGAAGCGCUCCAUCCAUACUCCAUAGGUGUCCUCUAGAUAUCAACUAUUUUAUUCGUUUAAUAACAAUAUCCUAAAAUAAAUAUACAGACAACAAGUAAACAAAAUCAACCAGUCACCCUUUCUAUAAUAGUAAAAAAGAAUUAUCCUAGCAUUUUCAUUCAAAAGGAUGCCAGAAGAAAUGUAUGAAUGAGAAACAUGUAGCACUGAAGUUGCUAAAAGAUACCCAUUUCAUCUAUACAAACAAAAUGAUCAGUAUCCUACUGCUAAAGGCCUGUCUUAUGUGGCCUUCUGAAAGCUUGUUUUAGCAGGGACCUUUUCUAGUCUCCACUGUUCAAUACAAUCCCAAUGCCUUGAGAUAACAUCAAACACUUCGGUAACCAUUGAAGGAACAUGAUUUUUUUUUCACAAUGCCGUGCUGCAUCCUUGAGUGUAGGAAACUCUAUGCUAGAACUUGUAAUCAAGUCCGAGAGCAAACGAUAAGUGAGAACAACAAACAUUAGGCAUAAAAAUAUGCCUAGAACACAUCCGCAAUCAUAGCCAAGGCUGCGGUUAGAAUCAUCACAAUGUGAUGCACUAAAAAGAACCCUCGUUUGUUAGCCAGAUACAAAGACAACAACAAAAAAAUAUAUCACCCUAAACCCAAUAACCAGAGAUGGAUACCAAGGCACAGGAGUGAAAAUACACAUAAACGGAGUGAACCUUACCCUAACGUAGAGGCAAAUAACCAUACAAGCAUGUAGCCAGUAGGGGAGGUACUGCUAUAUCAGUAAUUUCUAGAUAUAUGCUGAGGUUUUAACGAAGUAAUCAGUUCACCCGCAUAUGAGCACUGGACACCUGAAAGAACAGAUGUUCCUUUAUCUCAGAAAGCAAUUACCCCCCCCCCCCCCCCCCGGUUUCCACACUAAGCGCUUAGCUUAGAUGGACAAGCUAAAAUGAUCACAAAAACAGCCGCAAAUCGUCAAGCUCUCGUUGGAUCAGCUCACAACCAGGUAGAACCGGACAAAUAACCCGACAGACCCCACAAAAUCCACGAGCGCCCCCUCGAGCUCGUUCAUUUCAAGCACCAACACCGCCGCAACAAAGCAACCCAACCCCGGAAACGAUCGAACGCUGAAGCUACACCCCGCGCACUGAGGAAGCAGGCGAAAAGCAGCAGAUCUAGCGGAUUACGGGAGGGAGCGAUACCUGAGCAGGCUCGGCAGACGGCUGCUGCGCGGGAUGGCAACGGAGCGGGAGUGCUAAGCUCCCGCCUCCACUAAUGGCGCUCUCUACUGCCUCAGCGAAGCUGCUGUGCUGGGUGCUCCACUACUUGCCCACGACCACCACCACCACCACCACCUCCACCUCUCCGCCUUUUUUUGAGGAGGGGGAGGGGGAAGGCGACGGCCGCUUGUGGUUAAUUAGCGGCAGCGGCAGUGCGGGUGCGGCUCACUGGAGAAAGCGCCGAAGCGAGGGCAGCGGCUGCGGCAGCCGGCAGGGCUGGGUGCCCGUGUCAGGGUCACGGUCAGGUCGCGGGGCGGGUCGCGUCGCCGUGGACACGGGGACCCGUUCGGAGUGGGAUUAGUACUAGUACUGGAGAACGUGGGACGGACGCCACUGACGGCGUGGGGCCGAGGCGGCCAAGGACACCUCGGGCGCGACGCCACCGAUGGGAUUAGUGGGGCUAAUCAAGCGUUUUAGGCGCAAAAGACAGGAGAGGACGGGUGUCAGGAGUGGAUUAUCGUGCCCUCCUCGCCAUGUUAUCGCCCAGGGCCCAAAGACGUUUCGGUUGCUGAUUGGAUCGCCUCGCUCUCGUGUCCCGUCCGCAGAACUACGCGAUCAUACCGAAGCAUGAGACCGAGAGUGAAAUACUACGUAGUACCGGCCACCGAUGCACAGGCGUCAGAGCGUACGGCAUGAACCAAAGUAACAAACGAUCACGGAUCCAUCAAUGACCGUGAGUUGCCAACGGCGAACGCAGCUGUGCUUUGUAACGUGGGCACGGUGGUGGUUCGGCGGUGGCGGGUCGCUGUCAAUGCAGUCCCGUUUCGGCUAAGCCGUCCAGACCCGUAAGAGGCAAGAGGACGAGUCAAACGGGCGGGCGCCUCUCGAUGCUCGCAACAGCCAUGAGGUCAUCCGCAAUGGUUAUGCUAAGAGGAAUUCUAUUGGCUCUCAAUAGCACUUUACGAAUAGCUAGCGAGAUGAUAUAUAAAAAUAAUAAAAAAGUAGUACUCUUAUUGGCUAUCGAGAAGAGAGAUCAAAUAGCUAACGACUUCCUAAUAGCUAGCGACACAUAAAUAGCUAAUCUAGCAUAAUCUUCUAGAAAUAACUCUCUCACAAUACUCUCCACAAUAGUUAGUGACUUCCUAAUAGCUAGCGACUUCUUAAGCUAGCUAUUUCCAAAUUGCCAUUGAGAACCAAUAAUAUUCUUUCUAGAGACUAAAUAGCUAGUGAUUUGAACACCAUUGCAGACGUCCUUAGCCUGCAGUAGUAGUAGCAUUUGCUAUUGCUAUUGCUAUCGCACCCAACGUGCAACGAGCACAGCUGCACAGGCCUACUGCUGCUACUACGGCCACCCUACCGGAUCAAUGGCUGAGAUCGGUUCCGCAUACGGGGCGCACGAGCCAGUGCGUGGGCCACCGCUAGACUGUUCAAAAUCGCUGGCCCACCGGCUACCGUCCGGCCCCCAGGCGAUGACACGACGACCCCACUGGCCGCGCGGGCCCAGCGCGCAGCGAGUCGGGUGCCAGUACAGCGCGUCGCGCAAGUUGCCCGCUGGAUCGAGUAGGAGGAGUACUUGGAUAGGACGCAGUGGGCCCCGGCCGCGAUGGCGGGUCGUACUGGACGCGCGACCAGCCGUUGCUCUGCUGGGCCCGCGACCCGAUGACGGGGACGGUCAUGGAGCCCGCGGUACGGGCAAGGGGCCCUUUCGCUUUCGCGUCCAGGCUGCCCAGUGGGCUGCCUCGGGCCUCACGACCAGAAUGACACAACCGGCCGCGGGCCUUCUCCAAAGCCUGCACGGGACGGCGAGACGGAGACACAGGCACACAGACACAGCACAGCAGCGGCGCUCUAGCCUCUACUUCUACUCCUACUAGGCCUUGUUUAGUUCCCAAAAAAUUUUGCAAAAUUUUUCAGAUUUUCCGUCACAUCGAAUCUUUAGAUACAUGCAUGGAAUAUUAAAUAUAGACGAAAAUAAAAACUAAUUGCAUAGUUUGGUCGGAAUUGAUGAGAUGAAUCUUUUGAACCUAGUUAGUACAUAAUUGAACAAUAUUUAUCACAAACAAACGAAAGUGCUACAGUACCUGUUUUGUAAAAAAAUUUGGAACUAAACAAGGCCUAGGUGGCGCUCGCAGACGCAGGGUUGCAGGAAUCGACGAGCCGUAUAGUGGCGCCAGUGUUGCUAUCUAGGUACUGCGUAGGAUACAGCGAGUAUCACGUCGAUCGUACUAGGGCACAGUCCCUGGUUUUGUUGGAAGGGGACGAGACAGUUCUUCCUCGUCUCCGUGCUUCAGAGUUCACAUCAAGGGGGGAAGCGGGGCGCACAGUGAAAAGAUUUGCUGGGAUGCAAAAAAAGUAGUGUGGAUCGGUCCUAUAACUGUUAACGUGACUGCGUUUCGAUGUCACCACGAUGUUUGUUGCAAAGCGAUGAAUUCGGUGUUGACGAUGUGUCUAAGAACGACGAACAUCACUACUAGCUGUCACUGACUCACUGCAUUAGCACGUUGCCUUUGCCAUUCACGAGCAAAUAUUGGCAAGUCAUGAAAUAAGACAGUUUGGGUGUCUCUCGAAGCCACUGUUUCUAAAUAAUGAUGACUCCUCUCAUCUUUCACGGAAAGGAGAGGCUAGCCAAUGGAAACAAAGAAAAUGAAGCUUUUUGUCGGGACUUUUAAAUCUAAUAUGUCAAUGUUUUCUCACCUUUUAUACGAGAAAGAAAGGUUACGCGGUGAGAAAAGAAAAUGAAGCUUUAUUCAAAAGAAACAAGCAAGCAUCUUUCCUGCUGCCAUUGUCACAUAUAGCCUUUUCAGAGACUAGCCUCGCUGAUUUUCGUCACGACUUUAGAAUAUUUUAUUAAAGAGUUUUUUUUCAUUUUUAUUGAAUCUUUUGCCUCGUAAACUUCUAUAGUUUUCCUUGAUAAAGUAGGAAGUGCAUGCGCAACACUGGUAGGAGAAAAAAAAAUCAAACAAGGGUGCUGCUACAAUCGUGUGAAAUUGUGUUCAAUGAUAGUGAACGCCCACCCAUAUGCCACUAUGCCAGUGUGUCUCGGUGGAGUUGACGAUUCGAAAAUCGAAUCAAAUUGUCCCAUAUAUCUACAAGGUGAAAUAUUGUUUACUAAAUGGACACCAAUAGCGGACUCAAUGCUCGAAUGGACCCCGAGUAAUAAGGAUCAAGACGCCAAUGACAUUUUGUGUCUUUAACCUUCCAACAAGACGUAAAAGCAAUAAAUUUUUCAAAGUGCAUCGGCGCCAAAGCCCGGAUGAACGCCUAAGUUACCAGGCCCUAAGUCCACCACUGGUGGACAUCGAGGUUCAGUGGAGUUAGAGAAUUUUACGUGGAAAGUGUCCCUUAUGGUUCAAAAAUUAUAUGAAAUUUCCCCUUGUUUGGCGGAAGCAGCAAAGGCGUAUGCUUCAUCACCAAUUCAGGCCGGUCUUUGAUUGUCUUCUGUUGUUGCUUUGUUGGUGUGUCUCGAAGUAGAGGAACAAGCGCACUUUCGAUAACAAGGCUUCUUCGAUCGCCAUGGUGGUUAGGGAUGCUGCACUAGAGGAUGGGUUCAGGCAGGGUUCUCCUGCGUCUCGGCGUUUGCUACACUUUGGUCGCAAAAUCUGGCUGAUUUGUAAUAAACUCAAUUAUGUUCUAGUAGAUAGAUCUGUUACUUUGUUCUUGGCUCCUGCCAAUGGUCUCUCGCCACUGGCCAGGCCUCCCCUUGUACUUGUUCAAUUUUCCACUGCCUCUUAAUGAAACACAGACCGAUUGGUCUCGUUCGCGAAAAAAAAUUCCCUUGUGUAAUGGUCAAAAGGAAAUUAUAAUGAGGACGAUUAUGACUUCGUUUGGAUCUAUUCUAGCUAACUAUUAGCUCAGAAAAAGACCAUCUAACAACUUUUAGUUUGAUAAUGGAUAAGACACUAGCUAAUCUAUUAGAUAUAGAUUUAAAUGGGGUCUCAAAUACUUUUAGCAGCUAACUAUUACUAUUGGAUACAAACACCCUUUAGUUUUUUUUCAGCACCAAUCCAUCCCGAUCCAUAUGAGUUAAGAGGGAUUAAGGUAAAAUAAUCAAAUAAAUUUAACAUUGAUUUAAUUUGGAAUGGAUGAAUUGACAACAUUUUUAAGGAAGAAGAGAUGAAAUGGCCCCAAUACAAUGGCUUAUAUUACCGUGCACUUGCAAUAGUUGUUUCUCCUAUGGUGUGCUUGAUUCUUGGAUAUGGCUACUGGCUGAUACAGAAAUAAAAUUGUUGUAAUCACAACCUUGUAUUAUUUUUUAUCUCAUGCAUCAUAUCUUCACGAAUGCAACCAAACGACAUAUUUUAUUCGCCAAGCUAAUAAGAUACAAUCGACCAAAAAAGUAAACCAUUGCAUUUGUCGAGCCUGAUCCAAUGAAAACUAGCUCAACUGAUGCAAGCCAAACUAGAUCAUAUAAUCAGCUAACUAUAUAUCCUUACAGCCUGAUGGCGAACCAGUUGUAAGGCUGUCUCCAAUAGGAGACCUAUUUGGGAUCAGAAGAGACAUAACCCAAAUUUGGGUAUCCUCUCUCCUUGAGACCUAUUUGCAGAGAGUGUUGUCUUUUAGGUCUUGUUGUUGGAGAAGACUAAAAAUAGGUAUGUAACUUUUUACCUAUAGCGCUACCCAAAGGACAAAUGGGUAUUGUAUUUUGGGUAACGAUUGUUGGAGAUAGUCUAACUGUGUCACUCUCAACCAAACACAUUACUAUAAGCCGUAAGGGCCUGUAUGGUUACAGAGGGUAAAAUUUACCGCCCGUUGCACAUGUAUGAAAAACUAAAUAUAAACUAUUUACGAAACUAAAAACAUAGAUAAAAAGUAAUUUACAAGAUGAAUCUUUAAACAUAAUUAGUUCAUGAUUAAACAUUAAUUACUAAAUAAAAUAGAAAUGCUACAGCCAACCAAACACCCCCGGACGCAGUCACAACACUCGACUGGUAGAGUAUGUUGGACGUAUUUUUUUUUCUUCAAAAAAUGCGUAAUGCAAGCAGGAUAGAUCUUCAUCAGAUGCUACAAUGUCGUUUUCUUUUCUUCCUCCGUGUUGUUUUCAAUAUAAGGCCUUGUUUAGAUAUGAAAAUUUUUUGAAUUUCACUACUGUAGCACUUUCGUUUGUUUGCGAUAAAUAUUGUUCUAUCAAAGACUAACUAGGGUCAAAAGAUUCGUCUCGCGAUUUACAAUCAAACUGUAUGAUUAGUUUUUAUUUUCAUUUAUAUUUAAUGCUUCAUGCAUGUGGUAUAAAAUUCGAUGUGAUGGAAAAAUUUUGAAAACUUUUUGAUUUUGGAUGAACAAAACAAGGCCUAAAAAAAAUAAACAAGCCGUUUGCAAGAACUGAACUGUUGCUCCACUAGCGAUGAGGAUACCGUUCCGAGGCGAGAAAAGAUGUCCUUUGCUGACACGUCACACGACGGUGCAAAGCGGACCGGGCGCGCGACGUGACAGUUCGCUUGAGCCCAUGGCGAUGGUACGGCCUUGUUUAGUUCACCCGAAAUCCAAAAAGUUUUCAAGAUUCCCAAUCACAUCGAAUCUUGAGACACAUGUAUAAAGCAUUAAAUAUAGACAAAAAUAAAAACUAAUCGCACAGUUUGACUGUAAAUCACGAAAUAAAUCUUUUGAUCCUAAUUAGUAUAUGAUUGGACAAUAUUUACGGACGGCGGACCCGUGGACCCGCGGGCGGGACCCAGGGCAGUCGUCGCCGACGUGUCAGCCGGCACGGCGCAUGGGCCCCACCUCUAUCGCGUGUCAGGCCUCUCCGAGCUCGAAACGUGUCCCACAGGGGCAGGUGACCCCACCUGCACGACGGCGUACUACGGGCGCACGCACCUCUGGUGGUGGACUUGCUGUACUGCUGUGGGUGUACAGUGUAUAGUACGUACUACUGCUGUACGUACUGCACCCCCGGCCCAUAAUGCCGUGGGCCCGCCGCGUCAUCCGCGCGUGGUUUUGGUUGCUACUGUGCGGCACUGCCGCAUCGCUGGCACAGCGUGACGCACCACGCACGGAGCCGAACCGAGCCGAAUCCCCCCACCCGCGAUGCCACGCACGGCCUUGCCGCGGUUGCCGCCAUGGAUGAUGGGCCCGCCCGCCGCGGUGGCGGCCCGAAGGCCGAAAGAUCCACCAGGGUAUCCAACGGCUCUUGCAUAGCGCUAAUGGGCACGUUACUGUUCCGUGCGACGCAAGUGCCAAAUUGGCAAAUGGCUGUCUAUUUUUUUCUAUUGUCGGCAGGCUCUUGGAGGUGUCGUUCUGGUUUGGUUACUGUUUCGGCUUGUGCGUUUGUGAGUUUGUGUGCGUUUUGGAUGUUGCUGUUGUGCCUGUUGUCCUUUUGCGAAAAUAAAAAUCUACUUAUAAACUGAUGUAGUCGUUUUGUGAAUUAAAAUGCUGUAGAGACUGGCUGAGAAACCAAGACUCGUUCCAUGAAUCACCCUCGACGAUGAUGUGCUAACACAAAAAAAAAUCCAAUAGAUUAAUACUAGUUAUCAGCUAAAAAUAGUAGGCGAGGAUCAAACAGGCUACAGGCCUGCUUAUAGAUUUAUUAAAUCCGCUAAGCAAAUGGAGGUGAGGAGGUUCUGGUGGUUCAUGUAGAUCUUCAACUAAUCCAACAAUCUAUUAAACGUCCACAUGGAUUAGUAGAAUGAAUCAAGGUUUUCCUGAGACGAGAUGGGUAUGCAUAUGCAGAUAUGUUUCAUGCGGUUACGGGGCGCGGACCAGUCAGUAUGGAGCCGGGGGCAUCAUGCAUGCAUGGAGAGCGCCGACCGUGAACAGCUGUGGCAUGCAUGGGCGUCCAGGCAGCCCAGCAGUGUGAAAAAAAAAAAGACGAUCCAUCAAUGUCUUGUACAUGUGCUGUGCUAACAAUGGCAUUCGUUCCUCCGAGGUAGCUGGUGCCGAGCUCUCACAUUCAGCUCGGCUGGCUCCACAGCUGUUUACAUGCUGCUGCUCUGGCUUGUUUCUCUCGGUCAAGCUACGCUAGGCAGGUGGCUGAACAUGUCACUGCAUUAGAAUCACCGCAACGGCGCAACCCACACGUUGUAUAUCCCUUCUCAUCACUAACCGCAGGCUUUAUUAGCUUAGUUCACUGAUGAGUGAUGACGGACGACGACGACGACGACGCGACCCAAAGAACGAACGAUCCGGUCGACGAACUGUUCCUCGAGGGCCCGAGCGCAUGCAGUCGCUGUAGUCUGUAGGCAGGCAACAGUGUAAUGUGAAGCCCAGUCGGCCGGCACGGCAUGGCAUGGGCGUGCGCGACCAUGCCAACAGGAACAGCGGCCUCGACAGGUCGCCGAGACGACAACAGCAAAGGGACCGACGUGAUGCACGCACGAGCGCGAUUCCUCCAUGCCGGAUGCCGGUUGCCGGAAGCCCGCGGUCAAAAGGAGGCCCCGCCCGUGCCGACCCGGCGCUCUCUGCUAGCGCGUAGCGGCGCACAAUCAUGCACGCGAACUGUGCGGUGAUCUGACGGGACGACGACACGGCCGGCCGGGGCAUGCAGAUGCACAAGCACAGCAGAAGCAGCAGCAGCAGCAGAAGCGAGGAAAAGGCAAAAAACCGGAAGCGGGCAGGGCAAAAGGGGACGGUCGCCGAAGCGAGACGAGGAAGGAGGGCACGGACACGGGCGUACCUUGAUGGGGGCGCCCGUUGUUCUCCACCCGCAUCGCCAUGUCAAGGUCACACAUCGUCCUCGUCCACGACGCCGCGCGCCAAAGCUGGAACUGAAAGCAGGAGGCCGGGCACGAGCCGGCAGCCGGAUCGCGGCCACUUCUGUGUCCGUCCCCUCGUCUGUCUGCCGACCGAUCGAGAGGUGGAAGAAGAGCUAGGUCCUCGUCUGACUGCUGCUGCCUGGGGCUGGGGGCGUGGAUCACGAGCCAAGAGAUGCCGGGCGCCGGGGUCUUAUUGUUAUUGGUGGCUGGCAGGCUGGGCGAAGCUAGCGAUGGCUGGCUGGCGCUGCUAGGGGGAGGGGGAGGAGGAGGAGGUCCGUGGUGGGUGGGGCUCCCUCGGGCUCGUCUGCACUACUGCAUCCCUGGCCUCGUCGUCGUAAGCAAAAGAUAUCGGUGAUGUAAGCUUCAAGAUAUGCCCAAUUAUUGCCGCUGGCGCACGGAGAAAAAAUAUUGCGCCGGUGCAGGUGGUAUGCGACUUCCAUUUUUGCGAGUUGCGGCUACUGCUCGCUCGUUGGUAAUGGACUAAUGGUGUGGAUGAGCCAUUAGCCAUUAGCUGAUCGAUGUGCGAGCUUUAGCUUCCGUUAGGUUUAGGUGGAGGGCCCCCCGCGUUCCCUGCAGCAAAUGCGGCUGCCACUAUAUACAUCGAUCAUAUUCGCCAUUAAAAAUACCACAACAUGGUUGGUCAAGAGGAAUCCUUUGCUAAAUAAGGUGGUCCGCUGAUCCUAGUUACCAACUAUGGUGCGUCGAAAUGACCCAACAUAUGGUACACAUUUGUUUAGCAAGAUUUGCGCUUUGUAGUGUAGUCCCCCAGGCUCUCAGAUAGCGAAAUAAACAAGACAGCACUAACAAAAGUUUAUAUAAUUUCCGUCUAGUCACCUGAUCAGAUCAUUGGUUGGCCAAGUUGAGAUCUAGUCAGACAUUUGAGUAAUCCGACGCGCAUCGGCAGUAGUUAUCUGAAGUGAUGUGUAUGCAGUCGUUGGGCUAAGGCCUUGUUUAGUUCACCCCAAAAAGCAAAAAGUUUUCAAGAUUCCCCGUCACAUCGAAUCUUGUGGCACAUGCAUGAAGCAUUAAAUAUAGACGAAAUCAAAAACUAAUUACACAGUUUAGCUGGAAAUCGCGAGACGAAUCUUUUGAUUCUAGUUAGUCCAUAAUUGGAUAAUAUUUGUCACAAACAAACGAAAGUGCUACAGUACCGAAAUCCAAAAUCUUUUCGGAACUAAACAAGGCCUAAAAUAAAUUUGUGCCGCACGAAGAGUUGCAGCUGAUGACCUGUUGGAAAGGGACUGAUAUGGUUUCAUAUGGUCUGGAAGCUCAUCCGCUUUGUCGCCACACCAUCGAUUGCUCGGUAUUGCCUGGCAUUCCAAUGAAGAACAUUGUAUAUAUGGCUGGCCUGGUGGUUGAGUUCUUUUUUUCUUAUUGAAAGACAGCUUACUUGGCACCUCCUUAAAAGACAAGGUUGUGUGUGCAUCACCUCCUUAGCAAUUUCAGGAAGAUAUAUAGUUUUUAAAUAAAAGUCGUUGUUGCCUUUUUUUUGUGAAUCACAAUAUUUCCAGGUAUUUAUUUAUUGGCUCAUUUGUCCGAAUAGGAUAUGCGAGGGAAUAUACCCACCGUUGUGAAAACUUUGUUUUUGUAGUAAAAUGACAAUAUCUCGAGGGGUUUAGGUCUGAUUGUCCCCCACAAUAAAAGUUUGAGAAAAUACGAAAUAGUAGAAAGGGACACACACACAAAAAGAUACGAGGCCUCAAAAGCCCACGACGAGAACCUGAACUUCCGAAUGGGCUGCGAUCCAAGAACAGAUACGUGUCUAAGAAAUGGGCUCAUCUAACCAUAUCUACAGCCCAGUAGUUUUGCAAGCUCUGUACCUUCUGUUCUGCAUGUCCAUGACCAUGUCUACAGCAGCGUCCUUCGCAGGUUGCUGUUGUUCUUUUUUUUUUUCAGAAAUCAGAACACAAAACAAUAGGGAGUUGCCGACAAAGAUUGAGCCUAAGUAUCUGUUCAACAAGAUCUGACUGAGCGUUGCUGAGUUUGCUCAGAGUUUGCUGCUUGCCACAUGUCAACACAAUAACACCAGCGGUACUAGUAACAGGAAUUGGAGGGAAGAAGCUAAAGUAUAGCAGAAGACGGGAUAAUUUGGAGAGCGGUGGAAGGAUUUUUGGAAUUAUUGUAUACUUAUUUAUCUUUUCUUUUUUUUCUCGAAUACGCAAGAGGAUUGCGUAUCAUUAUAUUAGAAGGGAAAGGAAAUUCGAACAAUACAAAACGAGUUCACCUGCCGUAGCAGGAAAUGAAAUAAAAACACUGCAGACUGUAACCAUCCUCGGUGGAUAGCGAUGCUACCCCCCGAGCCAAGAACUCCUAAAUUUCUUGCGCCCGCGCUCAUCCAUUGUUCGGCGUCUGCUUUGAUCACAGCCAGUAGCUCGAGUACGGUGAGUGUGGUCCCCCGAAAGCAACGCGCGUUCCGCUGCUUCCAUAUAUGCCAAGAGACGAGGGCGAACAGCGAGUCUGCGCCCUUCCUCGCCGGUCCAUGCCACAGGGCCCGGAUGCGCCUCCACCACGCGAUGACUGUCUGCUGCGCCGGUGGCAAUUGUUUGUCCAGACCGGACAGGAUGAGGAACCAUACCUCUCUAGUGAAAGGGCAGUUCGUCAGUAUGUGAUCGAUGGACUCAUUCGCCUGGUCACACAGGAAACACUCAGACUAUGCUUGCAGCCCGUGUCUCGCCCGACGAUCAUUGGUCCAGUGUCGCUUCUUGAAGGCCAGCCAAAGAAAGAUCUUUACCCGUAGCGGCGCCCAGGAGUUCCAGAUUAGCUUGUGGCCCCGAAAAAUGGUUCCACCAGCUUGAAGUUUGCAGUAGGCUGAUUUUGCCGUGUACUCCCCAUCGACUGUCCAUCGCCAGAUGGUUGUGUCCGGGCUAUCGGUAAGGAUGAUGUUCUCAGUGGCCGCCCAAAGAUCUAGGUACUCGCCAGCCUCAACAAUAGAGAGCCCGCCACAGAUCGAUCUUAUCCAAGCCCGUCCCGAUAGUCCUUGGCGCACCGUCAAGGUAGAUUUGAUUCUUCUGGGCACCUUUGUGGAAAGGUUGGGUGCGAUGUCACUGAUACCUUCUCCUUGGAUCCAUCGAUCCUCCCAGAACAAGGAAGAGUUGCCGUCACCGAGGAGCGUGAACGUGGAGGCCUUGAAGAAAGCCAAUACCUCUGGGUCGGCUUUGAUAGGUAGCUCACUCCAUGCUCUGGUGUUAUCCGUCUUUUGUAGCCACAACCACCUGGUUUGAAGGGCGUAGCCGACCAACUUCAAGUUUGAAAUGCCGAGCCCACCUAGUUCCGUUGGCCGACAGCAAGUUUCCCAGGCCACCAUGCAUCGGCCGCGCACCGAGGCAUCUUUGCCAACCCAAAGAAACUUCCUGCAGAUCGCAUCGAUCUCUUUGCGCACCCACGGAGGUAAACUGUCAGCCAUCGUCGAGUAGAUGGGGAUCGCCCUUAGGACGGACUUGAUCCAGAUCAGGCGACCGCUCCUUGCCAUGAGAGAUCCGUGGCAGGGCGGGAGCUUCCUUGCAACCGCUUCGAUCAACGCCUGAUGUUCUGCCUUUGGCACCUUCUUGGUGGUCAGGGGCAAACCAAGGUACCGUAGUGGGAACUGCUGCACCUGGCAGCCUAGGAUGCGCACGAUGUCGUUCAAGACCUCUUCACCGCCAUAGAUCGGGGUUACUGAGCACUUGGACAGAUUGGUUUGGAGUCCAGUCGCAGCUCCAAAGAUGGAAAGAAUUUCCUUUACUGCAAGGGCUUCUUGUAUGGUUGGUCUGAUGAAGAUGAUUGCAUCAUCGGCGUAGAUACUGCACUGAAAUUUGAUCCCAAGCGGCUCAAUAGGUCUCAGCACGCCAUCUGCACUUGCCUUUGCCAUCAGCCGGUGAAGGAUGUCCAUGGCCAGUAUGAAUAGCAUAGGUGAAAGGGAAUCCCCUUGGCGCACGCCCCGUAGGUGCCUGAUCGCUGGUCCUGGUGUUCCGUUAAGCAUUAUCUGGGAGGAUGCGGUGGCGAACAGCCCCUCAAUCCACUGGCACCAUCUCGGUCCGAACCCCCGCGCCCGAAGCAGCUCGAACAAAAAGGGCCAAGAGAGCGUGUCAAAGGCUUUGGAGAUGUCGAUCUUGAGAAGCAGCAUCGGCGUCUUCUUUUUGCGCAGCAUGACCGCGGCCCGUUGAACAUAUUUGAAAUUGUCGUGUAUGGUCCGCGAUCUGAUGAAUGCGUUUUGGUUUUUCUCCACCAGCGCGUCUAGCUUCGGCGCCAACCUGACCGCGAGGAUUUUUGAGAUUAGCUUGGCGAAGCUGUGGAUCAUGGAGAUUGGCCGAAAAUCGGAUGGCGCUGUUGCUCCGACCCGCUUGGGAAGAAGGAUGAUGAGGGCGUUGUUCAAUUUGCUCAUGCCGCGCCGAUCUCCUGCAGUGAACGCACUGACGGCGGCCAUCACGUCCUCCUGGAUUAUAUUCCAGGCGCUCUUGUAGAACGCCCCUGUGAAACCGUCCGGUCCUGGUGCUCGGUCCGCGGGCAACUGCUUGAUUGCGUGCCAAACUUCUUCCGCGGUGAUGUCCAGUUCAAGGUCCUCUAGCGGUACUGGGUGAAUCCCAAGUGCCGUAAAGUUCAGCGUGGUUCUAGUUGAUGGCGCUGCACCGAAGACUGAGCUGAAGUGAUCGAACAGCGCGCGUUCCAUGUCAUCGUGGUCCGCAGCGACAUGUUCAUCGAUGGUAAGAGAUGGGAUGUAGUUCCGGCGUUUCCUGCCCCUGGCGAUGAGGUGAAAGUACGCAGUGUUCGCGUCUCCCUCAGAGAGGUGGCGGAUACGCGAACGCUGUCUGGCGAUCGUCCGAUCGAGUGAGGAGAGGCCGAGGCAUCUGAGUUUCAUCCUCUUGCGCAGCUCCUGCUCUGUUUCGCUCAGCUGUCGCACUUCCUGCGCCGAGUCGAGGCAGUAGACGAGCUCUCGUGCCAUGAGGAGUUGCUCCUUCACCCCUCCGAUCCUCUUCGCUGACCAGCUUUGCAGGGCGCGGGUUAGAAUCCGAAGUCGAUCAUCAAGCCGUGCGAGUGGUCCCUGGUGACUGUCCGAUCCAUUCCAGGCGUCGUUUACAACAUGCUGAAAUUCCUCGAACCGUGGCCAGAACACCUCGAAGUGAAACCUGGCCUUGGACAUGCCUCCCAUGUUGGUGCACAGCAACAAAGGACAGUGGUCUGAGGCGUCCGAACCAAGAGAUCGUAGGUGGGCGUUGGUGAAUAUCUCGUCCCACUGUGUCCAGACAAGUACCCGAUCGAGUCGUUCCAGCGUGGGGUUCUGGCGCUCGUUACUCCAGGUGAAGCUGCGGCCAUGCAGGUGGACAUCGUGUAGCUCUAAGGCUCCCACUGUGUUCCUUGUCUUCGAUCCCUUCUCUCUAAACUCGCCCAGCUAUUUAACAGCUAAGGCACCUCAGUUCAUGGGUCUUGCCCUGUCCAUGUAUACAUCACACUACUAAGCCAUUCGUUCUGCCAUUGGGAACCCAAGAACAUUUGUUGGGCCUCCUCUUCAGUCCUCGCCCCAUCCCGUGCAUCUAGACUUGCCUCCACAUGUUCAGGUUCAGGACUGCUGACAUUGCCUCUUCUUGAGAUGCAGCUUGAUCCCAAGCAUGUGCAAAAGAGAAUUGUUGUUGCACAACCGUCGAAUCUUCCUAAGUUGCUUGACUCUCAGACCACCCCGACCGCCACUCGAUCCAUACUUGAUGAAAUGGAGACAAGAUGUGUGCCCAACGUUUCUGUAGGACAUGUUUAGGAACGCGUAAGAGUUCAAACCUUAUGGCAUCUUAUUGCUGCCAAGCAAAACAAGCGCUAAGGCUCUUGUAGCAGGUAGCUAUGAUCGAUUUGGUUCGACACCGUUGGAUCCCUUUUGCUUUACAUAUACACCCUGUACUGCAAUUCUGCAGACGAUCGCUUCAUCUCAUCAACCAUUGCGUGUAGGAAGCAAUACGCAUUCAGCUAGCUGCUAUAUAUAGAAACCUCUCCUGUCAGCUGCUCUUCCUCUGGUCCGAGAGGUAACCGCACAGAUCAGGAAAACUAGAGGUAGUGUUCACCCACCAAUCCGUGAUUGUCACAUCUGGAUACACAGCUGCUAGCUUUUUCACUAGGACGAACAGACUGAAUGCCAAUAGUAGCACUUCAUGUGCAUGCCACCGAUAUAUAUAUGUACCGAUGCUCACAAAACGUUGCGUGAGCGUGUAAUUAGGAUUCGGUAGAUAGACAAUUAAGCAUGUCACAAUCUGGUGUGUAUUCGGUGAACUUUGCGUCAAACAGCACACUCAACCAGCAUGUCACGAUCGGCCCCGUUUCGUUACCAAUUUUCGUUCGGUUUAAAGCAAAUAUAUGCACCGUUCCUUCAAAUAUAUGCAGUACAUUCGGUGCGGUAUUGCCACAAAUUAUUCAACCCGAUCGAGCUACAUGCUACUGAUGUGCUCGAUCAACGCAAACGCCGCAUUGCGCGUGCACAAUAUAGCUAUAGCACACUAGUAAUACUGUAUGUUGUCACGGUACACAUGAGGCCUAGCAGCCCAAGCAAGAAGAGUACAAGACACAAGAAGCUGAACCCGAAGUUUGUUGGCCCAACUUGGAGCAAGUAAUUAACCUGAAGCUCAGUCCAGCUGCGUCUGGAGAGCGUGCUGUGCUUAACAGCUGUGUAAUGAAUUCAGUUUAAGAAGAAGGAGAGAGAGCAAACUAGGGGAAAGUAAAAUAUUUUUUUUUCGAAAGACGGCAUAAAGAUUUUGCCGUAUUUUUAUUAGUCGAGGAAAAAAAAUGCAACAUAAUUACAACUCCCACUUAAAAACUCUCAACCACUGGAGGGAAAGUAAAAUAUGCCCUUUGCUAGAAUAUUGUUACAUAUGUGUUGGUGUGUGUGUGGUACAAACUCUUCAUAUCUAUACUUGUAUGGCGCGGCCUGACCCGCGUGCGCGGCUGCAUGCACUUGUGCGCGGCUGCUUGGCGAAGACCGAAGAGCGUGUUGCUGAGCAGCUGGUUGGAGGUGACGAAGCCCACCAGGAGCGUGCCCUGGAUCACCGUGUCAGGAUCUCCGACGCGCAAGGGUGCGUGUGCGGCGGGUUCUGCCCGCCGGCCGGGGACGAAGUCGAUGCGCGCCAGCGAGAUGCCCAGCGUGUUCAGCCCCGGGAUCUGGCCAUCUGGGCCACCGCCACCGGCGUCACGGCGGAGCCCUGCGCGCGCGUUUGGUGCCAUCGGCACUAUGUGGAAGAAGAUGUCGCGGUUGCGUUCACCACGUUCGGGUUCUUUUGCACACCACUCCGUUCACCGGCACUGCAUGCAUAUGCAUGCACACGUCCACCCGUGUCAGUACUUUUGUCGUCAUCGCAAAUCAUCAUACACAAUUAAUCACCUUUGAGUAGUAUACAUUGCAUGCAUGCCUUCAAUACAUGCAUAAAUAUAGAUAACUGAGCUCUCUCUGUAGACUGUAUAGUGCUGCAAAAGUUCAUGCUUUGUGUUGCAUGCACAUAUAUGUACCUGCCUACAAAUGUACUGUGUUUAUUUACCAGGGCUAUUGUUAUCAGCAACGCAGAAGUCCUGGAGCUGGGUUGGAUCACAGUUACCAGACCACGGGGACUGAAGUAAAACCCACAACCGCUAGCACUGCAAGCAGUGUAGUAGGAGAAAGGCACAGGAAGCCACGGCGCUGUUUCUUUGCUAGUGAUCAAGUGUGCUCGAUCAAGCUGCUUGAUUAGUUUGUGGUCUGCAACACUUGCCAGUGCACCAAUUUAAAGGUAGUGUUCACCCAACAGUCUGUGAUUCUCGCAUCUAGAUCAACACAUGAAAACAGAGAAUCACUUGCGUAACGGCGAGCAGUCAAACCAAACAGGCAUGCAACCACUAGUCAGAUACUCAGAUCAUAUAUGUGCCCACACGAUGUAUAUAAUAUUUUAUACAAGUUUGAAUAUAUAUCUUGAGAUGCAAAAUCUAUACCUAUACCUAUUAAUCUAUAUCUAUAUCUAUCUAUAUAUAUAUAUAUAUAUAUAUAUAUAUACCUAAUACUAAAGAGGCAAAAUUUCAGCCUCAAAUUUGGUCAGGAAAUUUUUUCGUCUAAUCCAAGUCCCAGUCCGUCUCAUACUUUUGUACCAGAUUUCAGAUCGAGUCCAAAACAAAAUCACAUACAAAUCAGUACCAUAUACCAGAUUCCAGGUAGAGCCAAAACGAAACCACAAACAAAUCAUGUAUCAUAUAUCCGACGGCAAUAGCUCCGCGAGCCUAGAAAAUCUGCUGACUGGAGCUAGAACGCGCACCUAGAGCCGAAAAAAAUAGCUUCACCCGGCUCGUCUUUGGUUUGGUCCGCUUCGGUAUCGCACUGAUUCGGAGAUGGGAUGUGGCGGCACGGGGAGGAAGAGAAGUGAGGGCGCGCUGAUUUGGGGAGGAGAAGGGCGAGAUAUAUCCGACGGCAAUAGCUCCGCGAGCCUAGAAAAUCUGCUGACUGGAGCUAGAACGCGCACCUGGAGCGGAAAAAAACAGCUUCACCUGGCUCGUCUUUGGUUUGGUCCGGAAUAACAAAACAUCUGGUACAGAUACACCGGAAUACACCUGUAACAAAACAUCUCAUUCCAAAUGAAAAUCCAAAAUGAAAUUGAUAAAUAUAAGUAUGCUCGAGACGGAGCUGAUAGGAAGUUCAAAGCGAAAGGAUAGUUAAGGUUCGGAAAUAGAAAAAUAAAUUUGGUGACUCUUGGAACAUAUUGUUGGGAGUUGAGUACAAUAAUUUUUAUUUCGUACUUCCACUCCUGCUAACUCAAUUUUUUAAUUGAUGGUUAAAAUACAAACCAACACAUAAUAACAGUCGAUUUAGUUAGACGCUCGCUUUUACCUUGACAUGAAGCACAAAUAAAUAGUGACUCUUUUUGGGUUGUUAUAUGAUCCAAUAAAAUUCAUUCUUUAUAUAGUGUUUGUGCACAACUUAUUUCAUGUUUGAGUUCGCAUCGCCUAAUCUUACUUUUGCAAAUACUUAACAUGUUUAACAAGACAAUGAUAAUUAUUUUCAAAAAAAAAUAUUUAUAUUAUAGAACAAAAUAGAUGAAGACAAAGACAAAUUAUGUUAAAUAAUGUCUUCCUGCCUCCGAAUUUAAAAGUUACAAAGUAUAUGUAACUAUGAAUAUAUAUGGUCUCCUUCACAUAUUUUAUUUGAUUGUCUACAUAUGAAUAUUGUGAACAUAGAUUGUAUAUGCAAAUAGAAAUCAUUAAGCAAUAAUGACGAGUAAUUUUAAAAAAGUCUCAAACCAUGUUUAAUUGUCAAUUCCUUAAUUAAAAAAAUGUUCAGUUGUUUAUUAGACUUGGACAUAUUAGUGUUUAUUCUCCCGUUGCAACACACGGGCAUGUUUUCCUAGUAUAUAUUAAACGAGGAUGUGGUUGGGAAGACAAGAAAUGAUGUUGAACCGUCGUUAGAUUUUGACAUAAAGAAAUGCACUUUUACAUGGAGGUCGUAUUCAUAGAACCACAUACUGGAUGAACUUAGGGUCCCUAUUCAAACCGACUAGGAUAUUGCUUUAUCCCUACGUCGAGUUUUCUUGCGCACAACUUUGUAGAUGGAUCAAGCUACGAAUCAUCUUGUAAUGGGCUAAAACUACCGACCCAAGUCUAGCCAUAAGGGUAUAGGAAUUUAUACUCCCACAACUAGUCCCCGAGCACCAUGUAUUAUGAAGCGACACACCGUCUUGAACUUCUUCGACCAGUGAUAAGGACAAUCUUUUUUCAUAAUUACCGAAAAAGUAGGUUGUCCAAAUAAUGCAUGGUGCUCUUAAGAAAGAAGAUUUCUUUUCUCGUGAAGUGUGCCGACUUUACUUUUAUGAAAAGUAUAAGCUUCUAAAAAGCAAGCAUAUUCACCGUAAGGUGAAGUGUGACCACUUAGUCCCCGAGCCUGGUGGUUGGCACAGUCCCCGAGCACAACGUAGAGACUAGUCGAUAAAUCUCCGAGUGUGGUUGGGAACAUAAACGUACUCGGUGGUCGGCAUAGUCUUCGAGCACAGCGUAGAGACUAGUUAACAAAUUCCCGAGCGUGGUUGGGAAUGUAAGCAUGCUCGGUGGUCGGAGCAAUCCCCGAACACAGCGUAGGGAAUGGUCGACGAGUCCCCAAGCGUAGCUUGUUAACUAGGCCAAACUCCUAAAAAAUAAAUAUAGAAAAUAUGUAAUACAUGAUGUAUAAAUAAACUCUAGAUAAAAAACAACACCCAGUUUUAGAUUUUUUGUUUUAUUAAAAUUAGCACGAAUAGUUAAUUUAUCCUAGAGCUUGUACCAGCUCUGGUCUAGCCAACAAUCUAGAGCAUGAGAUGCGGAAAGACACACAUAGGAUUGCCAGCCUCACUAGAGAGCUACUGCCGACCACCCGAAACGUAGAGGGCGGAUCUCGUGCAUGUGUGGGGAGGAGUCGGAGACAGUGCCGGCUCUAAAAAACUCGUGUAGAAGAAAAAACUAAUCGGCUAACCAAAAAGUUAUUUUGAAAGAUAAUAAUAUCAAAAAUAUUAUGCUAAAAAUAAAUAAAAAUAUUAGAAGUGCACUUUUCUUUGGACGAAAGUCUGUUCGGUGGCGACAAAAUUGUUUGAUCCUCAAGUUUUAUGAUGUGUUGUCAUGAAGGUGGUCGCGAGCGCUGUUCUUUGUAGCCAUCAUUAUUGCGACAUGACAGGUGGUCAGAGUAGGCCAAGAAACUUGGUCGAAAGCCCGAGCAGAUCGGUGUUGUCGAUCUGUCUCCUUUUGUAGCCGGGAAGCGGCGAUGUGUUGUCGACGUGGUCGGAGACGUUGCUGAAGUGGUCGAAGCCGUAGCCAGCGUGGUUAGAGCCGCAACCGACGUCGAUGAAGAAGUGAUCGGCGCAGAUUAGAUCUGCACCUCCUCCAUGGUCGUGGCGGUGAAGUCGUUGAAGCCGGUGGUCUAGGUAAUCUGGCCGAUGGUGAACGUGAGACCGCUCGUCACGGCCGUGGAGUCGGAGAUAAUGACCAUCUGCUUCGCCUGGGAAGCUGUACGCACACUCCCUACCUGGCGUGCCACUAUCGACGAAAGCUGGUUGGCAGUCUACCUUAGGGUAUACCCACAGUAGUAGUUUAUCGGCAGACAGGUGCGCAAACUACGAACUUGAUGGUGACGUAAGACACAAACAAGGAGUUUAUCUUGGUUCGGCCGCCGUAAAGGCGUAAUACCCCCUCCUUACAUAGUCUUGGGGACAAGGUUACAAAUGUAGAAAUUAAUCCUAACCGGUUACAAUUCAACCCAAGUCUAGUCAUAAGGAUAUAUGGAUUUAUAUCCUCACAUAUAUCUUUACCGGCCAUGGAUGAAAGUCAUCCGAUAGAUUUAUCACUUAUUAUUCCGUUUGAGUCUAUUCCACCCAAACUUGAAUAAUAAAGUCUUAUGAUUUAGUUUUUAACACAUCCGCAUUUUGAAAAUAGUGCAAAAAGGUUUUAUCCCUAUGAAACUAUAUUUAUUUUCAUAAAAUUUUUAUUAUUUCUCUCUUUAUUUAUAUGAUGCCAUGUCAACAUAUUUAAUAUUUAUAAAACUUCAAUGAAACUUUAUUAGGACUGAUAUAAAACUCUAAUGAAACUCGUCUGGGACACGUUCGAACUUUGAUAAUGGAUGCUUUAAGUACAUACCUUCUCAUCGUUUCUUUAUAUGUUUAUAAGUACGUACCUUCUCGUCCCCUUUUUUAUAUGUCAUUCUCGAAAAUUACUAAAUACUCUCUGAUAUUUUGAACUUUAAGAUAUCAUGUUUGACCGCUCGUCUUACUCAAAAUUUUUGUACAAAUUAUAAAAUAAAUAAAUUAUUAUUAAAAUAUCUCUAAUAAUCAAAUAAAUCAUAUAAAAUAAAUAAUAUUAUACAAAAAGUUAUAAUAAAAUAGAUGGUCAAAUAAAAUGUCUGAAAAUCAACGACAGCGUUUUUUAAAUGGAGGAAAGUAUAUAUUAAACAUAUUAAUAUUUAUAAUGCAUAAUCAGUAUCAUUCGUUAGACCUUUAAAUUUAUUUUUAUAAUAAAUUUAUUUAGAGAUAUAAAUAUUACUAUUAUUUUAUAUUAAUCUAGCUAAAGUAAAAAAAAAAGCUCGAACAGACACUCAGCGACACUCAAUAAGAGACAAGGGAGUAUAUGCUCCGUACAUCUCAUUCAAAGGACGACUAAGCAUGUGCAAAUAAGUCAAAAUAAGCCAAUGCACUGUAGUUGCGCACGCAUGCACUAAUGCCCAGUUCGCAAAAAUUUUCAAGAUUUUCCGUCACAUUGAAUCUUUGGUCGCAUGCAUGGAGCAUUAAAUAUAGAUGAAAAUAAAAACUAAUUGCACAGUUUAUCUGUAAUUUGUGAGAUGAAUCUUUUGAGUCUAGUUACUCCAUAAUUAGACAAUGUUUGUCAAAAAAACGAAAGUGCUACAGUAGCCAAAAACCCAAUUUUUUGCCACCUAAACAAGGCCACAUCUACAAUACCACUUGAAGCAACAGCUCUUGCUUUGGUAGAAGCGAACUCCUUUUUUUCCUUCUUCUAGCUAGAAAGAGACUUAUUUAUCAUCUGUUUCUCUGGUCCGAGCAAAUCGCACAUGCAUAUCAGAUAAAAAAAAUAUUGUCGCACAUAUCGGGAAUUAGUUACUGAUACGGAACAAUCAUCUGACACAUAUCUUCUCGUAGCAGUAGGACUUUCGUGCGCCUGUGACAAACGAAGCUGACAAAUUAACGUUCUGCGUGUGCGACUGUGUGUGAGAUGUGGACAUGUGGUAGUAUAGACUAUAGAGUACAGCUAAGGCUGUCACGAUUUGGUUUCUGUUCGGGCGUGCAAGGGCUACCGGCGGCUUCGACCGCCGCGACGUGCUCCUCGGCCUCGGCGGGGCGCGCGGCAGCGGCCGGCUUCCUCGAUCAAUAACGCUCUGCUAAAUUUGCUACAUUUAAUUUUGAUUUAAUUUUCCGGCCUCCUCGAUCAAUAACGCUCUGCUAAAUCUGCUACAUUUUGAGUUAUUUUUCUCAAUAAAUUUAGCUAGCUGUGUUCUAACAUGUAAGCCGUGGCUUCUUAUGGCUGCCGAGCAAAACAAGCGCUAAAGCUCUUGUAGCAGGUAGCUACGAUCAUUUUGGUUCGACAGCGUCCGAUCCCUUUUGCUUUACAUAUGUCUUUCACGCUAAAAACCAAAUUUUUUUCAAGAUUCUCUGUCACAUCGAAUCUUACGACAUAUGCAUAAAGUAUUAAAUAUAGAUGAAAACAAAAACUAAUUGCACAGUUUGUCUGUAAAUCGCAAUACAAAUCUUUUAAGACUAGUUACUUCAUGAUUGGAUAAUGUUUGUCAAAUAAAACCAAAAUACUAUAGUGUUACAAUUAAAAAUCUUUUUAGAUCUAAAUAUGGCGAUAUAUACUGCAGAUGAUCUCUCCAUCUCAACCAUGCAUUUGCGUGUAGUAGGAAGCAACAAAAAGCUAGCUGCUAUAAAUAGGCCAUGUUUGGUUAAAUGGAAGUCUAGUCUCUAUCUUAUUGAAUGUUUGAAUAUAUGUAUGAAGUAUGCUAUUUAUACGAAACUAAAAACAUAAAUUGAGACUAAUUUACAAGAUGAUUUUUUAAGACUAAUUAGUUCAUAAUUAAUGAUAGAUCCAUGAUUGCUACAAUAAAAAAGUGCUAAUGAUAAAUUAAUUAGACAUACUAAUUUCGUCUUAUAGAUUACUGACAGAAUUUGUAAUUUAUUUUCAUUAGUAUUUGAACACACCAUGAACCACAUCCGAGUCCUUACAUCCAAACACCCUAUAGAAACCUGACUCAUCUGUUCUCCGGUUAUAGGAGCUAAUCGCACUUACAGUCCAUGACUCAGCUCGCCUGUUGAUCGAUGUUUACAGCUGCUGCUUUUUCGUCGCGAAUGAUUGAACUGUUACCGAAUAUGGGAAAAAAUUAGGUAGAAACUCUGCACCAUGUCUCUGUAUAGACCCACUUUGGAUGGAAGAUACGUGUCCCAAAACUCCAAUCACACGGAGACACGAUAUAGGAGGUCUACAUCCAAGAUGCGUCUCUAUGGAGGAAUCCUGGUCUCUCCGUUGUGUGUGUGUGUGUGGUUGUGGUCAGUUUCGUGCCCGUGUGACAAACGAAGAUGACAACACUCUGCGUGUAAAUAUGGUACAGAGAGUAUAGAUAGCUAAAACCCACAUCGAAUAUUUAGAAACAUACAUGAAGUAUUAAAUAUAAAUUAUUUAUGAAACUAAAAAUACAGCUAGAGAAUAAUUUACAAGACGAUUUUUAAAUCUAAAUAGUCUAUAAUUAAACAAUAAUUACUAUAAUUACAAAUAUACUAAAGUGUGUGUAUAUAUAUAUAUAUAUAUAUAUAUAUAUAUAUAUAUAUAUAUAUAUAUAUAUAUAUAUAUAUAUAUAUAUAUAUAUAUAUAUAUAUAAAAUUUUAGUUCCUUCAACCAAACAUCCGCAUGUCACGAUUUGGUGUGUUCAGUGAAUUUGUCAAAUACGGUCCAUACUUAGGCCUUGUUUUUACUUCCCAAAAAUUUUAUGAAGUUUUUUAAAAUUAUUUCCCAUCAUAUCGAAUCUUAUGACACAUGUAUGAAAUAUUAAAUAUAGAUAAAAAAUAACUAAUUGCACAGUUUCCCUGUAAUUUACGAGACGAAUCUUUUGAACAUAGUUAGUCUAUGAUUGGACAAUAUUUGUCAAAUAUAAACAAAAUGCUACAGUGUUCAUUUUAUAAAAAUUUUGGUAACUAAACAAAGCCUUAGCUAUCUAUACAUAGGGAUAGAUCGCAGUGAGAAUGAACCGAUGAAAACCGGCUGACCUAAACUCUGAUCUCCAAGGCUGGAGGGUAAGUUCUCCACUAGUAGUUGUGUUAUAGUAGUGUUCCUCAUUCUAUUUGACCCAAAUUAAAUCGGCGGUUUAACCGAUUGGACCAAUCAAAUCCGGUUCGGUCCUAGUAACUUGGGUACAGAUAGCUACGCGGGUCUGGAGUCUAUACCAGCAGCAUGUUACGACGAUCGUCCCCCGGCCCUGCCCGUUUCGUUGCCAAGCAAGUUUGGUCGUUUUUUUUUUUUGGAACAAGUUUGGUCGGUUUAAAACAAGUGCCGUGCAUCGCAAAAUACAGCAACACUUUCUCUUGGUCUACGAGGAACUAUAUAGACGUAGCACGAGUAGUUGGCAAUGAACCAAACCUCGACACGGCACAUGCAGCAGUAGCACGUGACAAACAACCAAAUCAAACAUCCAGUCCACUAGCUAGCCGAUCAUAGUUUUUUUUUUUACGGAACCUAGCCGAUCAUAGUUCUAUAUAUACUCCUAUAUAUAGCCACUCGCUAAACCAUGGCACGCCAUCGGUCGCAGCUCACAAGCAGCGCCAUGGGGAGCGCCACCAUGCCACGAAGUUUCGCCGCGCCACGCGCGCCAUGCCGCAGCCUCCAUACGCUCAGGUGCAGGUGCAAGGCUACCGGCGGCGCCGACCGCCGCGACGUGCUCCUCGGCCUCGGCGGGGCGGCGGCGGCCGGCCUCCUCAGCUCGUCGUUGUCGAACCGCGGCGGUGCGCUCGCGGCGCCCAUCCCGGCGCCGAACCUCAGCAACUGCCAUCCACCUGACCUCCCCGACACGGUGAGCGACAUCAACUGCUGCCCGCCGGGCGCGGGGACGGCGAUCGUCGACUUCACGCCGCCGCCGACGGUCGGGCGCCGCGUGCGCCCGGCCGCGCACCUGGUGGACGAGGAGUACGUUGCCAAGUACGAGAAGGCCGUGGCGCUGAUGAAGGAACUGCCGGACGACGACCCGCGCAGCUUCACGCAGCAGUGGCGCGUGCACUGCGCCUACUGCGACGGCGCGUUCGACCAGGUCGGGUUCCCGGACCUGGAGAUCCAGAUACACAACUGCUGGCUCUUCUUCCCGUGGCACAGGUGACGACGACGGUUCCAUGCAUGCUGGCGUCAUGUGAUCUUAGCUUGCUCGUGUAUAUGCUUUAGCGAUUGAUAAUAAUUAAUUAACGUGCAACUUUUGUGAACGUCGUUGCACUGCUUAGUUAGUUUCACAAAUUGGACAACGCGUGCAGGUUGUACCUGUACUUCCACGAAAGGAUUCUUGGGAAGCUCAUCGGCGACGACAAGUUUGCGCUGCCGUUCUGGAACUGGGACGCGCCCGGCGGCAUGUCGCUGCCGGCGAUCUACGCCAACAAGUCCUCCCCGCUGUACGACGAAAGGCGUGACCCUGCUCACCAGCCGCCAUUCACGGUGGACCUCGACUACGACAGGAUCGAGCAAAACAUCCCAAGAGCUCAGCAGAUCGAUCAGAACCUGAUGAUCAUGUACCGUCAGGUCAGUGUUAGUAUAGCUAGCUAGCUGGCUGUGUCUUGUUGUACGAAAUAUUACACCCUCGAUCAGGUGUCAGGUUUGCUAGUGCGACACUGCACUAACAGUGAACACUCAGUUCUUGGACGUAACUGAACACUUGAUCUUAAAACUUUAAAAUUGAACACUUGAUGUCUGAUUAGCAUAUGGAUGAUACACAUGCAUGUCUCUACUCUACGUCAGAUGAUCUCCGGUGCCAAGAAGAAGGAACUCUUCUUUGGGCUGCCUUACCACCAGGGCGACCAGCCAGACCCAGGCGCAGGCACCGUAGAGAGCGUCCCGCACGGCCCAGUACACUUCUGGAGCGGCGACCCGAGCCAGCCGAACAACGAGGACAUGGGCAACUUCUACUCCGCCGCGCGCGAUCCACUCUUCUUCGCGCACCACGGCAACAUCGACCGCCUGUGGUCGGUCUGGAACGGCCUCCGCGCCGGCAACACCAACUUCACCGACCCCGACUGGCUGAACGCCAGCUUCCUCUUCUACGACGAGGAGGCCCGCCUCGUGCGCGUCCGCGUCCGCGACUGCCUGGACACCGCUGCCCUGGGCUACAGCUACCAGGAUGUUGCCCUGCCGUGGCUGAACGCCAGGCCGACCACGGAGACCGGUUCUCCGGUUCCCGCCGCGGGCGCGCUCCCGGCGACCCUGAACCAGACCGUGAGGGUGGCCGUGACGCGGCCCAGGACCUCGAGGACCCGCCAGGAGAAGGACGCGGAGGAGGAGGUGCUGGUCGUCGAGGGGAUCGAGGUCGCCGACCACUUCAGCAGGUUCGUCAAGUUCGACGUGUUCGUGAACGAGUGCCAGGGCGGGGGCGGCAUGGGGGCGGCGGUGGCGCAGUGCGCGGGGAGCGUGGCGAUGACGCCGCACCUGGUUCGGCCCGGGAAGGGUAGGGGCUCCGUGAAGACCGCGGCGAGGUUCGGCAUCUGCGACCUGCUCGACAACAUCGGCGCUGACGGGGACAAGACGAUCGUCGUGUCGCUCGUGCCGAGGUGCGCCGGAGACAUGGUUACUGUCGGUGGCGUCCGGAUCGAGUAUGUUAAGUGAGGUCCUUCUAUUACGUCCUACCCUCCUACGAGUACAUCUCACAAGUGCUAGGGCCUAGAGACAACUGCUCUACGACCAGGAGUAUAUAUCAGGUAUACAUGAAUAACUGUGUGAUGCUGUACGUGUAUGGACGACUCCUGUUGAACUAUAUAUGUAGGGAACUAUUUGGGAUUGUGUUUGCGUGCCGCCGUGAUUAUAUAAUAUGGGCCAAUGUCAAUGCGACAUCAAUAAUUAACAAAUAAGGGCAUUAGUGUCUGUAAUGUGUAACAGCAUGACCAUAGAGAACAGUGACUACCGUGUCGCCGGAGAAAAACUUGUAAUGCGAUCGGAGAAAGGGUGGACACCAAUGGCAGUAUGUGGGGUGUAAAGCGCCACUCAGAUUGCUCAGAAGAUGGCAGAACCGCAUGUCAAACCAGUGACCGAUGUAAUGGUGUAGAUAAAUCACGACAUACGGAACUCAUCCAUUAACCAAAUCAAGGAAAAGCUGUACACAAAUUACGACAUACAAUACUAUCCAUUAAUCAACUCAAGGAGAUGCUCUAGAGAAAUUACGACAUAUGAAAUUCAUCCAUUCUCCAAUAUACCCAUUCGAAAGUGGCCCACACGAUGUAUGUGUGUGUGCGCGCGCGCGUGAUUCCCGUGUACUCAUCCGGGGUGUUCAGUACUAUUCACCACCAAGGCCUCGGAAUAGUGUGUGUAUAUGAGAGAGAGAGAGAGAGAGAGAUGCAACAUGCAUAUUUAUUUUUUAGACAAAGAAAUUACAUGCAUGUUUAUUAAGUUGUUGUAGAAAUUAGUAAACGAAGAUGUGGUUUGAAAGGCAAGAAAUGAUGUUGAAUGGUCGUUAGAUUUUGACAUAAAGAGUAUUCACUCUAUUACAUGCAGGUCAUCUUUAUAGAGCCACACACACUGGAUGAUAAGCUUAGGGUCCUGUUGCAAAAGUAGAAUACUGAAUAAUUAAGAUGCUGUGGAAACGACAGUCAUGGAUAUCUUUACCGGCCAUGCAUGGAUGAAAGUCAUCCGAUAGAGAUUUAUCACUUACUAUUCCGUUUGAGCCUAUUCCACCCAAACUUUAAUAAUAAAUGAUUUUGGAGGAUACGUUCGAACUUUGAUAAUGUAUGGCUUAUUAAGUAAUUCCCCGUCCAUUUUUAUACAUCGUUCUCACUCCUCAAACGUGUACCUAACUUUUACUAAAUAUAUAUUAAAAUAUUAAUAUUUAUAAUACAUAAUUAGUACCACUAGAUAGAUCUUUAAUUUAUUUUUACAAAAAAUUUAUUUAAAAAUACAAAUAUUUGCUAAUAUUUUAUAUUAAUCUAGUUAAGAUUAAAAAAAGUUUAACUAACACUCAUCUCAUAUAUAGCGACACAGACUAAGGGAUAGAGGGAAUAUUCCGUAUACAUCCUAUUCAAAGGACGACAUAAGCCUGUUUAAAUAAGUCAAAAUAAACCAAUGUGUUUUUUUAAAGGAAAAUAUAGUUGCACGCACCAACUUCAACUUGUGUGAGCACAUCUACAGUACCUCUUGCAGCAACAGCUCUUGUUUUUUUUUUUUUUGAAGGAAACAGCUCUUGCUUUAGUAGAAGCGAAUUCCCUUUUUCCCUUCUUCGAUCUGAAAAGAGACUUAUCAUCUGUUCUCUGGUCCAGGCAAAUCGCACAUAUCAGAAAAAGUGGUUUUUGCCACUUACCAAGUCCGAUCGAUGUUUACAGUAGGACUUUCGUGUGCUGCUGCUAGUACGUAGGUUCUCCUUUUUUCGUCGGAAAUAAUUAGUUACUCAUACGGAAUAAUGUGAACCGUCAUCUGCUCAUCACCAUCGUGGUUAUAGCAGUAGGACUUUCGUGCGCGUGUGACAAAAACGAAGCUGACAAACGUUCUGCGUGUGUGUCAGAUCGAUGUGGUAUAUAGCUAAGGCUAUCAGGAUAUAUUUGGUGUGUGGUACGAGUUCGAUCGGGCGCAUAUAGCUUGUCUAUACCAGCAGCAUGGUACACGAUCAUCGGCCCCCAGCCCGUUUCGUUAAUUACAGCGCAAGUUUUGUUCGGUUUAAAGUAUGCAUGUGCCGUGCGUGCAUCGCAAAAUUACAGUCACACACGACAAAGCAUAUGUAUAGACGUAUAGCACGUACUCCACCUGGCAACGAACCAAUCCUCGACACUUACGACACAUGUACGUAGAGUAGCACGUAACAAAACAAGCUAGUAGACCACAUGGUACGGCACAUCCAGCCCUAGCUAGUCGAUCAAUCACAUGUCCACACGUUCUGUAUAUUGCUUCUCGCGCUAAACUAUGGCAUUGGGCAAAAAAAACUUUUACCGAAUAAGACUCUGCCGAGACCCUUUUACCGAGUGUAAAUAUAUAUGGCUUUACCGAAACACUUGGCAAAGCAACUGGCUGCCGUAACAGGCCGGCCGAUCACAUGUCAUGCAACUCACAGGUUCACACUUCGUUCACAGCAGGUUCAUCACUGAGCAGCAGCUAGCGCCAUGGAGAGCAUCAUGUACUCAUGCCACGAGGUUUCGCCGCUCGUCGCGCGCCAUGCAUACCAUACUGUACGUACGUAGCCUCCAGACGCUCAGGAUGCAACGCUCUACCGGCGGUGCCCGACCGCCGCGACGUGCUCCUCGGCCUCGGUGUGGAGCGGCAGCUAGCGGCCGGCCUCCUCGAUCAAUAACGUCUUGCUAAAUUUGCUACAUUUUGAGUUUUCUCGUCAAUAAAUUUGGCUAGCUGUUCUAACCUUUAAGCCGUGGCAUCUUAUGACUGCCAAGCAAAACAAGCGCUAAAGCUCUUGUAGCAGGUAGCUACAAUCGUUUUGGUUCGACAGCCUCCAAUCCCUUUUGCUACUUAUAUAUGUACACCCUGCACUGCAAAUGCAUAUAUGAUCUCUUCAUCUCAACCAUUAAGAUAGGAACCUCUCAUCUGUACAUUCUUCUUCUUCCUCCGGUACGAGCUAACCGCACGUACAGAUCAGGAAAAUUAAAGGUAGGGUUCACCCAUCUGUCCGUGAUUCUCGCAUCUAGAUAGUUUAUCUGCGCUCACAAAUUGUUGCGUGUGUGUAAUUAGAUUCGGUUGAUAGAUAAGCAUGUCACGAUCUCGUGUACUUGUAUUCCGGUGAACUUUGCGUCAAACUGCAGCACCCAGGCCCAUAUAUACGUACUACUCAACCAGCAUGUCACGACCGGCUCCCUUUCGUUACCAAGUUUCCUUCGGUUUAAAAGCAUACAUAUAUAUGCACCGUUCUUUCAUUACUUUCUCCAGCUCCUGGAGGAGAAGACACGACCCAUAGCAUCACUUGCGUAUAACAAACUGUCAAACAACCAAACAGGCACGCAUCAGCAGUGAGAUACUCAGGUCAUAUGUACCCAUGAUGCCGUCUCGCAAAAAAAAUGUACCGAUGAUGUCAUAAUACUACAUCUAGAUAUAUAUACUCCCUCUACUCUAACUUGUAAGUAUUUUUCUAGCUUUUUUAAAUAUAUAAUUUUUGUUAUGCGGACGAGCCAAUAGCUCGGUUGGUAAAGCAUCCCCAUUGUGCAAUGAUGUAGGUCAGGAGUUCGACUCCCCACCUCCAUAUACGCAGGUUUGCUAGUUGUAAAUAAAAUUUUUCGUUUGUCCCAUGUCAAAGCACAGGUCUAAGGUUAGCCCUAGUCUUACGUGUGUUGCGGUACCGCUACGUAUGGGUAGGGCAGAGGUUCAAGUUUUUCUUGACCUAUAUGAAAAAAGUCUUCUUCUUAAUCACAAUGUCUGACCUACACACAAAGAUCCUAAGCACAGUGCCCCCGGUGUUGACACUCAAAAGUGUCCCAACAUGAAAUAUGGGCAUAACCAACACGUUUCUGACAUCCCAGAGGUGUUGGAAAUAGUUGGUGAAGUAAUCAAACAAAAAAGGAAGAAAGUGGCGUCUGCCUUGGCAGAGCCGACUUGGCUGACUUUGCAUAGUCGAUAAAACUAGUUCUUCAUGCCCCAAUUCGCUUAGCCGACUCCUAAGUCGGCUAAGCCGACUUUCCUCUAUGUCGGCCAAGCCACAAUGCUCAAACCUCGUGAAAAUCGGCUCAGCCGACUCCCAAGUCGGCUAAAGCCGGCUUUCAUUGGUAUUCCGAGUCAGUUUGGUUUCCGAAACAGUUUUGGACCCAUUUUAAACAGGGAAUUUGGAGAAUGUGUUUUGGAAUUGUUUCCUAGUAAGAUAAAACCACGCCGUCUCUAUAUACGAAAGGAUCAUGGUCGAUUAAGGAUCCCAACUUACAAUCAUCAAAAUACAUCUAUUACAGGCCUUUUACCCUCUUUUCUCCCUAUUCGUCAGUUCGUCACGUCUCCUAGCGAGAUUUAAUGGCGUUCGAGGCACCCUUGCUAGUCUUAGGAAACCCUCCGUGUGCUCCUCCUCGACGGAUCUUCCCAAGAGAUGCUCAAAAUUCUAACAGGUGAAAAACAGGCUCGACAUUGGCCUAACCGAUCUCUAGAUUGGUGUCUCGGUUCGCUGCAUUCUUGCUGUGAUCAAGGUCAUGUGUUUACCGUAGAUAUGCUAACCGUAGCUGGUGUGCGAUCCGAAACACUAUCCAACAUCAUUGCACCAACACCCAGGGGCCGUCGUAAUCCCUGCAGGUCGAGCUUUUUUUUGAGGGGGAGGGGGAGAGGGGAUGGACUUAGAUAUAUAUAUAUAUAUAUAUAUAUAUAUAUAUAUAUAUAUAUAUAUAUAUAUAUAUAUAUAUAUAUAUAUAUAUAUAUAUAUAUAUAUAUAAGUUAAAACAAGUUAUAAUUAGAAGGAAGGGAUAUAAAAAACUAUUCAAUCAUCUGUUCUGGUCGUCAGAGCUAAUCGCACUUACCAGUCCAUGACUCGCCUGUCAAACGACGAUGUUUAUAGCUGCUGCUUUUUUCGUCGGGAUUAAUGAACUGAUAGCGAAUGUGAACUGUGUGAUCUCCAUCCUACGGGGGUUAGCAGUAGCACUUACGUGCGCGUGUGACAAACGAAGCUGACAGCAUUCUGCGUGUGAGAUGUGGUACAGAUAGAGAGUAUAUAACUCUAAGCAUGUCACGAUUUAGUGUGUUCGGUGAAUUUUGCGUCAAAUUAAACGACCCAUACUUAGCUAUCAACAUUCUGCGUGUGAGAUGUGAUACAUAGAGUUAGAUAGCUACAGUACGUAAUUUUCUCUUGGUCUACGAGGAACUAUAUAUAUAGACGUACGUAGCACGCAUAGUUUUUUGAAACGAUUUUUUGUUUUUUUGAAACACGAGUAGCACGCAUAGUUGGCAACGAACCAAACAUCGACACGACACAUGUAGCAGUAGCACGUAAUAAACAGCCAAAUGAAACAUCAGUCUAGUAGCCGAUCAUAGCUCACACGUUCUAUAUAUAGCCACUCGAUCGGUAAACCAUGGCACGGCACCGAUCGCAGCUCACAAAGUUCACACACUUCACAGCACGCUCACCACUGAGCAGCACCUAGCGCCAUGUUGAGCGCCACCAUGCCACGAGGUUUCGCCGCGCUUCGCGCGCCGCCAUGCUGCAGCCUCCAGACGACGCUGAGGUGCAAGGCUACCGGCGGCGCCGACCGCCGUGACGUGCUCCUCGGCCUCGGCGGCGCGGCAGCGGCCGGCCUCCUCACGUCGUCGUCCAGCCGCGGCGGUGCGAUCGCGGCGCCGAUCCAGGCGCCGGACCUCCGGGACUGCCACCCGCCCGACCUCCCCGACACGGUGGGCGACGUCAACUGCUGCCCGCCGGGCGCGGGGACGGCGAUCGUCGACUUCACGCUGCCGCCGGCGGUCGGGCUCCGCGUUCGCCCGGCCGCGCACCUGGUGGACGAGGAGUACCUGGCCAAGUACGAGAAGGCCGUGGCGCUGAUGAAGGAACUGCCGGACGACGACCCGCGCAGCUUCGCGCAGCAGUGGCGCGUGCACUGCGCCAACUGCGACGGCGCGUUCGACCAGGUCGGGUUCCCGGACCUGGAGAUCCAGAUACACAACUGCUGGCUCUUCUUCCCGUGGCACAGGUGACGACGACGGAUCCAUGCAUGCUGGCGUACGUGUAGGGUGUCACAUGUGAACUAAGGCUCGUGUAUGCUUUAGCGAUUAAUAAUUAAUUAACGUGCAACUUUUGUUCUGAAGUUCAACGUCUAUUGCACUGCUUAAUUAGUUCUCUUUCACAAAUUGGACAACGCGUGCAGGUUCUACCUGUACUUCCACGAAAGGAUUCUUGGGAAGCUCAUCGGCGACGACAAGUUUGCACUGCCGUUCUGGAACUGGGACGCGCCCGGCGGCAUGUCGAUGCCGGCGAUCUACGCCAACAAGACCUCCCCGCUGUACGACGAAAGGCGUGACCCUGCUCACCAGCCGCCAUUCACGCUGGACCUCGACUACGACGGGACCGAGCCAACCAUACCAAGACAUCAGCAGAUCGAUCAGAACCUAAUGAUUAUGUACCGUCAGGUCAGUGUUAGUAUAGUCUUGUUGUACGCAAUAUUACAACCUCAGUUCUUGGAAGACCGCACUAACAUUGAACACUCAGUUCUUCGACGUAAUUGAACACUUCAUCACUGAUUAGCAUACGGAUGGAUACACAUGUAUGUCUCUUAUAUACGCCAGAUGAUCUCCGGUGCCAAGAAGAAGGAGCUCUUCUUUGGGCUUCCUUACCACCAGGGCGACCAGCCAGACCCCGGCGCAGGCAGCGUCGAGCUCAUCCCGCACAACACAGUACACUUCUGGAGCGGCGAUCCGAGGCAGCCCAACGGAGAGGACAUGGGCAACUUCUACUCCGCCGCGCGCGAUCCGCUCUUCUUCGCGCACCACGGCAACAUCGACCGCCUGUGGUCGGUCUGGAACGGCCUCCGCGCCGGCAACACCAACUUCACCGACCCCGACUGGCUGAACGCCAGCUUCCUUUUCUACGACGAGGAGGCCCGCCUCGUGCGCGUCCGCGUCCGCGACUGCCUCGACACGGCCGCCCUGGGAUACACCUACCAGGACGUCGCCCUGCCGUGGCUGAACGCCAAGCCGACCACGGAGACCGGGUCUCCGGCGCCCGCCGCGGGCGCGCUCCCGGCGACCCUGAACCGGACCGUGAGGGUGGCCGUGACGCGGCCCAGGACCUCGAGGACCCGCCAGGAGAAGGACGCGGAGGAGGAGGUGCUGGUCGUCGAGGGGAUCGAGGUCGCCGACCACUUCAGCAGGUUCGUCAAGUUCGACUUGUUCGUGAA
RNAcentral lists this long non-coding RNA (95208 nucleotides) under Sorghum bicolor (sorghum). Its description in RNAcentral is "long non-coding RNA (SBIC_LNC011367)". The record is from RNAcentral. Lineage: Eukaryota; Viridiplantae; Streptophyta; Magnoliopsida; Poales; Poaceae.